AGAGUAUGAGGUAUAUAAUUAAAUGUUGAAUAUGAGGGAAAUGUUUUGAUUGAGUUCGAAAUUUGUACUUGGUGUUUUUGCAUUUGAAAAGGAGUAGCAUUCUGAUUUGCCUGUAUGUGUAAGGUGUUUCUCUUGAUGCACAAUUGCUCUUCAGGCUUGUGAAUUUUAUACUAGUUUCUUUAGUUAUUUAAACUUUUUGUUAGUUUCUUCCAUACAAUACUGAGAAUAAUGAUUAAUGCCAUAGAUGAUGUAUUAGAUGUUAAUUCUGCCCUGCAGGAAGCGAGAUAUCUUUCUUCAAGAAUGCAGUAUGUCAAGGCACCGCCUUAAAGGAUUUUUAUGACUGUCAUUGUUUCCCAGCUGCUUCAGUGUAUGCUCUUCCAAACUAACCUAAUUGCUGUGUCAAGUUUAAAUUUGGACUUGAUUUUGAACUUUUCCAGAGGACUUUGGCGGACGCAUAGUGCCAAGACCUGUGAUCGAAGAUCCAUAGCCUUGAUGUCAGAGUUGAAAAUGGUCUGUCCAGCAAAGAAAAAUUAGCUAUAAAAUCUUAUUGAAUUCUGACUAAAAUAUGCGGAAGUGAAAGAUGGUUUAAGAUUGAAGGUCUUGUAACUUGAUGAUGGGUAAAUCUCUCUUUUAAGACUGGUGGUGUGCUGCCAACUUGACUUCUUGAGAUCAUUCAUAUAAUUAUUCUUUAAUAAAAUAACAGCAAUGAGUAUUAAUCAAUUUCCUGAAUUUCCUGUUGUUAAACUCUAUAGCUCGUCUGGAUGGCUUUCAGAUGUUAAUUUCUUUCAUUUUUGGCGAAGAUUGAGGAAGAUCAUUUUAGAUCAUUAGGAAUCUCUUGGUUGUUCUUUGUUUUCUGAGGAGAGUUUUUUGUCCUUCUAUGCGGUUUCUCUUGCUAAUAUGAUACUAUUUUAUAAAGAAUUUUUUAAAUUUGUCUUUUUAUUAUUUUUUAAUGCUGAUGUGAAUGCGAUAUUAAUUUUUGUGUCAUGUCAAUAAUGAGCAGAUUUGUUGGUUUAUGAGUCAAAGAGAGGGAGAAAAGGAAGAGUGAAGAGAAGUAGGAGCAACAAUUCUACUAGCUUGGUUUUGUGUUCUUCAUUCAAGAUGAGAGUGGUUUGGGGUUAAUUUCUCUGGUUGGAUUUUAUGUAAUACAGACUUCCUUUCUGAUGACAGGUAGUGCUUGGGGUCCAUGCAGAAUGUGUCCCAUGCUUUAAAGUGAUAAAAGAGCAAGGUACUAAAAUUGUGGAAGCUGCUGAAAUAGUCAAUUAAGCUUGAGGUAUGCAUUGAUGUCAGAUAUUUUCUAUAUUUGUAAUGAGAAUCUUUAGAAAGAUAUGUGGCUUCAUUGUUAAAUGUAGUCUAUGAUUCUCGAAUUAUGAGUAUGUCUGAAAUGAUUCCAUGUCCUCUGUCCUUGACUAUUGUUGUUUGUGUAAAUGCUGGUUCAAUAAUUCAGCUUAGGGUUUAUGCCUUGCUUGGUUGUGGCAGAGAGAGGGGUGGAGUAGAAAUGCCUGAAAAUAUGUUUUUUUUUUUAUUGAUUUGUUGGGCUAUACCUUCCACGUCAAACUAUUAUGAAUGCCAUCACAUGUCAAUUUGAACUUCAUAGUCUUAGACAUGUAGCUUCAUAGACAUCAAGUUAUCAUAGGACUCCUCUCCCAGUGAUUUGGGGGUUGUAUGUUUGCAAGCCUGAAAAAUUGCGACGGCCUAGUUGUGGUAGCUAGAGAUCAGUGUAUGCGACCUGUCAUGGAAAUUGCCACAGUUUCAGCUGGAAAUAGCAUUGUUCUCAAAACUGGAAAAACUGACAAGUUUGUAUCCUGUUAACCAAGGUUUGUGCGGCUGAUACUGUAAGGUGUUCAGUGCAAAAGGAAAAAUGGAAUGAAUUCACUUUGUAGUAUAGGGUUGACAGUUCAAAAUUGGCAUAUACCCAAGCUUCAGAAGUGACCUUUGAAACAUAUAAACAUCUUCACUGGCCGAACAACAUACCAAGUUUCAUCUCAAUUGAGAACAACUGUUGAUUGACCAAGUAAUAUAAAUGAUUUGAUUUGACAACUUAACAAUUGCUGAGUUGUAUGGUCUACUGUUUGGAAGAUGAGUUUUUUGGGAGUUUGUCUAAAACUUUACUGUAGCUUACUGUAGAAGUUUUUUAAAAAAAUUUUGAAAUGUGUAGAUUUUUGAAUAUUUUGAAGUGUAUAGUUUAAAAAUUUUUAGAAAUUUUUUGAGAUUACUGUAACUAAAGUUUUUAAAAAACUUGUAGCAGACAAACUUGGCAAAAAACUUGGGUUCCAAACAAGGUUCUAGAAUAGUAAAACAUUUAGGUGAUUUUGAGAUUGGAUGCUUUUAAGGAACACCAAUAUUGAUUGUAUUGCUUAGAAGGUGCCAAUGAAGGUUGGGUCAUCAAAUGUGAUACUAUUGAAAUCAUUUUAAGACUAACGAUAGAAUUUUGUCUAAAAUUGGGCCAUAAAAUGUGAUUCUAUUGAAUCGCAAUGUGGUUGGCAUUCUUCUUCUUGUACGCAUUGGUCAAAUAAUCUGGACACUGAACUUUCCAGCUUGACCAACCAACAAUUUUUAAAUUACUCCUUACUCAUCUACUUCACUGCUUGAUACGUUUGUGGGUCAGAAACUGUAAUUUAACUUGUCGUUGAUUGCAUCUACAAUACAAGAAUUUACUUAGCAUUGGGGUUGAUGGUCAUCUGCCUAUAAAUGCACUUUUUGAAGCUGAUUUUCACCUCUGUUUUUAACUUCAUUUGAGCAGGCAAACUAUUAUCUUAAAAAGCGAUUGUCAAAAAAUUUAAGAUUGGGACAGUGAUUACUUCUUAAAUUAGGUUCCUCAAAAGUCAACUAAAUAAAAAAGCAAGAAGAAGUCCUUUACCUAAUGCCCUUUUUCGGAAUUAAAACUAAAUCGAUAUCAAUUGAUAGCCCUCCAUCCCAUUGAAAGUUCCCUGCUUGUCCAUUUCAGUUGUCCAAAUUUCAUCAUCUUAAAGAAGUCAAAGUUAACUUUGACCUUAACUCUUCUGGAUACUCCCCUGGGCACGAUUGGAAAGAAAAACACUGACAUCUAAUUAAUUUGCUAUUUCUGACAAGUUGGAUUAUAGAAGAGUGAUGAAAAAUUUGGGAUGGAGGACAGGAUAUGUGACCAACAAUACAAGAAUAUUAGUAAACUUUGAACAUGCAUGGACAAGAAUAUGCUGAAAACUUCACAUACUUUAGUAGUUUGUAACACCUUAAAUGGUGCAUAAAAUUUUUUAUCUCAAAUGGUGUAUAAGCAUAUACUUCUUUCAUGUUACCUAUCCAACUGGAAGACAAAAAGAAUGUCAGUUGGAGUGAAGUUUGUGUGAUUUUUUAAUCAUAUCGUAGGACAAGAUAUAGUCAAAGCUUCUGGUUUCAAUUAAUUGGAGAACUAAGACCUUCUUGAGAAGAUAAUGAAUGGAUGGUUUGGUGUCUCUUUGAUGGAAAAGGUAAUGGUGGUGUCUUCCUGAAUGAAGGCCUCUUGCUGAGAUGUUGCAGAGUUUUUUCCACAUAAAUUGUUUUGAUCAUGGGUAAAGCUUUCUCCCUCAACUUGAGAAUGAUGUAGAACAGCAUCCUGUAUGAUAUGGAUAUGGCUAGAACAACAGCCAAAUCCCACCACUUUGAAUGAUCUAGUGAAAAGCCAAGAAUUUUUGUGAUGAUGAAUUCUCCCUUUAAUUUUGGCUCUCCUGGCUGAAGAGGUUCAAAUUCAAGCCCAAUCAUGUCAUUCUUGUAAGCUCCCUGUUAUAUCCACCAAACAAAUAUUAUAUCAACAAGAUUUGCGGCUGCAUGACUUCUUGGAUUUGAUUAGCUUUAACCUAAUGAAAGGUGUGUUUUCUGUUUUCUUUCUUUAGAGUAGUGAACCAUUUACUACAUAUAAAUCUAUCCAGUAGUAAACAUGGGGAUAAAUGUGCUCUCAUCUUCUUUCUGGUUUUGGAAUAUCCAUGAAUUACACUUACAAAAAGUAAAAACAGGGUUAGCCAUAUCUAUGCUCCAUUUAUUGUUAAUGGCAUUUGACUUGCUUCAUAUGUUCUCUUAAAAAAAAAUAAUUUGGAAAGGGAAUGGAGUGCCAGUAACAAUAAAUGGAUUGCUAAUAUCAUCACUUAAUUAAACUGCAAUAACUAAGAGAAAUCUGCAUGUGCCAAGUAAUGCCUAUUCUCACUCAAACUAGUGCCUUGUCAACAAAAGCUACUUCUAAUAUGUAUUGAAUGGGUACUACUUGUAUAAGAACAAGUACUAUUUGGCACAUGGCGAUUUUAUACACUAGAAGCAUUUUCCACUGGGUAAGAUUUACAUUUUAGUCUUGUUUUAAAGUAGAAAACAUAUUACUGUGACAAACUUCCAGAGUGUAAUUCCAAAACUUGUUACCUGUAGACCCCAUGCCAUAUAGUUGAUAUAGGACAUUGGGUAGCGCCAGAAAGGCUUUGGAAGUUCAGUCAGAGGGCAGAAAAAGCCAGCCGUAGCCAUCAUAAUUCCCUGCAAUUAACACGAGAAAAGAUUAGAAAGGGGGUUGAGAGAAACCAUGGUGAAAAGUUUCUGAUGUUUGAUCAUGAACAAGUUAGUGUUCUUACAAUAAAUCCUGCCCCAACAAUGAGUCCCAUCAAGAAAUUUGGAACCAGAGAAGCCACAACCAUCAUGCAGCCCUCUACAACAGAAAUGGAGAGCAGUAGGUCUAUGGCUGCAUACAGAAAACGGAAGAAGCCGGACCGGAAUUUCGCCGUGAAGUAGGUGAUGGCUGAUGAACUGAAAGCCAUUGUUGUCAAGAAUGGUAGUGAAGAGAUGAAGUUUGCAAGAAUAAACACUCCAACUCCAUAGUGCCCAUUGAGUCUUUCUUUGUAAAAUAUCUGCUUCAAACAUCAAAUGGCAAAUCUUAAGCAGUUUGUUUGUUAAUCUGCUAAUCAAUUUAACUUUUCCUAUAUUUAACAUAUUUGCUAAAGUGAAACACAAGACUUUUUCCUGUAAAAAAGCUAAUACAUGCUAAUUGAGGUGAAGAAACAAAAAUUAGGGUAAGCGCUACUUAAAUGUAAUUAAUCCUUGUUUUAAAGUAAGGGUUAUAUACUUCAAAAGGUUUUGAAAUGAAAGGAAAAUCUCAAUGUUCCAAUUUCUUCACAAGUAAAAAUCAGAACCAAUGCUGUAAAUUGUUACCAAUGUGUUAGUGGGAGGAAAAGAAAAUGUUUAAAUUUAGCAUGAUUUUAUCAUAAUUAAUUCAACUAAUGAGAUCAUUUACCUUCAUUUCUUCAAUGAAGCAUGGGAAGCCUCCUAUGGACAUGAAUGUCAUGAAACCUGAUAUGAAUCCACCACAAGCCCCUCUUGCCAAGAUUGCAGAAUAGUUUGUGCCAACAUUAAGAAAAACAGUACCAACACAAAUUGAUACCACUAUGUAUACUAUUAUUCUUAACCAAUAAUAACCAAAAUCCCUAGACAUGUUUAUGAAUGAUCUUCUUGUUAACGUUGAAAAUUGCUUGAUCCAUCCGGCCUGGCUUCCUCCCCUUUUUUCAAUCUCUAGGCCUUCCUGUGAUACCUGUAUCAGUCGCAAUUCCAUUCCAUCAUUUGCAAUAUCCAAUACUAUUUACUGAGAACUUAAAUUUGGCCUAAUCAAUGAACUAGAGUUUCCUCUUGGAUUGAUUUAUCAUUUGAACACGUUAAAUCAAAUUAAGAUGGACCAUUUGGGCAAUUGGGACCCCAAAAAAAGAAAAGGAAAAAACAGUACUUUGGAGGUUUUAGUGAAUGUGAAAGCUUACAAUAAUUAAAAUUUCUUGAACUCUAGAUUUCACUAUUGCUGCAUACUUUGAGCAUUUGUAUUUCUGGAUGAGCUUUUCCUUGAUCUCUGUUGUUGCCAUAUCCAAUAAAAGACCACUUGGCUUGUAAUUUUCCUGGAAAAAAAAGGGUAUAAGGAGAGUGGAUAAUACAAUUCUUUUUAACUUGUACAAUUGUUAAUGGUAGUAUUCAUGGGAAAAUUGGAUAGCAGAAAAUAACGGGAGUAAAGUCGCUACCAUUUACGUACACUUAUACGACGAGAACCCAUCAGUCUAGCAUUGACAUCGUCAAAGUCUGAAUUUGUACAACGAAGAAAAUGAUCAGAUGGAUUCCUUCUACUUGGACAAUCAAACCCUGAAUCAGCAAAGAACUGAAAAGGGGGAAAAAAAAAAAAGCAAUUGAGUAUCAAUGAAAAAAAGCUGGAUUCCUAGAUGAUCUUUCACUAAAAACAAGCAAAAUAAUAAAAAUAAUAAUAAUAUUUUUGUUGUUUUGAUAAUCUUUUCGUGUUUACUCCAUGUGCAAAUGGACAAUUUACACGUCCAAUAAGGGCUACAUGAUGCCGUUAGGUACGAUAACAUUCAUAGCAGUGUGUACAUAUGUAUAUGUGUGUAUAUUUAUUUAUUUGUAUAUGUAAAUAUGUGGGUAUGUAUAUAUGUGUAUGUCUGUAUAUACACACACAUACAUAAACUUCUUUUUUUUUGCUAUCUGUUAUUGAAUUAAUGAUUAAAUAUGUUUAAAAAAUUUUAGUGGUCUCCUAGCCCGAGUCCUAACUUUGUCACUGUUCGUGUGGUACCUUUAGAAUUUUCCUAUGUUACUAUUUUGAAUUCAAAGAAGGAACAGAUUAAAAGAAAGAAAGAAAAAAAAGAAGAAGAAAGGAAUUGGGGUAUAACAAAGAUAAAGGAUAUUAUACCUCGACAGCCAUCUUUGCUUCACCAAAAUAAAUGGUUUCACCACCAGAUAACAGAAAAAGAUAAUCAAAAAGUGUAAAAACUUCACUGCUUGGCUGGUGAAUGGAAGCAAUUACUGUUUUCCCUCCACAGGCAACAUUCUUGAGCACUUGAGUCACAAAAAAAGCUGCGGCACUGUCCAGCCCACUUGUGGGUUCAUCAAGAAAUAAUAGUUGUGGUUGCGUAAGAAUUUCUAAGGCAAUGCUUAGCCUCUUUUUCUCUCCUCCACUUAUACCUCUUAAAUGCCAGUUACCAAUGAGAUUAUCAGCACAAUCUUGGAGACCCAUCUCCAUGAUUGUUUUUUCAAUGAUAUCAUUUGCUUCAUCUUUGUUUAUGUUGCUUGGAAGCCUCAGUUGUGCUGAGUAUUUGAUGGUUUCUCUGAUAGUUAGGGUUCCCAAGAAUGUAUCCUGCUGUGUCACAUAAGCCUGACGACAGUCCAAAAAUAGGCAUUAGAUUAAAGAGCAUAAUAAUGCAAUAUUUUCACUACAUCCAUUUGUAAAAUUUGAAAAAAAUAAACUCUUUGUGAAGUGCGUUUGGAUUGAAAAUUAUCUAGACAAAUUUUAAAUAGUUACUGAUUGUAACAAUUCUUGUAAUGUGAUAUAUUGGUAGAAUAAAAUGGUGAUUGGAAAGAUAACGUGGCAGUUGACAAAUGUGUUUAAAAAACAUAGAAAUGUGCAAAAUAGUCUUUUUCUUUUCAUUUACACAAAAAUAGAUCGAGGUAAAGGGGCUAGAAUAAUAAUUCGUCAACACAUUUCUUGUUAGGUCCACAGUCGUCUGUUGACACCUCAGUAAAAAUGUUUUUUUUUUUUUUUUUUAAAGAAGAAUUUAAAGAACAAGAAAUAGGCAGAAAUUGAUGGACAAUUUUUUCAACCAGUUGGCCCAAAGUUCAAGAUUUGUAACGGGCAUAACACAUGCUAUGUCUACGUGUAGUUGAAAGUUUUUAAUGCUGUUAUCAAAGGUUGUAUAGAAUGGGAAACUGGGAUGGCAGAAAGGAAUUAAUGUCUUAAAUCUUUUAGAUUUGAUUAAAGACAUCUAUUUGCUUUUAUUUUAGUUUUUGAGGGAUUUUUGUCAUCAGCUAUUAUUGUUACUUUUUUCAUGUUACAUUGUUACUUUUUUUAUGUUAUUGUAGUUGUCUCUUAUUCAUUUCUUAACCAUGUGGGCAGUAUGGGAGGUGGCUUAUUCUUCUGCAAAAGACUGUUCUCUUUGUAUAUAUGAGACAAAUUGAAUACUUUCUGAACUCUUUUUGUUUUAUCAUCUCAUCAGGUCGAAGUUGAAUUUAUGCCAACGAGGUUGGAUUUUUUUAAAAAAAAAAUAGAAAAAAAGAAAGAUCUUUAUACGGGAAUUAUGAUAAAAAUUCAGGUAAAAUCUUCAUGAUUCAGUCUUUUUAUUUUUCCAGGAAAGUAAAAAAAGAAAUAAGAAGUUAUCAAAAAUUUUUUAAAAAAAAAAUUUUGUCUAUCAAAUUUUCUAUUAAAAUUUUCGAUUUAGUGGGAUGGCAAGUUGAUGGUAAAACAAAGAACUUAUUUUGUAAUUUCCCACUAUUACUUACAACUCCACCAUAGUCAAGCCUCCUUUUCCUUCCAUUCAGAAGAAUAUUUCCAGUCAUAACAAGAUUUCCGGAGAGCCUACCUGCAUUAGGAACACCCAUUAAUUAGCUUCAGAAAAAAAUAAAAUAAAAUGUAUCCUCAAACCAUAUUAGUAUAAACAUAUAUAGUUAAUUAGGAACACACACACAAGCAUGCACAUACAUAUAAAUUACAUAUGGCCUCUUAAAAUUUAAUUAGUUCCAUUUAAGAGUAGCAGUAGAUGUUAAUUGUUUUUGAAAAAAUUGAAGUUGAAUAAGUAAAAUAUCUAAAUGCAAGAGAAAAUAGAAUGUCAUAGACUUAAAAGAAACGAAUGUAACACCCAAUUUUGGCAUAAAUUGUGCGUACUAACAAGUGGUCAUAGAAAAUCCGUCAAAAAACCCUAUACAAGUGUGAGUAGAAGGCUGAAUUCAAAAUUUCGCACUUAUUUUUCACCUGAACAACCUAACUCAACCCCUCAAAUAGAAAUAAUGAAUUAAUUACUUUAAACGACGUAGUACCUUAUUUGCAUUCUCCAGCAUUAAUUUAGUACACAUGUAAACGGAAAGGUAAUAAGCACACAUAUAAAUGCACUGCAUGCCCUGGUCAUCUAUGCCCACCCCCCUUCAAGACUCUAAUUUUAAUUGCACUUUUAAUUUUGUUGUUCAGUGGACCCUGCCUCUGUUGCCCUUUAAUUUGGGAUAUCACCUCAACUGUCCGCCGUUGAUUCAUUAUUGUUUCUUUAAGAUUUUUAUCGGACCAUUUCAUUGUAUAAAAGUAGCAUGGCUUCAAAAGGUUGGAUAGUUAAGCUGCAUGUGCAGGAGUUAAAGCCUAUGCUUCAUAGUUCAUACACAGAAUGAAUGAGGGUUUCCAUUCUUGAGUUGAGGCAGAUCUCUUCUCUAAUUUGUGGUAACCCAUCUAGAAGAUCUCAAGGCAGUUUUCCUAUUGCUUUAUAGCUAAGAAUUUUAUUUUAUUUUCCUUUUAAAAAACUUUCAUGUAAAAUGGAAAUAAAUGUUCUGCCAAAAGAGAGUAAAAUUAAAAUAUGACUUAGAAAAUACUAGGUAUUUUGUUCUUCUGAUUUCCAAAAAUGUGUAUCCUAUAUGCCAAAUGCACUAACUAUACCUAUAUAAAAAAAAUAAGUUCAAGAGAUGUUACAAUACUUCAUCCAAAGCAUAACAAAAAACCACUACAUUUUUUUCUACAGGAUUUGGUAUAUAUGUUGAGCAUUUAUUCUAGAUUGCUUUUCAUUGAUAGUUUAUACUGUGGAGGAAAAUUGGUCGGUGACUAAAGUUUUAUAUUCCAGCUGAGAUACUUUAUGAAUAACAGUACUUGGUAAGAUGUUCUAUUAAUUAGUUGCAAUUAAAAAAAAAAGAAUUAGUUGUAGUUUCUAUUUUUUUUCUCUUCUGUCUAUGACUAAAAAUAAAAUUGUAAUCAUUAAAGAGCAGGUCUGCAUUUUUGCACUGGGAAAAGUUCCAAACAUGGGGUCGUCUUCAACCCAUUGUAGAUUUUUCAACCCUUUAUCCCAUGAAUUAGCUGGAUCACAAAAAUUGAUACAAUUUUUUUCUCCUCGAAUGUAACUUUUACGUACAGAAAAAUGAUAAACUGAAGGUUAAAGUAGAAUGAUUGGGAUCCAGGAUUUUAUCUUUUGUUUUUCUCAUUAGGUAGAAGGGAUCUUCUUUACCUCACCUUACCAUCUAGAUAAAUACAAAAAAAAAAAAAAAAAAAAAAAAAAAGAAAGAAAAAAUCCUUACCAUCUAGGAGCCAUGCUUUGGGUACAACUGAAUUCUUGCAUCUUAAAGACAGCAUGUCAAACCAAAAACAGUAUUAUAUACAUCAGAGCAAGAACAGCAGCCUUUUCAGAAUAUGUGAAACCACAUCUUUUCAAGUAUUUGAAGUAGAAAAACGGGAGAUGAAGUAGAUGAACUUGCCAAAUGAAAAGCAAAAAAGAUGACCAGACAGGUGUUCUAUUAUACACAGUAAAAGAACAACUGUGUGCAUGAACAACUGUGAAGAUGUGACCUGCUAAAUGCACCCCAUUUACGCACACAAACUCUGCACAGAGAGAGAGAGAGAGAGAGAGAGAGAGAGAGAGAGAGAGAGAGAGAGAGAGGGAGGGACCUGCUAAUGAAUCAAGAAGGGUGGACUUGCCGGAACCAGAAGGACCCAUAAUAGCCAUGAUUCUACCAGGUUGAGCAUAGCCAUUGAGGCCAUUGAGUAACCUUCUAGUAGGGCCGUUCCCAAAGUUUGGCAACAGAACACUGAGAUCUUGCCAUACCAAAUAUGCUGCACUUUUAUCUCCAUCAUGCUCUGAUGAAACCCCUUUCUCAAGAUCUGCAUUGCUAACCCUAGCUGCAGUUGCUGUUUCAAUCUCCAUAUGUUUACAACUCUUUUUUGGGGGCCUCAAGGCAUGAAAGUAAUACUGAGGAAGAACAACUCUCAUGGUUAUAUAGAACGUAGAAAGUGAUGGCCAGUACACAUGAUAAAAGCCACCUCAUUUUUGGUCCCCGAGCAAUGUUGCUGUCGAAUAAGAAUUAAUACUGGUACCAAACAUCUAAUCCAUUCAAUGCUGUGAUAAAGCUUGUGUAGUGGAGAUUGGAGAAGAUGUGACGAGAAAAAUUUGCUUUUAUUACUUGCAGAUGGUUUGAAGUCUAGUGAUGCCUCGUAAUGCUAACAAAACAAACUUGUUUUUUUUUUGUCACAACGAUAAUAUUUGUAUAAUCCAUUCUAGUCUAAUGUAAGACAAGAUUAACAGAUUUGGUCAAUCUAGCCUAGUCCAAUGCUAUGUUUUCAGAACCGGACCGGAUAUCGACUCGGCCGAGGUCAGGGGUCAGGGGUCAAUGGGUUCGACCGGGGGUCGAUAGGGGUCGAACCGGAUGACGUCAUAAAUAAAAAUUAUUUAAAAAUUAAAUUAUUGUAUAUAAAAUAUCCAAUAACAUAUUGAUAUUAAUAAAGGUAUAUUCAUAUAUAUUUGAUGUUUCAAAUAUAUUUAACAAGAAAAUACAAAGAAAUUAGAACAAUCAAGUAACAAUUUAUAUUAUUUAAUAAACAUUAACAAGUUUAAAAUUAAAAUUAUGGAUUUAAUUGAAAAAUAACAUCAAAUUUUAGGACAAUAUUUAUAAAGUAUGAAAUAUUUGAGGUAUAUUAAUAAGUUUUCACAAUUUAGGGGGCUAAAAUAUAAUAUUAAAAAAGUUUGAACUUUUUUUACAAAAGCUCCUGUUGGACCGGUUUUUCCGGUUCUGUACCGAUCAAACCCGGAGUUGACCGGGUUUUGAAUCUUCCGGUUUUGAUGAUCAACUCGGACCGGACACUCGACCGGUUCCCGGUUUAACCGGUCGGACCGGCCGGUCCGGUCCGAGUUUGAAAACACAGGUCCAAUGUGGGGGUUAAUGAGUUUGGUCGGUUGGACCGGAGUAAAAUAGAAAAGGUUAACAGAUUUGACUGGUUGGAUCGAGAUUCAAAAUAUUAGAAAACCAACUAAUGGCAUCACAAAACAUUGAGUUUGUCUGGAUAAGAGUUUAUUUGGAUGAUUUAUUUGAGAUAAUUACUGUAAUACUUUUUGUAAUAUGAUAUAUGUGAGAUAAAAAGGUAAUUGAAAUUUGUAAAGCAAAUUAUUUUAUCUCAGAUCAUCUCAAUCCAAACACACUCAUUGUAAUACUAGUAAUAUAAAAUAAAAUAGCAGAGAAAAUAUAUACUGCAAUAUUUUUAAACUUUAAAUAAAGGUGGAUAGGUUUACAACGAAUACUAUUAACCAUAAUUGACAAAAGGGUUAAAUGCACUAAACCGCUGCAAAGUUUGGUCUAAUUCAUCCUUUUUCCCCUAACGCUACUUUUUAUUGCACUUUACCCCCUCUCUCUCUCUUUUUUUUUUUUUUGGCAAUCCCCAGAGCUGGGGUUGGGAUGCCAGUCCCAAUUUUAUUACUUUAAAUCAGUUCCUGAGGGGGGCAUAAACCUGACCUCAUCCAUACAAGCCCAAAAUAAGAAACUUACUUAAUGCGACGUCUUCGAAUAGAUGGGUAAGCCAAUUUAUCCAACCGAUAUUCGCCCCUGGCUAUCCCUGGGAGACUACUUAGAUGUUCAUAGAGACAGAUCGACUCAGACAGGGUACACCCGACAUUGGCCAGAAUGUCUGCCACCUAAUUGGCUUGUCGGUAACAAUGCUUGAAUUGUAUACUCCCCUUAGAAAGUGUGAAGCACUGCUCGACCUCACCACUAAUUGACCACGGGCAUUGGGAAUUAUUCGUCAGAAUCUUUAUUAACAACCUUGAAUCCGAUUCAAUAACCAGCUGCCUGACCAUCGUCCUCUGGACACACAGUUGCAACCCAAGCAAUAACGCUUUAGCUUCAGCUUGCAAGCUAGUCCCAUAGCCAAAGCAUCCUGCGAAGGCAAAGAUAAAGGAUCCCGAAACAUCCCUAAGGAUCCCCCCUCCACCACUCAGACCCGGAUUUUCUUUAGAACACCCAUCUAUAUUUAGCUUAAACGUUCCCAAGACUAGAGAUUGCCAAUGAACCAGACGAAUCCUAAACACUUCUGCUCGCCGCUCCACCAAUCCCAAGAACUGAGGCCAAGUCUUGACCUGAUUAAAUUCACCAAAUUGCAACCAGUAGGCAUCCUUCAAGUUUUGAAAAGCUGCUCCACAGAUAGAUCGGGCAUCCUUGGUAAUUCCUUCAAACACUGCUGAAUUCCUUGCCUUCCACAAAUUCCAACACACAAAAAUGGGCAAGAGUCGAAAGACAAACUUUAACCUCUCAGACUUAGUAGGUUUGUACCACCAAUUCGCCAAAUACACUCUUAAGUGGUCCUGACCAAAUGUAAUACCACAGAGAGAUCCGAAAAACUUCCAAAUCGCCCUUGCUACCUCACCAUCCAUGAACACAUGCUGUCGGGUUUCAACACUAGACUCCACACAGCAAAAACAUUUGGAUGGUAAGUGAAGAAAAAGCUUAGUUAAAAUAUCAUCCAACGGUAACCGUCCUCGCAACAACCGCAUCAUAAAGAAGGAAAUUUUUUGAGGUAGGUGCGGAUGCCAAACCUGCCUAUACAUGAAAGAGGAUGGCUUGGCCUCCCUCAACUCUUGGAAGGCCGAGGAUACUGAGAAACGUCCAGACGACGAAGCCGUCCAAACCAUUCUACCCACUGACAAAGAAUAAGGGACUGGCACCUUCAUCACAGCCUGGACUAUAUCAGAUGGUAAAACUUGAGCCAACAACUGCCUAUUCCAUAUACCAUCAGCUACAAAAUUUUGAAAGGACAAAUGUUCCUGCAUCUCCACUUUAAGGUAGAAAGCACCUGAGCUCGUCCAGUUAUCAAACCAGAAAUGACAAUUGCCAUUAUAAGGUCUCCACGUUAUGAAUAGCUUCGUAAAUCCCUAAUAUCCAACAUGCGACGCCACGUUGCAGAACUAGUAGAGACCAUGGACACUUGACAAGGAUGAGAAAAGUGACAGUAUUUGGCCCGCAAGAAUAAAGCCCAUAACGAGAUACCAUUCCUAAAGUUCCACCACAGUUUGCAUGAAAAGGCCCGAUAAGUGUCAUAAAUCGACCGAAAUCCAACACCACCCUCAUCUGGAGGAUAGCAUAGAUCUCUCCACCUAAUCCAGUGAAACUUAUUUGAGUCUUUAGUCGUUCCCCACAAGAAAUUAGCACAGACUCGUUCAAUCAUGCGGAAGGAGCAUUUUGGAAGUAUCGCUGACGCCAACAGGUGAAGGGGAAUGCUCGACAGCACGUGCUUGAUCAAAAUGAUCUUACCACCAGAUGAUAAAAGACGGUUCUUCCAGGAGAGCACCUUAGCAACAAUUUGCUGGCACAAAUCCGCAAAAUACACUCUCUUGCACCGACCAGUAAACAAUGAAGAACCCAAAUAACGGACCGGAAAUUCUUUUUUAGAAAACUUAGUAAUCCGUUCAAUGACGCUUUUUCGAGCCAGUGACAUGCUGGGAUGAAUCAAACAACCACUCUUACUAGUAUUCACCAAUUGGCCAGAUGCACAUUGAUACAAUUCCAACACUCGCAUAAUUUUCCUUAGCGAAGAAGCCAACCCAUUGGCAAACACUAUAACGUCAUCUGCAAAAGCCAAGUGAGAAAUAGCAGGGCAGUGUCGCGGCAAUUUGUAUGCCACAAAUUUUGAUUGCGAGUAAAGCAAAUUCAACCCUCUAGACAAAACCUCAGCUCCAAUGAUAAAAAGCGCCGGUGAUAGAGGAUCUCCCUGCUGAAGUCCCCGGAAGGACUUAAAAAAACCAUGUGAAACACCAUUAACAAUUACCGAAAACCAUACGUUUGAUAGCAAUCGCCACACCAUAUCAAUAAAUCUUUUCCCAAAUCCAAAUUGACGCAAUACCUUAAGAACAAACACCUAGGACAUCCUAUCAUAUGCCUUGGCCAUGUCAAGUUUAAGCACCACAUUCCGACCCCUGCAUUUCUUCCCGAUGUCUGAUAUCAACUCCUGAGCUAGGAGAUAAUUAUCAGACAUACUUCGACCCGGCACAAACCCACUCUGCUGAGGAGAGAUAAUACGAGGUAGAAUAGGAGUUAACCGUGAUACCAAAACUCGAGAAAUAACUUUAUUCAAAAAGUUACACACACUAAUAGAACGAUAUUGAGAGAAAGAGUGAGGAUUCAGGACCUUUGGAAUAAGAAUAAUUGAGGUGGCUAUAAUAAAUCGAGGAAGUUCUGCUCCACAAAAGAAACUUAGAAUCGCUUGGUAGACAUCAAGACCUAUCACCUCCCAGGCAAAAGUAAAGAAUUUUCCUGUGAAACCAUCCGAUCCUGCUGUACUAUCACCAUCCAUAGAAAAGACCACACUCUUAACCUCGUCUAGAGACGGGGCCUCUUCUAGACAAAUAUUAUCAAUUUCGGAGCUCAAGUUGGGAAUAACAUGGAUCAAUCGGGGAUCCGAACUAGAAUCCUCCGAGAACAAUUCUUCAAAAUACCUCACUGCUUCCAGUCCGAUGGAGUCAUCAUCUGUAAGCCAAGUGCCAUGCGAAUCUCGAAUCUUGUGAAUAGUUGCAUGAUACCUCCGCUGCUUCACCACCGAGUGAAAGAACUUAGAAUUUUUAUCCCCCUGCUGAAGCCACUUAACCCUGGCCUUUUGUUGCCAGAAUUGCUCCUCAAGAGCUAGUACCCUCCUCAGCUCGGCUCUUAACCGUUGCAAUUCGACAACGUUUUCAUCCAAGCUAUCUGAUUGCAGCUGAAGCUCGGCAUGAGCCACCGCUGCCUCAACCCUCCUCACGACGAGAAACACAUCACCAAACGUCUCCUUGUUCCAAAGUUGAAUGGCUCGGGAGACCCUCCGCAAUUUGGUCCAUACCCGAAAAAAAGGCGAGCCACUAUCUUCGACUUGCCAAGCCACCUUAAUCACAUCCAGCAGGCUUGCAUUAGAUGUCCACAUAUUGAGAAAUCUAAAGGUGCGAGGUUUAUUGUCCAAUCGGGUAGAGAAGGAUAUGAGAAGCAGGGCAUGAUCGGAAGGCUCCCGGACCAAGUGGGAAACAGUCAACGAGGCCGAAGCAUUUAAGCAGGCCAUGUUAAUUAAUACCCGAUCUAGACGCUUCCAGAUUCUUGCUCGCCCAGAUCUAUUAUUACACCAAGUGAAACUGGACCUAGAAAAACCUGUAUCAAACACACCAGCCUCAUCUAUGAAAUGGGAUAGCUCCGAUCCCUGAGAUGGCUGGAAAGGCCGGCCACCCCUUUUCUCAUUCGUAGACAGAAUAAGAUUGAAAUCUCCCACAAUAUACCACGGCUCUUGGCAAGGCUUGUCACUUAACAAAGCAUGCCAUAAUCGCCUCCUUUCCACAGCAGUACACUUAGCAUGAACGAAGGAAACAGUAAAAGGACACGAGCAUUGUGGAUGACCAAACGAAAUGGAUAAGUGUUGAUCCGAAUCCCCAACGACCACAGAGAAGAAAGGUAAGCUAAAGAAGACCCACAUAUCCCCUGAUAGGUUAGACACCACAUGAUCAAAAUUCAAACGAAUACGAAUUGACUCAAUGUCAUAUGUCGAAAGUUUAGGCUCACAAAUUCCAACCACCGACAGCUUAUGCAUCACAAUUAAUUUUCUCAAUCUUUGAAAAUUUGGGGAUUUAGAAAUCCCACGAAUGUUCCAGAAAAGUGCAUUAAUCAUUAGAUAAGCAGUGAAAAGAAUUUUGAGAAUUUUGUUUUACCGACCUGAGCUCUCUAUCUGAAGGGAACUUAGCCCGUAUAGCACGACUCCUAGUUGGUUGAAUAUCCUGCUCAAGCACUGCUAAUUGAUCAAUAUUCAUAGGCUCAAGCAAAGAUUGGGAGCAACCAGGUACACCCGCGUGUGACCCUGGGAACCGAGGAGAGAGACAACCCGCGCUACUGGGUAAGUCGGCCGCAAUAUCAUGAUCUUCACCUUCUGACUCAUCAUUCCCCUCUUCCGUUGAUGAAGAUUCUUCCUCCACUACCCGACCAGCUAAGUCGUGAAUGAUACCAGUAGCCACCGCCUGAAUACCAUCAUCAACCAACGAAGGCAAGCUCAUAGGUACAGGAAGCACUACCUCCUAGCUCGCAACCCGGUCAGUAACAACCACAGCUGUGUCAGUAGUGAUCGCUGGUUCUACAAGCGGCUGCGUUCCCAACCCCUUACUCACAAAGGUAGCAGAUGAAGUUGUAACAGUAGCCACAGAAGUAUCACCUUUAGCCUCGGACGAAAUCAAAUUAGGGCAUGCCAAGACCUGUUCCUGACCUGGAGACCUUGAUAAGGAAGCCAACAACUCCGAAGAACUAGCUAACGCAACCUCUGCAGCAGUAACGCAACCACUUUACCCCCUCUCUCAAGUGCAGGUUUGAUCGUAAAAAAAUGUUCAAAGUUCCAAGUUUGCCCUGUUUUCCAUUUUUCUCCUAUUUUCUUCUCAUCACCCAAACUUCUCCUAUCACCCAAUUUUGGCACUGAUUUUUUCCGUUUUCCUUUUGGAAAAUCAUGAACUAUAUUGCCAAAAUGUUCACUUCCAUUGAAGAAAAAUAGAUCACAGUUGAAAUGAGAAGAUGAGGUGCAAAUGUGCUAAAAUCUUCUAUGCACAUGUUGUUGACAUGUACACACACACAUCCAAAAUUUCUUACUUACAAUUCCUCUCAUCUCGUCACCCAACAUAACCCUACUCCCACAAUUACAUAAUAUUCUUUUUUGGCAAUUAUUUAUUUUUUUUAACAUGAAAUUAUUAUAUAGUUACAUUUUCGAGUAAAUUCCAGAGGUAUGUGGUUCUUUCAAGUGCUGAGAUCAUAUUUUAAAGAAAUUUUUUUCUCAAAAUGAAAACAAAUCAUAUUUUUUUCGAGUAUUACCUCCACUGAUAGGCUAAUAUGAGGGCAUUAAUGUCUUUUUCUAAAUCAUUGGUAUUGAACGCUAGUCAAGAGAAGAAAAUGUAACAAAAAUAAUUUUAAGGGAGAAAAUACAAAUUGUAUGAAAUGUUAAGGGUACUAAAUGCAUUUAAAACUUGAAAAAAUAUUGAAAUUAAAAUUGUAAGUGAAACUAGAAAAUAAAAGUGCAUGAGAGAUUUUUUAGUUGUCUAAAUUAUCUAGAGGCAAAAAAUAAAUAGUAUAUUUUAACUAUCAAACUCAAGCUAAGAGAAUCUAAAGAAAAUUUAAAAACAAAAAAACAAAAAGGUACAAUAUAAGAAAAAAUAAAUAAUUUUUUUUUUCAAUUUUUUUAGAUUAAGCUCAAGGUCUCUACCAUCCUAAAUUUUUUUUAAUUUGACCAAGGUCUCUACCAUCCUAAAUUUUCAAAAAAGUCAGAAUGAACAACAAAUUGAUUCCUAAAUCAAUUGACUGAACCAGCCAACCUAAUCCGAUUUUAAGGACACAACAAUUCAGUAAAAGAUUUAAAGUAAGUGCUCUUUGGUGGCAUGAAAAAGUUUUGAUAUUUAAUAUUGUUCCCUUAAUCUAGCUAGAAACCAAUUAGAAAUAGUUAACAGAUUUAAAAAGUUCUGAUAUACAAGUGGAUUUAUAUCGAUUUGGAAUGAAGUUCUAAAAUUUACUUGUGUCCAUGAACAAUAGGAGUGAAUAUGUUUAACAAAUAAAAAGGAUUAAAAAAAUUCCUAUUAUAACAUGCACAUUUUUUCCUUAAGUCGUAAAAAAAUUUGCUCAAAUACUAAUUCGGUGAAACUUAUUCGUGUUAGGUUCAUGAAUAGGGAAUUGUCAUUGGCUUGAAAGAUGAAGAAAGAACUCUUAAUAUAUAAGUAAAGGUCUGAGACCAAAUAACUUUUUAUGUCAAAGUUGGGUUUUGACUUAUAUAUCGGACUCUUUUGAUGAAUUCUCUUGAGUUUUUUUUCUGUAACAAGUAGUAUCAGAGCUUAUGUUUGGGUUCUAGCUAACUGUUUGAAAUUAAGUGAUUGGUGACAAUACCAUAGCGUUUAGAAAUAUACAAUUUUCAAUUUUACUGUUUAAUGGAAUUACAAGUUUCACACUGUUUAAUGGAACUACAUGUUUCACCGGAUGUUCUAGUUCAAUAGAGUUUCAAACUUGGGUUUAAUCUGAAGGGCUACUCAUGAAGAGAGAGAUUGUUAGGUGUUAGGUUUACGAGUAGAAAAUUAUGUCCCACAUUGGUUCAAGAAAUGAAAAAAAGACACUUAAUAUGUAAGUAAUGGUUCGAAAUCCAAUAGAUUAAAUUUUAGAGUCAAAAUUGGGGUCCUGACUUAGAUACUGAGUCUUUUUUCGUGGAUUUUCUCAAGUUUUUCUUCCUAAUAAUUUGUUGUCCUAUAUUUUUGUAUAUAUUAUCAUAUGCACGAUAAUAAAUCAGCUAAUAGGCUAAUUUUACCAACUGCUAUACUUAAUAAAGUAUUCUCUAACAAGUGUUGAAAUUUGCAUCAGCUAGUAGUUUAUAGUAUGUUACAAGAAAUGGUAUGUUCCAGGAUGAUCUUGGUAUGAUCCAUUUGCUUAAUAGUUUUCCGAAUUAACGUAAGUUGUUGGAGAAUGGCAACAUGUUCGAUAUUGUACGUGCGAUUAAUUUUUCAAUCAAAAGGGCACUUCUUAUGCAUGAUAUCCAAUAUAGAUUAGUAUUUUGAAAUUUAGACUGGACAAUGACUCAAACGAGGUUAGGUUCAAGUAUCAAAGGUUGAAUUGAUCAAAUCACUACAAAAAAUCAGAUAAUGUCAGCAAACUUGAUACAAAUUUGAUAAGAGGCAAAAAAAUGAGAAGAAAGUGAGUGGGUGUGACAUUUAAUAAUUUGUCUUUAGGGUUAUGGAAAACCUAUUCGUUUUUUUCUUUUAAUUUUUUUUCAAUUUAAUAAACAAAAAUAAAAAAAUUGUUGGUUCAACGGUUCAAUCCAAUUUGUACAGUUCGUACCGAUUUUUAAGUCUAACCAACCCAAAGUAUCAACCAGACCGAAGCUAUGAACAGUUCGUGGUCCAACGAUCGAACCAGUCAAUCCGAUCCGAUUUUCAAAACAAUGCGUUUUGGUACAAGAUCUAUGAUUAAAUUUUGUUUAAGAAACUAAUGUGAGGUUGGUUUUGAUGGAAUCGAGGCUGGCUGACUGAAGAGGAAGAAGUGGGCGUGAAAGAAAUGGGUUUGCAAGGGAUGAAAUCUCGGUAGGGUAAAGGAAAUUUGUUUUUUGAAACAAAAAAGCAGCAAGAAGGAGAAAUGAAAAAAGCCAAUUCUUACCUGUUUUACUAAAUCAUACUUUAACCAGAUUUUUUAUCGGGUUUGACCGAAUUAGUUUUAAGCAAAUGGGUUUGCAAGGGAUGAAAUCUCGGUAGGGUAAAGGAAAUUUGUUUUUUGAAACAAAAAAGCAGCAAGAAGGAAAAAUGAAAAAAGCCAAUUCUUACCUGUUUUACUAAAUCAUACUUUAACCAGAUUUUUUAUCGGGUAUGACCGAAUUAGUUUUAAGCAAAUGGGUUUGCAAGGGAUGAAAUCUCGGUAGGGUAAAGGAAAUUUGUUUUUUGAAACAAAAAAGCAGCAAGAAGGAAAAAUGAAAAAAGCCAAUUCUUACCUGUUUUACUAAAUCAUACUUUAACCAGAUUUUUUAUCGGGUAUGACCGAAUUAGUUUUAAGCAACUUUUAAGGAGGACUCAGACCGAAUACUUAUUCGGUUCUCGGUUCAACUUGUCAAACUAACUAAUUUAAUCCAAGUUUAAAAAUAUAGAUUUAGAUCUGUAUGUGACAUUUCAAUUCCAUAUGUAAUUCCUAUAUUUAAAAAUAUAGAAUUUCUUUAAGUGCUGUCACAUGUCAACAGUGUAUGUUUCAAUUAUGGUAUCAGGAAAAUAAUUGGUGGGUAUUACAAAAAAUGAGAUCGGUUCUUUUAGGUAAAUGCUGAAUUCGGAACCGAAGAGCACUAUCCUUUCGUAAUCUCCCUUAAUAUCUUUUCUUUCUAGAAAUUUUCAGUGAUUAGUUGUUUUAAGAUUGCCAUUUGCUUGCAGAAGAAAUGAGUUGGAUGAUUCAAAAAGAGAGAAUAUAAGUGAAAAAUCUCAGAUUCGAGACCUCCCACUACUUACACUUAAAGGAAAAAAAAAAAAAGAUUGCCGUUUGCUUUUUAUCUAUAUGGAAGUCUUAGAGAAGGUCCCUCUUGUGGUUAGAUCUGCCAAUAGGUAUUGCAUCAAUGUCUUCGUUUUUCUCUAAAGGUUCAUUUGUUAAAGUAGCCAAGUGAUGGGUAGCAAUUUGUCAUGCCCCAAAUAAGGACAUAACAACCAUCACACACCCUCGCCAAUACUAUUCAAGUGUGUAAGGCUAACCAUUUAUCUACACAACCAAAAACUUGGAAUAGAGCAUCUAUACUCCAAUAAAAUAACCCUUCUUGUCCAAUAGCUGAAAAAAUUUAUUCACCAAAUUAUAUGUAAAAGUGUGUCUAGAAUAUUAUCCAACUUCUAAAGGAAACAUCAAUUCCCGAAUGUUUCAACCAAAUAAUUCAACUUAGUCUAAUAAUCAAAUAAAAAGAUAUUGUUUCCUUUAACAAAAGGAAAUACAUUUAUUCAACCACUAUCACUAUGAAUAAAUGAAAAAAAAAAAUGCUUCUACGUUGCUCCACUCUACUCCAAUGCCGCCAAUGGAAUAUCCCUGAGGAUUUAAAAAAAAAAAAAAAAAAGUGAAAGCAUGGGGUGAGUUCACGGUUUAGUAAGCAACCAAGCUCCUAAUCAAUUGGAUCAAUUAGUAUACACAUUAUAUAUACUAAGAUAGUAUACAGAAUAAAGUUUUACAACUCAAUAAACGAGUACAACAUUAAUCAACUAAGAGCACAACAAAAGUCCCAUUAAUUAUUUACUCAACAACAACUACUGGCAACUUGGGUCAGGAGUCAAGCUUAACCCUCUGAAUUUGGGUCAUAGGUUAGACUUCACUCUUCCAAGUUCCAACCCCAAUAUAGCUUGGUUGCCAUAGCCAAUUUUGAAAAAGUCUAAUUCAACUUAAUCAACAUUUGCGGCUCAACAAUCAUCAAUUUAUCAACCAACCACAGAAUAUAGGUUACAGCAAAUCCACGAGAAUUAACGCCUCCAAACAAGUCACACAAUUAACAAUUACAUACAUGAUCCAUUUUCUGGAGUACAUGAACAAUCAAAGUUCCCGAUAACAGCUUUAGUCGAAAUGAAUUUAUACAUUUAAGAAAACACUGGUUAGGAACAGGCCACUUACCUCAAAUUCUUUGCACUAGAAAAACCAUGAAGUCAACCCAAUGAAAAAUUGGAACCUAAGUUUAAAGACUGCUUAGAAGUACUGACCACCCUACUGGUUACCUUUCACCUUCACUUUCACCAUGAUACUGCUCAAUCCUAGCUUACCUAAGAGGAUGACUAAUCACCCCCAAUCAUGUUAGCACACAUGCAAUGCAAUUUCGCUUCUUCCAGCUUUAACAGUGGUACACAUUUGGUAGAAAUUUCCAAAGAGAACUAAGAUGAAUGUGAAGUGAUUGACUAAUAAAUUAAUACCACCCAACCUAACUAAGCACGUGAAGACCACAAUCCAUCCUCAGAAUAACCCAUGAAUGCGGAUACAGUAACCUAUUUGCCUCAAUUCCUUUAUAAUCAAUUGAAUGGCAAUUUAAUCGAUAAGGGGUGUUAGGUUACUCAAGCAAUGUUGCAUUAAAUUAUUGCGACUGUGGAUGCCUAACAUAUGAAUGAGACUCGCUAAUAACUUUGUACCCAAAACUGCAGUGAAAGUAGAAACGCUUUCUUGAAAAAUUUAUCAGUGGAACUUUUUGCUUUCUUCUUGAUAGUCCGCUCUUUCGCCAAAUCCUGUCCUUCUUCGUCACUUUGAACUGAAAGAAUUAGGCGUGCUUUUCUCUUUUUAUUCAAGAGAGAGAGAAGAUGAAAAACGCAGGUUUAUUCUUCGCUUAUGAUUAGGGCUUGAUCAAAAUUAUCAUAUAAUCCUCACCCUACUACCAAAAAUUAUCCUUAAGUCCCUCGGGUAAAAUUUUCUUCAUUUAAUUGCUUGACCUGCACUUAUCUAAUUUUUUUCAUUACAUCGGGUAAAAACUGUGUGCGCGCGCAAGCGUGUGUAUUUUUUCAAGUCUUACACAAUUGCUCAUAGCGUUGCUGUUGAAGUUUUUUUUUUUUUUUUUGGUAACCCGACAUAAUGUUUUCUGCAAUGAAGUUAGAUACUACAUCCUUUUAUUUUUAAAUUAAUUUCACUUUAUAAGAACCUUAAAUAGACACAUACAUAUCUUAUGUAUAGGCAUGUGCGCGCAUGCAUUCCCACAUACACAUACAUGCACAGUUGCACACCCUUGUAGUCCGAUUUGCUUUCUAACAAUAUUAUUAUUUGUUAUAGAGGACUGAUUUUGACAAUUCAAUAGAUAUGGUGUUAGGCACUUGACAUAUGUUCUUUUCUCAUACACACCAUUGCAGUACGAUUUGUUUUCUAAUAAUAGCAUUUGCUAUAGAGGACUGAUUUUGACAAUUCACUAAAUAUAGUGUUAGGCACUUGACUUAUAUUCUCUUCUAAUUAACUUGAUAAACAUACUAAUAGGCUACAUUUUUUUUUAACCCUCCCAACCCCCCACUCCCCAAUUGUCCUUCCUACCUUCACGUGCCAAGCAUAGAAUUUGAACCAUGAAACUUAAAGACUCUAAGACUCUUUUUUUGACCACCGAACUAAAUAGACUAUAUUCAAUGGCACUGGUUAUAUAUGUGUUCAAUUCUGUCUCUCUCUUUUUUUUCGGUGGAAGUCUUGCUUAGCUAUUAAAGGCUUAUAUCUUUUUCCAUUGUACAUUCUUAGUAUCAAAGUCACCAAAAUUAGAAGGUUCAUGUUGUCACUGCACUCGUGGUUUGGAAUACAUACAACUAUUAUAAAGUGAGCUUUCUUCUUGGUUUUUAGCAAUUUGUUUACUCAUUUUAUUGUAGUUCUUAAGGAAUUUUAAUUAACCUGAAUUGAGCGCAAUAGCAUCUGGUUCUGUUGUUAAUGUUUUGUUUCUAUUGAUUAAAUGAGUAAACAUAGAAAAUCGUUUGUUCGAUUAAACAUGUAAUUGAGUUUGCGUCCUGCUUAGAGAUUAAAAUUGGAUCUGCAUUAAAAGUUUUUUAUUGAAAUUAUAGCUCGCACUAUUUGUAUUGAGGUAUAUGCGACAUUCAACAAAAGUCAGUAACACUACUCAGACAUCUUGUUAUUGUUCAAGGUGUUCUUUCACAUAUUUGAACAUUAAUAAAAGGAGGUGAGGCGCAAACGUAGUAAAAUCUUCCAUAUGUUAUACAUAAUUUAUCAUGUGAAUGCAGAUAUUAGCAUUUAAUUUUUUUUUUACAUUUAGAUACUUUUCCAAAUUUAAUUUAACUUACCAAAAAACUAACAUUUGAAACUAUCUCAACAAGUGUUUGUUAGAAGAUAAGAUUAAGAUCUUCAACCCUGACUUACAAAUCAUGAAUAAAGAGAAUUAUGACAUACCAUUGAAUAUGUAUCUACUUGGAGUUGUAUAGUUUUAAGUCUUGAUCUCCCCCUGCUACUUUCUCUUAUGUAUGCUCUAGUGAUGGGAUAAUUCUCACAGACAAAAAUUGAGUGGAGAGAGGGACCAAGAGCCUAUUUAUAAAUGCACAAGUGACCCAUCCCCUUAUUGAUUAUUAAUAAGACUCAUUAAUUUUUCCUACUUGAUAAGAUAAAUCUUAUCAUUAAUCACUUGUUUCAAGGAUAUAUAUACACGGUCACAAAUAUAUAUACAUUCAUUUAUGUGAAGUUUCAUAAAUAUAUGGAUAAAUUCAUUUAUCACUUAAGUUAGAUUCAUGGCUUUGGUCAUUGAAUUUUGUGACAUAAUAAUUAGGUACAUGACUUUGGUCAUGAUACCUUGAUCCUAUCGAUACAAGUAGUUGUUCUUUCACGUAUGUGGCACUUUAUUAUUUAUACAUUUAUGUUGUCAUGUAGGGCACAAUAAGUAAUUAAUCUAACAUUCUCCCACUUGGACAAAUGAUCACAUAAAUGUUAUAAAGACAAGCAAAUGGUGGCCACCACAAAAAAAAUAAUUUUAUUCUACAUAAUUAUUGUAAUGGAUCAUGGCAGUCACGUAUAAAUAUUACAAUACAAUUCCUUCCAUGUAUCACAAUUUCAAUAACUGUAUGUAGAUAAAUUCAAUGAGGAAGAAAUGGAGGAUUAAACAUUCAAAGUCCAUUGAUGGUCCAAAUUAUUCCUAUUUAAUUUACCAUAUUAUACACAAAACCUUUUCUUAUACAAAAAUAAGUGCUAGAAUUACGUGUCCAAAUUACACAAAUUGAGUACGACCCAUGGAAUUAGUAUAUUCCUUAAACUUAUUUGGUGUCAAUGCUUUCGUUAAAGGGUCUGCAAGCAUCAUAUCUGUCUACAUAUGCUCAAUGGACACCUUUUGUUGCUAAAUUCUUUCACGGACAACAUGAUACUUCAAUUCAAUGUGCUUGGACUUAUUGGAGCACUUGUUAUUCUUUUAAAAGAAAAUAGUAGCGGAAUUGUCACAGUAAAGCAUUAUGGGUUGAGAUAUAAAAUCUAGAGGUGGAUUUCAUACUGUCAAGGCAACCAUGAAAUAUGAAUAUGAUUAUCUGAUAACUUCUAGAUGAUCUCUGUGCCUAUAGGUGAGCAUCAGAUCCUCAAUACAUUGAAGAUAUUGUAUCGCCUUUUUAGCGGCCUUCCAAUGAUCUAUACUUGGAUUACUUUGAUAUCUGCCAUGCAUUCCAACUGUAAAACUAAUAUUGGGCUGCAUGCAAGUUUGGGCAUACAUUGGACUACCAACAGCAGAAGCAUAUGGAAUAUGGGACAUUUGUGGUCUCUUAAUAUCAUUAUGAAGACAUUGAUUUUGACUAAGUUUAUCACCUUUAAUGAUUGGAGAUGGAGUAGUUGAACGAUUUUGCAUGUGAAACCUUUUAAGAACUUUAUUUAUAUAAGUCCACUGAGUUGAACCAAGAAUUCUCUUAGACCUAUCUCUAUGGAUGUUGAUAUCAAGUAUAGAGGAUGCAUUAUUUAUAUCCUUCAUUUUAAAGUUCUUAGAAAGAAAUUCUUUAGUUUCUUGCAAUAAAUUUAAAAUAUUAGUAGCCAGCAAAAUAUUAUCAACAUACAAGAUAAAAAAUAUGAACUUACUCCCACUGACUUUCAAAUAUAUACAUUCAUCAAGUUUGUUUUAUUAAAAUCCGAAGGACGUGAUUGUAUCAUGAAACUUAAAAUACCAUUCCCAAGAGGCUUGCUUAAAUCCAUAUAUAGAUCUUUUAAAUUUGCAAACUAACUGUUCUCUUCCUUGCUUCUCAAAAUCCUUCGGUUGUUUCAUAUAUAUUUUCUCAUCCAAAUUCCUAUUUAAAAAAAUUUGUUUUACAUCCAUUUGUUGUAACUUCAAAUCAAAAUGAGCUACUAAGGCCAUAAUGACAAAUGAGUCUUUCUUGGAUACAGGAGAGAAAAUCUCAUUAUAAUCAAUACCUUCUCUUUAAGCGAAUCCUUUUGCUACAACUCUGGCCAUAUAUCGGUUAAUAUUACCCUUAGAGUCUCGUUUAGUUUUAAAUACCUAUUUACAUUAAAUAGGUACAAAUCCUUUAUGUAAUUUGACCAAUUCUCAGACAUCGUUAGCUUUCAUAGAUGCCAUUUCAUCUUUCAUAGCAUCCAACCAUUUAUUGGAUUCACUACUAUUUAUGGUUUGAAAAAACGUUUUCGGAUCUUCAUCAAUGCCAAUAUCGCUAAAUUCUUGUAGGUACACUCAAUAACCAUCCAAAAUUACACUUUUCUUUUGUCUUUUUGACCUUCGUAAAGUGUUUGAAUGAUUAUUAGUGCUUUCAAUAGUGGGAUCUGAGAUGCCACGAUUUGACUCAUUAUGUGGCAGAUUAAGUUCUUUUUCACUCUUUUCUAUUUCUAUAAUGAGUGAAUUAUUGGAUUCCUUUAUCUUAGGAAUCAAUUUCACUUCCCUUACAUCAUGACUCCUACUAGAAAUUUCACUUUCAAAAAACUUAGCAGUAUUUGUUUCCAUUAUUCUAUUAUGAUGAUUAGCACAAUAAUAUCGAUAUCCUUUGGACCUUUCGGGAUAACCGAUGAAAAAAUAACUAACAGUUCUUGAAUUCAACUUCUUUUCAUGUGAAUUGUAAAACCUUGUUUCAGCAGGACAGCCUGGCUUUGUGAGGAGUGGUCUUCCUUCCAUGGAUUUCAUGUUUUUGUUUAAUAAAGUUUCUUCUAAAUUUUUUUUAGUGAGAGUUCUUUGUUUCUCCCAUAAAUUUUUAGUGAGAAUUUUUGUGUUGUUUUCUUCUUUUUUUAUUUUAUUUUGUUGUUAGAUCUAAAUUUAUUUUAGAUCUAGUUGUCAAUUUUGAUAUCUUUUUAGAUGUUGGGUCUAUCUUGAUAGAUCUCAUCAUCAUUAUUGAAAUCUAAAGCCAUUGGUUAGCAAAUCUGAUGAUUGCAACAUGGAUAAAAGUGAGUUGUAGCGAUUUAUCUUGUCAGAAGAAAUUUUUAAAUUUUUUAAAAUUUUUCAAAUAUGUUCAUAAUUUUUCAGAUCUAUUGUAUAUGUUAAAUUAUAAAUAUGUUCUGGUAUAUAUUUAACCUACAAUGAUAUAAAUCACACAUCGUGUUGGAUGAUCUCCAACAUCUAUUGAUGAAUUUUUUUAAAAAAAGAAAAGAAAAAAACGGCAACUAUAGCACAAAUUAACGAAAACAUCUUUCAUAAACCAAAGUUGGGUGCCGAGCACUUUUUAGCACCUAAUAUAUUUUCGUAGGGAAUAUGGAUGUGACUUCCAAUUAACCUAUCUUAAAAAUUUUAAUAAACCAACAAUAAUUCUAAACCAAAUAAUUCCAAGUUCAAUAGACUAAUACCCACCCAAAAAAAUUGGCAGGUGUAUGGGGUGACAAAUGACUAGGUUGUGAGAGAUGUCAAUGAUACAGUUGUUGUAUCCUUCAUAAAAUGCAAAAUAUGCACUCAGUUUGUUUGUUAAAUUAUAGAACUUCAUUUUUUGUUCAAUGGGAGACUCCAAACCUCACAAGAAUGAGAAAAGAGAAGGAUUUGAGGGACGACUAUGGAUUUCACAGUCAUUCAACUAAUGUGGCUUCAAUUCUUGGUGGGAUGGGAGAUUAAGAAUUCAAACCUUGAACCUUGCCUCCCAUCAUUGUGCCAUCAUAUGUGGCUUCUCCAAAAAUUCAUAUAAGUACGUGAUGUCUGGUCCAGUGGUGAUUCAGUUUUCGUCAAUUUUCCCAAUUGGAUCAGUUAAGCCUCCCCCUUCCCCCAAAAAUAGGCUAGAAUAGGAGUAGAAAUAGAAGUAAAGUAGAUAUUGUCAUUUGACCAAAAAAAAAAAAAACUAAUGUCCUUACUAAUUAAUGUUCCUUACUAAGUAAGUUGAGUCUUGACUUCAAUUAUAGAACUUCACAUGUCCAGUAAUAAGUCAAUAUUGGUUAGAGGGGGGUUAUUGCCUUGUCGGCUUUAACAUUCCACAAAAAAGAUACCAAACAGAUCAACUGAGUUAAAAAGGCCGUCCCUUGGGCUUGGGUGACCAGAACUAUUCCUGUUUCUUUAAUGGGUCAGUCGGCCGCAUUGAACCCAAUGUUGUGGCAAACUUGUCAGGAGGCGUGUAUGUAACCGACAAUUCGCAUUAAAGUAUUCCCCUACUUUUGAUCUUUCUGAGGAUUUAGAAUUAGAAUGAUCUUCCCAGUGAGAAGGGUUUCUCAGCAAUUGCUAGAGGCGAUCACUUAAAACAAUACAUAGCGAAAAUCUCCCAGUUUUUGUACAUCAAGUACAUAAAUAUAAUUUUGACAAGAAAAAAAGUACGUAAAUAUAAUUAAUUAAAUGGAUAUUUUAUUCAAAAUUUUUCAAAUAUUUUAUCUGUUAAUUUGCAACCUGUUAUUUCUAGUGCAUGUUUAUCCUAACAUUAAUGUUGAUUUCUAUGAUACAAAUCAAACCAUGCCUGACAAUUUCCAGUAAUUUCAUUCAUGAAAUUGGGUUUUUUUUUUAAUAAAAAAAUGGAUAUUUUGUUAACAAGCCAAGAUUUUGAUCUGGUGAUAAAGAUUCUUGCAUAUUUGGAAGGAAAUGCUAGGUUUUGGCUUUAGCAAAAAGCAUUUAAUUGGGACACAAAUAAAGAUCCACAGGGUCGUCAAAGCUAAGCCAAGCUUGUAGGUAGGCCAAGCUGAGGGCUAAAUGGAUUUGAUAGGACUGUUAAUGAGGUCAGGCCAAUUCGAGCUCGACCUGUUCGGUCUGAAUAAAAGGUUACUAAGCCUAAGUUUUAAUUGGGUCAGAUAGAGUUUGUGAGUCGAACUUGGGCAAUACUAGACUUAGCCCUGACUAAAACUUGGCUCAUAUAUGAGUGUAAUUAUAUAUGUAAAAAAUAUAUAAUAAUAUCUAUAAUUUACAAUUAUUUAUACUACAUAUAAAGGGAGAGGAGGGGGUUUGGGGUAAACAAAAAUCUGUCACUUUAUAUACUUCUUAAACCACCCUUGAUAAUGAUGGAACUUUUGGUAUAAAUAAAAGUCUACUUAUCUUUGAUAACUACCUAUUACUAGUAUGAUUUUUUACCAAGUAAUAUGUAUUUUCUUCACAUUCAAUUUUUCAAUUUAUUUAGUAAAUCUUAAUUUUAAUUAGCAACUACCAAUUAUGGUAAUGAAUAACUACCAAAUAACCACUUUUUAUAACUCUUUUUUGGUUAAUAUUUUACAUAUGUAUUUUCAAAAUAUAAAACCAAAUUUCUUGAAAAUGAUUUCAAUGAAUUUAUUCAAAAUGUUUCACAAAUAUUUUUUCUAUAGUUGCACAUACAUUAGUGUGUACCUUGAAUACUAGUACAUAUUAUGACAUAAAAUGUUGAUAAUUGAUAUGUAAAUUUGUAUUAAUUCAUAAUUAUAAAAAAUAAAUUAUAUAUAUGAUUAUGAGUUUGGGUCAAAUCCGUUUUGAUCGUGAAACUCAUAUAAUAGUGUGAGUUGAGAUUAAAUCUUUUUAAUAUGAGCCCGAAGACUGAAAGUCUAAAAUCCAAAAAUUCAUAUAACUUGUGAGUCGAGUUUGAACUUGCUAAAAUCCGACUCAUAAAAACCCGACUGGCACCCCUAAGAUUUGACUUAUUUUGGUGCUUAUCCAAUCAAAUUAUUAGAAACUCAGUUUGGGCUUAAUGAUCAGUUUGUCGGGGAGAACGACUUAACCUAUGAGCGAUGUCGGGCUCAAUUAUGGACACGAAAAACUAUUGAGUCAUUUAAUCAGACAGAGUUCAUGGUUUGACCAGUCCAGCAAAUGCUCAUAUAAGUCUAAACUCGGGCGAAUGUGGUCAAAUUAGAAAAGGAAUUUGUCUAAAUCCAUAUUUCUCCUUUAUCUACUCAUUCAGGUGUGCUAUAUUUAUAUUCAUAUUCUCUUGCCUUGGUAUAACUUUGCGGGUUGAAACUUGUUUCGUCUUUUCAAUAUCGGUCUUGUCAUGGUUUCAUUGAAACAUUGUUGGUUAUGUUUUGUUUGUUUAUGUUGCUUUGUUUUAUUUGACUAAUACCACUUUGUGGAUUAGUUUUAUUGUAAUGAUUGUAACGUACAUUUUGCUACGUUGAAAUAAAUUUUAGCUCACAAAACAAAAAAUCGAAGUUAAUAAGUUUAUUGGAUUGGCUCAACACAAUAGAUGGAGUUCUCAAUUUCAAAAAAAUGUAACCAAAUUGUUAACAGGUGAAGCAUGCUUAAAUUUCAAAAACAUGCUUAAAUUUGGAGACCAUCUCUAAAGAAGCAACUAAUUUGUGAGGGUGAAGGUAUUAUUAUCUUUUAGAAAAAGAUAAAAAAGGCAUUAAAGAAUAACUUCUUUGGUAGAAAAUCACCACUCAAAUGUUUUGCUUAUUUCAUAAAUUCAAAAAAUUAUAUGAGAGUACAUGCUGAAUUCAAGAAAUCUCUUAAUGCAUGGCGAGGUUUAUAAAUCAGAGAAUCAAGCCAUUGCUCGCUAACUUCGUAGGCUAGAAUGUAAAAUUUGUACAAGGGUUUUUAUUUUUUAUUUUAAAAUUUGUACAAGGGUAUGACUUAUGAGCAAGUAAAAGUUACAAUCUGAUGACACCUUUGUAUACUAUUUUUAAUAAACAAAAUAAUUAAUGUGCUGCAAGUGUUUCUUGAGAUGAUAAUGACAAAAUAUAAUAAAUAAAGCAAAAUUUGGGUAUAGAGCUUGUUGUCCAAGUUGUACGUCAUCCACAUAAAUAACAAUAUAAGAUUGAUUCAUUCUUGAUGUAUCAUCCACCUGAUUCUUAUUGUCUGUGGGGUGAAAAUUUUGUGCACAAGCUGGAGGUACAACAGCUAAAUAAUAGAAACAAAAUGCCUGAGUUGACUAUUGGUACGGAGAUUAUAGAAUAACAAGGCCUGCAGCUAUCGUUUGAAGAAGCUAAAUUCAUUUACAACCAUAUGUUACAAACUUAAUCCCUUGUAACAAAAGCAUACUGUACGAGAUAUAUACUUAGUGAACACCAUGUCUGUCCAAUAGUCUUUUUUUUUUUUUUUUUUUUGUCAACACAGGGGUGUCCGGGUCAAGACCCGAAGGCGGCUCGACUAAUCCCCUGCGCCCAAGUACACCGCCACCCCAAGCGCACCGGGAGUUAAGUGGGAUUCGACCACUUGACCUUGAAGUUCCAGAAGAAGCCCAAGAUCAGAUGGUCUAGCCCCGGGGGCUCUGUCCAAUAGUCAAUGCUGCAUUUGUAGCGAUUGUCUUGCAUAUCACCAUUUGGAUUUACUAGUUGGCGACUCCACUGGGGACUUCCUAAAUGGGUCCAAGCAUUUGAUUUAGCUAUUCUUUUCCUUUUUCUACCCUUUUUAUGCGUAGCAUUUGGAUAUUAGGGUUGCAUUUUCCAUUUUUAGGACUUUUUACCUCGCACGCGUAUCAAGCUAUUCCUUCGCUCACGUAUGUAUGAUUGGUUGUUUGGAUGUAUAUUGUACUUGUUUUAUCUCGCGCUUUGCAUUGCAUUUGGGUGGGAGACAUACCCUAGAGCCUCGCGUUGGUUCUUGAUCCCUCCCCUCCAAACGAGCACUAGCAUACGUGCAUACGCUUUAAUUUUUUCACCCCUUAUUUAUUUUCUUUUAGUGGCUUGUCACGCCACUCCACCCUAUUAGGAUUUUUAGGCGACUCACUUGGACUGGUGAUCGCGACACGAUGUGUGCGUAGCUUGAUCCGAGGGGUCACUCAAUCUUCCAUUUUAAGCUUUGGGUUCAUAGCCUUUAGCUUUUAGUCGAAGGUUGAGGAUUUUUGAUAGAUUCACUCAUGACAUGUAGCCGUGACACGAUGUGUGCGUAGCAAUGUCUGGGGAAUCGCUCAAGCCACCGACAAGGAACCUUGGAAUUGAUGACCCUCGGUUUCCAAGUCGAAGGCUCGGGGACCUAAAGCCUAUCGAGUCUAGAUGCAUUAGUGAGCCAAUACCUCAUGCAUCCAUGAUAGUUUACCUAGGGUAGAGUCUGCCUUAUCCUGGUAGGGACACUAUUCACGAGGGGAGGGAUCCAACCCCUUUUUCCUUUUUAUUGCUUUAUUUCUUCGUAUUGAUUUUAUUGCUUUAUCGUUGCUACAAUGUGUUAUGUGUAUUUAUCUGGCUGAACUAACUUUCUUGGUUUUGUCCUCAUUGCAUUCACAAACCCUAGCAAAUAAGAGGUCUGGCAUGACCUUCUUUUAUAACCUACCCUUGUAGAUAGGCUAUUGCACGUUUAAAGAUGUUGGUAUAUUGCAUUCAUAGAUUAAUAAUUGCACAUCAUUCUAGGCCUACCUUGGCAUAAAGGGUCCUUUAGGUCAUGAUAUCAUUUAAAUUGUAUGUUUUAUCGCUUUAAUAAACUGGCAUCAUGCAUAAACCCUAGAAAGGGAAUGCCAUUUAGGCGAUCCCGUGCUAGGAAUAAACCACCCUGUGUCUCGGAUAUAUAAUCCAAUGAGACUUGCACGUUUAUAUUUCCUGUACCAUCCAAAGGGGUAGUGCACAAGGUAAGGUGGGAUCCGAUCAUUUCCAUGCGACGAUCUUUGGAAUAUGAGCGUCUAACAAUCACUUCUUGGCCACUUUAUCAAAAUUGAAGAGGACAUUAAUUUGAAGAAAUUCACAAAUAAUUCCUCGCUAUUGAGACGAUAAAUAAAUUGAGGCCAAAAUUUGAUUUUAGAAGGCUCAUAGACUAAUGCAUCGCAAUAAUUUUUUGAAACUACCAAUAAGCCGUCAAUUCCAUUCAAUCCAUUGGACCGUUUUGUUCAUCCAUUUCAUCCAGUCCAUUUUAUCAAUUUGUUCAAUUUUAGGGCAACUUAGUCGUUUUUGAAUUCAUUUGACUAGUUUACCUAUUUUUUAAGGCAAUUUAGCCGAUUUUUGAAUAGAUCAUUAAUUUCGCUCAAUUCAUGUGAUUAGUUCACCCAUUCUUAGGGCAAUCUUAUCGAUUUUAAAUAAAUUAUCGGUUUCAUCCGAUCCAUUUGAUGAUUUAGGGUUUCGGUGCCAGAUUUUAUAAUUAUAAUGGCUAAUUGUUUUGAGGAAAUCAUCAAAGUGCAUUCAUUCGGCUUGGAUAGGUUAAGAUUUUGAUCCAUGUUAAGAAAUUUCCAAAUUUUCCAAUAGCAAGCUCCUCAAAGUUAAAUCAAUUUGUACUAAUUCUUGUGCCAACCAAAACCAAUCAUUCAUUCGGAUUUGUCCUCAUUUUGUUUAAAGGUCUCCCAAUAUUCAAUUGAUCAAAAAUUUUUGAAUUACUUUUCGAAUCAAAUGUUACUAAGUUGAUCGGAUCCAUCAGGUAUGGUAUCGUGCCUACCUCAGAGGAUUACAUCAUUCUAGGCCUACCCUUGGCACAAAAAGGGCUCCCCCAUAGGACAUGCAUCUGAAUUUUUUGAAUGUUUACUAACUCUUGUCUUUUUCUUUUCCUUUUCUUUAUUUUUAUUGGAAUAGCUGAGCGAGGGCUAAAUCUAAAGGCAAUUCCUUUCAAAAUUCUCAGGUAAUAUUUAAACAUAGCUUCUUGUCGAAACCCCAUCAUAACGCGAUCCCGUAGUCGAGCCCAGAGGAGUUGUGUAAACAUGAGUUCACAACCGGAACAAUCAGAUAGGUCUGCUACUACCGCCCAGCCUGAGACUACGAGUUUGGGGGUUCAGCUAACCGAAUUGCUUACUAAGUUUGGUGAGAUGGCUAUCGAGAUGGCGGCCCAAAAGAAAUUAAUCGACGAGCUAAUUAGCAACGGAGUUCAACCCGAGCCCGUACCCGUCAGGCAGCCUGAGUCAGAGCCAUUUGUCAUCCCUCCGACUCAAACCACCGUUACUCCAUCCUUCCCUAUUCCACCCGAAGGAACUUUCACCUAUCCCACCAUAAAUUUGCCAUACACUUACCCUCCUAAUCCUUCAUUUUUUCCUAUUCACAUGCAAGGCCCACAACCCCAAGCUACUUCAAACAUACCACCUGAGCCACAUACCUUUUAUCACAUGCUACCGCAGAGCCCUUACUGCCAGACCAUACUGUCCAAGCUAAACCAGAGGUAGGAGAAUCUUCUGCUCUUGUUGAUAUGAAAUUGCUCAAGCGCCUAGACCGUUUCGACGAAUUUAUGAGGAAAAGUCAAGGGCUAAACAAGCAAGGAGUGCUGGACUAUGAUGAACUUUGUCUCUUCCCAAAUGUGCAGUUGCCUGUGGGGUUCAAGACCCCAAAAUUUAACAAGUACGAUGGAACGGGCAACCCUAAGACACACCUCCGACUGUUUGCUAGCAAGUUGGGAAGGCCCAUCGAUGACGAGAAUCUGCCUCUAAGGCUGUUCCCAGAAAGUCUGGAGGGGGAUGCACUCGACUGGUAUUCCAAUCUAAAACCCGAGAAAGUAAAGACUUGGCUUGACUUGUCCAAUGCUUUUGUGAGGCAGUACGAGUACUGUAGACACCAAAUUUUUGGUGUUUUAUUAUUUAUUUAUUUAUUUACUAUUCGUUUUUAUUUGUUCUAUUUUUAUUUGUAUUUACUUUUAGUUUUAGUUAUUUUAUCCAUUUUUAGCUAGAAUUUCUCAAAGGGAAAAGAAAAGUGUUCAAAAAAAUAUGUUUUAGUUGUUUAGGAUUUAGUUUCAUUAUUUAAAGGAAAAAGGAAAAAUGGAAAAUGAAAAGAUGAUGAAUUGGAAUUUGCACUUUCUUGUUUCUAGUUUAUUUUUCAUCCAAUGUUAAUUAAAUUGUUUUUGUUAUUUGUUUUUACUAUUAUCAAUGUUAAUUAUUUAAAAAAAAAAAGGGGAAUACGCGAUGGCAAGCUGCGUUUUUACGCAGCUUGCAAGUAAGGGCUCGGGCAGCCCUUGGCUGCAAUUUUAGAGGAGACAAUGGGAGUUUUAGGGUUGGGGUGGCCCCAUAUAAAUAGAAGAUGCAGCAGCAGCCGCAGGAGGGGGAGAGGGCAUCGAGCAAAAGAAGAAAAAAAAAGAAAAAACCAGGGAGCUUCAUCGGGGGAGAGGAUCGACGGGCAGAGAGUGUGGAGUGAAAUCUGGAACGGCGGCUAGGGGCUUGAGGGAGUGAAUGAAAGGAGGACAUACGAGAGAGAGGUGACAGCCGAAACUUAGAAAAACAAAGAGAGAAAGCUAGAAGGGAAAAGACAGAGAGUGUGCGGCUGAAGAAAGCAGAAAAUCAGCGACUGAGAAAGAGUGAUAAAAGAGUGAGGAAGAUUUACGGCGGAUUAAGAGAAAAGCAGUGAGUUUUAGAGGUGUUGGUUCAGGAAACUUUGGGCAGCAAGAAGGUUUUGGAUUCGUUGAAGCAAGGCAAAGAAUCAGGAAGCGCAUCUGCGGGAGAGACGAAGAAGCAAAGAUUUCGUCUUCUGGAAUACAUCAAGCUUUCGGUCAAGGUUUAAAGGUAACAUUUUUUUUACUUUGGAUUUGUUUGUAAGUUGCUGAGUUAUGUUUGUAUGCUGAAAGUCUUAGUCUUUGCACUGGAUUGCAUUCUUCAUGCGAGUUUCUAUCCGUGAAUCUGGUUUGUUCUUGGAGGAGAAGGGAUUUGCGUUUAGCUGUGUUCGUUUCUAGUGUUCAUGGCUGUUUUCUUUUGGUGAUUUUUAUGCACAAUCUGGGUUGGAAAUUUCUGGGAGAUGCAUGAUUUAUGGCUGGAUUUUUGAUGAUAGGAUGCAUAAGAUCGUAUUUGUUUUGGGUUCGAAGAGGUUGCCGCUGGCUGCAAAUUUUGUUGGCUAUGUAUGUCUUGGAUAAUAUAGUGGGAAGUUGCGUUUUUUUACUUCCAGAUUUGCAUGUUUAUUUUGAGUCUUUGUAUUGAAAAUGAAUGGCAAGUUUGGUGUUUGAUAUUUUGAUUCCAGUCUGUCUUUUGUUUUGCUUGGAAUGCUAAUUGUUGCCUUUUGAAAGGAGGACCGCAUUACAUAAGAUUUCAAUGUUGCAGAAAAUUUGUAAACUUUGCUUGAAGUUGCUUGAAUCAUUUGGAUUUUGCAUGCUUGUUGCCCGGCUUUUGGUGUCUAAAUCUGAAAGUUUUCAUGAUGUAAAGUAAGAGGUUUGCAUAGUUGUAUUUAGUUUUGAUUGAGCAUGGAGACUGAUUCUUGCAAAGUGCCGAAUUACAAAAGGUUUUGCUGCAUUUUCGUUCCUUCUACGGCUGUUAGUUUUUUUCCCCCCCCUAAUGGUCAACUCUAUUUCUUUGUGCCAACCCUUCAGUGAAGUUGCGUGUUUAAUUGAGGAUGAAUGAGUAGAAACUUGCUGUUUCAUGAACUUAUUUGCAUGAUAGAAUGGAUAGAAGCAAUACCAGAAAAUUUUUCAGAACAUUGUAUGCUUCCAUUUAUCCGUUUUUCUUUUUCUCCUUCGGCUGGUUUUGGGCGUUGAUUGUUGUGUUUUGCUGUUUUGGAAUCAAGGCAUUUGAUGUUAGGAUAAAAAUACUAAUUUGGUCUGGAUGAAAAUGGCAUUAAAAUGAACAUAAGAAUGGCAGGAGACAUGGCUGGAAAAUUUGCAGAAAGCUUCAAAUGCAGAAAUCUUCAAAGUGCCGAAUCAUUCUUGUGUAUUUUUCCAGAAUGUUUGCAUGAUCUUUCCCUAUGUUUUUGGGUUGUUUGACUGCCAAGUUUAUGCUUUGUUGUUUGGUUUGAAGUUUGGAAUGUUAGAUCAAGAAAAGUUUUGGCUAAAUCUGAAUCACGAUAUUGGAAAGGGAAGCAAAGAAUGCAGCAGUCUUAUUGAUCUCAUUGCAGAAAAUUUUCCUACGUGAUUGCAUGCUUUGCAUGAAGAAAUAAACCUGGAAAAUUGCAGAUCAACCCCUUGGCUUCUAACUAAAGGCAUUAGGACCCAAUCAAUUAAAUAAUUUCAUCAAUUUGGUCCUUGGUAAUUUUAAUUUGUGCAACUUCAUUGUUUGUUUGCUUCAAUUAACUACCAUGCUUUGUUUCAAUUGCGCUUAAGUCAUGACUUUAGGAACUUUAUGAUCAAAUGAACUUUGUUUUGCACAUUUCUUUUAAUUUUUUUUAAAUAAAGUGGUACCUUGACCCUUUUAUUAUUUUGGAGGGUAAGUUAGUAAUUUCACUACGUUAGGGCGUCGCUUCAAGGGAGGUACACUCUAUCCUUCAUUUGCACUUCAUUUGACCCUACGUGCUCCUACGUGUUAUGUGAAUACGCAUGCCUACUCCGCUUUCCUUACCUCUUUGCGUGCAUUUACUUGCUUUUACUUCUAUUUAAGUUUUAUGGGGUAUGUGUACACCUCUUGGCUUGUAAUAGAUAGUGCUCGGAGAGCAUCUGGUCCAUUCACCCUUUCCCUUUUAUGCUUUUAUGGGGUAUGUGUACACCUCUUGGCUUGUAAUAGAUAGUGCUCGGAGAGCAUCUGGUCCAUUCACCCUUUCCCUUUUAUGCUUUUAUGGGGUAUGUGUACACCUCUUGGCUUGUAAUAGAUAGCGCUCGGAGAGCAUCUGGUCCAUUUCCCCUUCCCCUUGGUUGCUUGUUUUUGUUGCUACAUGUUUAAUUGCUUUAGUAGGCUCUUGCAUCUAGUCGAGCAUGCUAAGUGCUACGUGCUACGUGUUUACGAGCGUUUUGGCAUGUCUACUUGCUUUCAUAACCAUGAAUGAAUGGAAUGGAUGAAUGUACGCCACCACACUAGUCCAAUGCUAGUUGUGGCUCAUUAGGCCAUCCCUUUUUGUUAGUGCAUAUUUGCAUGUUCACUACAUGUCAUGCAUUUUUCUUAGUUUUAUCAUUUGGCAUGCUCCUCGAGCCCCUUUUCCCUCAUUUUAGGAUUUUUUGCAUCUCAUGCUAGUUAGGGUACAUUUGCGUGAGAGUCCCCUUAAAUAUGGGAUAUAGAUGAGUGUGGCUUUUUCUAAGCCUUAGCACGCUUAUAUUCCCUCUAUCAAAGGAAAAAUCAAGUCACGAUUUAGGUCUCCCCGUACCCGUCUUGCUUGCAUUCCCUAGGCUCAUGCAUUCUCAAUCCACUCUAUCAUUACACUUUCACUUUCGUCUCAUUUGCACACAUGCACCUUUUUAUCACCUUCACUUGCACACGAACACUUUUUUUGUCUCCACUUGCACACGAACCCUUUUAUCUUCACUUGCACACGAGCAUUUUAUCUUCACUCGCACACGAGUACUUUCAUCUACAUUUGCACACCUUCACUCUUAUCUUAUUACUUUUAUCAUUUUUCUCACUUCACACAAACUCACACUUUCACAUGGCAUGCAUUCCACUCAUUUUUCACGUCAUUUAGGUUUAGGUGUGACCUCUCCAAAAGGAUCAUUAUUGGGCUUCACAAUUAAUGUGAUUGGCACCACUCAACCUUUGAAGAGAAAUUUCCCCCAAUCCCCCUAGGUCUAGGUUUUUGCAUUCAUAUAGACAUAUCCAAUACGCGAUACAUACCUUGGGUAGAAAAAUUAGGAAAAAUUGGUUUGAGUCGCGCAACUAGCCUUGGCUAGGUCAAAGGGGUGCCUUGGAUUCUAUCCUUGCCUUCCCCUUUGUCAAACGUGACCCCCGAACCUUUUUCUUUGGCUUACGUGGACUAGGAGUCGUUUUAAAAAGGGUUUUACUACUUUGUCUUUAAAAAACACUUUUUGGGUGACUUGGUACACCCCAAAUCUAUACCAAGUGGCGACUCCGUUUUCAUAUUUAAAAAAACCCUUUUUAAAAUUUCAUUUGGCCAAAUCGUCGCUUUCCAAAGUCCCAUGGCCUUUUACUUUUUAUUUUGCACACGUUCACACCACACAUUCAUCACACCGAUCGAAAAGUGGGGCGCGACAGUUGGCGACUCCACUGGGGACUUCCUAAGUGGGUCCAAGCAUUUGACUUAGCCAUUCGUUUCCUUUUUCUACCCUUUUUAUGCAUUGCAUUUGGAUAUUAAGGUUGCAUUUUCUAUUUUAAGGCCUUUUGCCUCGCGCGCGUAUCCAACUAUUCCCUCACUCACGUACGUGUGAUUGGUUGAUUGGAUGUAUGUUUACUUGUUUAUCUCGCGCUUGCAUUGCAUUUGGGGGGGUGUGUCACCUUUAGAGCCUCGCGUGGUUCUCACCCCUUCCCUCAAAAUAGGGGAACACUUCAUACGUGCACGUUUACUUGCUUUAUCCCAUUUUAUUUUUAUUUUUCGUGGGCGCCAUCCCACACCGCCCUGUAGGAUUAGGAUCGAUUGCCUUGGGUAGGCGGCUGGUGUGCUCUGCGCCCAUAGCGCUACCUAAGGGAUCACUCGAGCCACCGAUCAAAGGCCCUGGGAGUGAUGACCCUUCGCCUUUAGGUCUGAAGGCUUGGGAGCCGAGACUUAUCGAGUCUAGUUGCAUUAGUGAGCCCCAGCCUCAUGCAUCCAUGUUAGAGUUUGCCUAGGUUAGAGUCAACCUCACCCUUUUAAGCACAUUAGGCACGAGGGAAGGGGUUCCACCCCUUUUACUUGCUUUUAUUGUAUUUCUUUUCUUAAUUGCUCCCAAUGUGUUAUGUGUACUAUCAAUUGCACUAACCAUUCUUUUGUUUUCUUGGCUUGCAUUCAUGAGCCAUAGCAAUAAGAGGCCUCUUUGGCACUCUUUUAGUGACUCACCCACUAGAUAACUCACAUGUUUAAAUUUCAGUCAUUAUAUUUAAUAAAUGCAUUUCAUGUUUAGACCUUUUCCCCCGUUGCAUUAUUUAUAUCCUUUAGGCCAUCUUUGUCACAUAUUUACAUCGCUUUAAUAAAUGGCAUCAUGCAUAAACCCUAGAAAGGGAAUGCCAUUUAGGGGAUCCCGCGUUAGGAAUAAGCCACCUUGUGUCUCGGAUACUUAAUCCAAAGAGACUUGCACGUUUACAUUUGGUACCAUCCAAAGGGGUAGUGCACAAGGUAAGGUAAAGAUCCGAACAUUUUCAUGAAGCAAUUUUUGGAAUAUGAGCAUCUAAUAAUCACUUUUUGGCCAUUUUCUCAAAAUUGGUAAAAUUCCCUUGCGUAAAAGGAUAUUAAUUCGAAGAAAAUUCACAAAUGAUUCCUCAUUGUUGAGACGAUAAAUGUAGAGGCCAAAUUUUGAUUUUAGAGGCUCAUAGACCAAGGCAUUGUAAUGAUUUCUUGAAACCACCCGGUGGGCGAAUAAUUCAAUCGAUUUUUGAACAAAUCAUCCAUCUUAUCCAAUCCAUUUUUUUUUCCAAUUCAUUCAAUCUAAUCAUUUUUGAAUAAAUUCAUUUCAUCCAAUUCAUUUGACCAAUUUACCCUUUUUAGGGUCAUCCGGUCGAUUUUUGAAAAAUCAUUCAAUUCCUUUGACCAAUUUACCCUUUUAGAGUGAUUUGGUCGAUUUUUGCAUAAAUCAUCAAUCUCUCUUUCAUUCAUUUGGCCAGUCCACCCCUUUUUAGGGCAAUCGAAUCGAUUUUGAAUAAAUCAAGCUUCAUUCAUUUGACCAAUCUACCCUUUUUAGGGUGAUUCGAUCAAUUUUUGAAUAAAUCAAAUUUCAUUUAAUUCAUUUGACCAGUUUGCCUAUUUUUAGGGCAAUUUGGUCAUUUUUAAAUAAAUCAUCAAUUUUGUCCAAUCUAUUUGACCCGUUUUUUCCCUUUUUAGGGUUUAAGUCUAAGGGUCACCGAAUAAAUUAAUUGAGACAUUGCAAUCUCUUUUACACAUUAUUCCAUGCAUCGAUCAAAGUAGCAAUCCAUUCGGACUUUUCCCUCAUUUUAGGACAAAUGUCUCUUUUCACUUCAAUUGGCCAAAUUUUUCCAAAUCAUUUUUCACUCUAGCGGUUGAUCGGAUUCAUCAGGUAUUGUAUGGUGCCUACCCUAGAGGAUUGCAUUUUCAUGCUAGGCUUACCCUUGGCAUAAAAGGGUUCCACCAUAGGGCAUGCAUCCGAAUUUUAUGGUUUUGAUUACUAACUUUGGGUAUUUUUCUUUUGUUUUCCCCCCUUCCCUGCAUUCAUAAAAAUACUUCAAUAAAGGGAAAAUAUUUUUCUAUAUCUGAUGGCACUUUCGAUCUAAUAAAGUGUCAAAACUGCAAGUGUUAUUUGAUUCUUGGGCAGAUCCUACAACGGAAACAUAAAUGAUUUAUCUGGAAGCUCUACGCCAAGCCUCUGAGAGAUGUUGUAAUUGUUUUCCAAAGGAAAAUUUUGUAUAUUUGAUUUGUUAAUACAUUUUGUUCCCAAAAGAAAAGAGACAAAAAGUGUAUAUGUGGAGCUCUUUACAAGUCUCUCUUCUCAUUUGUACCAUAAUUGAAUGAGAAAUUUUGUUUCAAACUUUUUCAGCAAUAAAGUUUUGGACAAUUAUUGUUUUGUGUAAAUUUAUGUACAUUUCAUUCUUUAUUCUUAUUCAUUGGAGCUUUUAUGAUGAAUUUUGAGAAAUAAGACCAAAAUGAAGAUUUCCUCAACCUCCGGCCUGAAAAUUCAUAAGUGUAUGCUUUCUAAAAUCCUUACGUACACUAGAUUGGCAAACUAUACAAUAAGAGUGGUCAGAAAGGAAAAGGAUGAGCGAUCACUCAAAAGGCCCAAUGAGAUAUCUUUCAACCCCAAAAAAAAAAAAAUCAGUCACAUUGAUUGAUGAAUUGCAAGUUGGGGCAAUCUUUGCUUGAGAAAUUUUCACUGUGUCUAAUUAUAUUCAACUCACAUCUAAGUGAAAGCAAAAAUGUGCAUUAUUCUUAUUUGUUUGGGAAAUUUGGAAUGAUACUUCAAGCAUUCGUUUCAUUACCUAUACAGAUUUUUAUCAUUUGCUCUCCCAUUUGAGCUUCUAAAAGAAUAAUUUCGUUUCAAAUAAGGGUCUUAAUGAUCACUACCCUUCAUUGAAAAAUUUUCAAAUAUCAAAAGAAGAAUGGAUUUUCAAUGACCAUUUCGCUACUUCGGUUGUCAUGAGGUAUAAGAAUGAUACUUUGGCCGUCAUUUCUACAACCUAAACACCAUUUAUCCCUUGCAUCCUCAUUUGAGCCAAAAAUUGGUGGUUUUUUCGAGUGCACAUAUGAUCGCACCCCACAUUGGGGAAGGAGAUUGGGGAAUUUUGAAAAAGAAAAAAGGAAAAAGAAAGGGAACCGCGAAUUGGGGAAAUUUGAUUCUACCAGGGUUUCAAUUUUUGAAAAGAAAAGAGAAAAGAAAAAAAAGACAAGUUCUAUCCGGUGGAUCACUUAUGCUUCAUAGAUAUGAAUGAGUAAGGGUCUUCCUCAGUCAGUUAAUUCAGAUACGUGCCAGAAAUUUCGCAUUAAUGAAAGUUUCCUUUCAGAGUUAUUGUAAGGAACGGAAUACAAGUCAGGCCAUCUUCUUUUCCAAUCAAACAUUCUAUCCCUAGUUAUCCCUUUUGAGCCAUCAGAAUAAAUUAUUUCGUUUGGCAACCCCUGAGAAUCGCAAACCCCACACUGGGGGUGAGUUUGAGUUGAAAAGAAAGUUUCAAGAAGUGAAAAGUGAAAAGCAACAAAAUCAAAAGCAAAAGAAGAAAAGAGAACCUCAGUUCAAAAUAAACUGGGGCAAAUUUUGUGAAGUUUCAAAGAAUGGCAACAGGCCGAAAAGUCAAAAAGAAAGAAAAUGAAAGUGAAAAAGCCUCAAGUGAAAAUAAACUGGGGCAAAUUCUGAUUUAACCCUAAAGUAGGGUUGGCACAACAAUGCGGUCUCAGAUUACUUAAAACAACUUUUGAAAUCUGCUUUCAAGCCUUAACUUUUCUAAGCACCUCACCUGACCCCAUUACGAAAGCCGGAAGCCCUGACUUCUGUUCUUUGCAAUGGCCCUGUCAAGAAAAUUUCUGAUGCCGAAAAUUUUAGCUGUAUUUCUGAAUUGCCUGGGUAUGGGGUUGACACUGCUCUUCAUGUGAAACUCCGCGAGGGCACUUUUGAGAAAAGGGAAAGAAAAAGGAAAAGUGAGCGAAAUGAAUGCAAAAGAAAAAUGUGAAAAGAUUUGAUGCUGAAAGUCCCUGGUGAAUGAUGAGAAGAAUGCAAACAAAUUCUGAGAUUUUGAGAAAAAUGCGAUUUUCGGUGCAAUGUCCUUGAAAAUUAUUUCUUUUAACUAUCGUUUCAAGCCACAUUACAAGCUAAUAAAGUCCAUCGUUGACUUAUUCUUUCAUGACAACCCAAAGUGACGAUUAUGCUCGUAAGAAAUCCAUCAAUCAUUUGUGAUCAUGGGAGUAUAACCAGUUUUCACAGGUUUAGCUAUCAUUUCUGCCCAAAAUUUUGCAAGCCCAUGAAACUUAUACGUUGACCAAGUUUUUUUAAGAAAUAAGGGUGACAAACUCUUUGCUUUCACUAAGAUGUGAUGUUGAAUGCAUUACAAUUUUGGGCACAAGAACCAGACAAAUUCUGACCUCCCAUUUCCUUAGCCAUUUCAAAAAUAAAGUCACUUGAUUGGUCCUGAAAGAUGAGCCAACCAGAAGUGGUGACCCGUUACCCUAAGCACCAAUGCUAAAAGUAAGGAAGAAAUCUUCUUCUUAAAUUUGGUGUUAUUUCGAGGAAUUCAUCAUGAAAUUUCUGCAUGAGUUCAAACUUGACGAUUAAAGUUUCUUCACAUUGUUGUAUGUGCACUCUUUUCUAAAUUUUAGAAAGUGCGGGUUUUCUUUGUUCAAGUAAAUGGGAAAUCAUCUAAACCAAUUUUUGCAAUCAAAUGGGCCCAAACUGGGGCAAAAUUUUUAUUUGCAAAAUUUCGCAAAAUAAGCCCACACAGGGGCAAAUAUUUUUGUAGUCCAAUUGAGGAUUUCGUCCAAGAAUCAAAAUAAUGCAUUUUUUUCAAAUCAGUCAUGCUCAUUUGAGUGCACGUAAGCCCUGUGCAGGUAUUCACAGUUGAAGUCGACGAAAAGCAUCUGGCGAUGUAGAAGGCCGAUGCCGAAGAAAGAGAAGAAAGAAAGAGAAGGCCCUACACUGGGGCAAAUUAUUUUUGGAAAAAAGAUUCUCUCGAAAAAUCAGAAAAAUUCAAAAAAUCAAAAAAUCAAGUUCAAAAUUUUGUUUCUUGGAAAAUCAAAUUUAAUUUCUUGUACUUUGACAAAUCAAAUUCAAUUUCUUCACCAAUUGGAUGGCAGGAUUGGGUCUUAUCCCGCUGACCAUUCACUUUAUCACGUUGGGCUUGGUUUCCGUGCCACCAACUUCACAAAAGUCACGUUGGGCCUGAGUUUCGUGCCGCCAACUUCACUUUAUCACGUUGGGCUUGGUUUUCGUGCCACCAACUUCACUCUAUCACGUUGGGCUUGGUUUUCGUGCCACCAACUUCACUUCAUCCCGUUGGGCUUGGUUUUCGUGCCACCAACUUCACAAAAGUCACGUUGGGCCUGAGUUUCGUGCCGCCAACUUCACUUCAUCCCGUUGGGCUUGGUUUUCGUGCCACCAACUUCACUUCAUCCCGUUGGGCCUGGAUUUGGUGCCGCCAACUUCGCUUUAUCACGUUGGGCCUGGACUUGGUGCCGCCAACAUCACUUCACCAUGUUGGGCCUGGACUUUGUGCCGCCAACUUCACAAAAUCACGUUGGGCCUGGACUUUGUGCCGAUGUUGGGCCUGGACUUGGUGCCGCCAACAUCUCAAAUGUCACGUUGGGCCUGAGUUUCGUGCCGCCAACAGUUCAAAUGUCAAGUUGGGCCUGAGUUUCGUGCCGCCAACAGUUCAUAUGUCACGUUGGGCCUGAGUUUCGUGCCGCCAACAGUUCAAAUGUCACGUUGGGCCUGAGUCUUGUGCCGCCAACAUUCCAAAGAUCCCGUGGGUCUAUCCCAGUUUUACAUUUCUGUCCGGGUCUAUCCCGUGGGUCUAUCCCAAUUUUACGUUUCUGUCCGGGUCUAUUCCGUGGGUCUAUCCCAAAUUUAAAUUUCUGUUCUGGUCUAUCCCAUUUUUUACAUUCAUGUUCGGGUCAGUCCCAUUUUUUUAGAAUUCUUGUUCGUUGGAAUCAUUUUGCAGCCGAAUAACACAGGUAAGUAUUUGGUGUCUACUUCUUUGUCUUAAGUUUUUUCAAAACUCAGACAAAGAGGGGCAAACUGUAGACACCAAAUUUUUGGUGUUUUAUUAUUUAUUUAUUUAUUUACUAUUCGUUUUUAUUUGUUCUAUUUUUAUUUGUAUUUACUUUUAGUUUUAGUUAUUUUAUCCAUUUUUAGCUAGAAUUUCUCAAAGGGAAAAGAAAAGUGUUCAAAAAAAUAUGUUUUAGUUGUUUAGGAUUUAGUUUCAUUAUUUAAAGGAAAAAGGAAAAAUGGAAAAUGAAAAGAUGAUGAAUUGGAAUUUGCACUUUCUUGUUUCUAGUUUAUUUUUCAUCCAAUGUUAAUUAAAUUGUUUUUGUUAUUUGUUUUUACUAUUAUCAAUGUUAAUUAUUUAAAAAAAAAAAGGGGAAUACGCGAUGGCAAGCUGCGUUUUUACGCAGCUUGCAAGUAAGGGCUCGGGCAGCCCUUGGCUGCAAUUUUAGAGGAGACAAUGGGAGUUUUAGGGUUGGGGUGGCCCCAUAUAAAUAGAAGAUGCAGCAGCAGCCGCAGGAGGGGGAGAGGGCAUCGAGCAAAAGAAGAAAAAAAAAAGAAAAAACCAGGGAGCUUCAUCGGGGGAGAGGAUCGACGGGCAGAGAGUGUGGAGUGAAAUCUGGAACGGCGGCUAGGGGCUUGAGGGAGUGAAUGAAAGGAGGACAUACGAGAGAGAGGUGACAGCCGAAACUUAGAAAAACAAAGAGAGAAAGCUAGAAGGGAAAAGACAGAGAGUGUGCGGCUGAAGAAAGCAGAAAAUCAGCGACUGAGAAAGAGUGAUAAAAGAGUGAGGAAGAUUUACGGCGGAUUAAGAGAAAAGCAGUGAGUUUUAGAGGUGUUGGUUCAGGAAACUUUGGGCAGCAAGAAGGUUUUGGAUUCGUUGAAGCAAGGCAAAGAAUCAGGAAGCGCAUCUGCGGGAGAGACGAAGAAGCAAAGAUUUCGUCUUCUGGAAUACAUCAAGCUUUCGGUCAAGGUUUAAAGGUAACAUUUUUUUUACUUUGGAUUUGUUUGUAAGUUGCUGAGUUAUGUUUGUAUGCUGAAAGUCUUAGUCUUUGCACUGGAUUGCAUUCUUCAUGCGAGUUUCUAUCCGUGAAUCUGGUUUGUUCUUGGAGGAGAAGGGAUUUGCGUUUAGCUGUGUUCGUUUCUAGUGUUCAUGGCUGUUUUCUUUUGGUGAUUUUUAUGCACAAUCUGGGUUGGAAAUUUCUGGGAGAUGCAUGAUUUAUGGCUGGAUUUUUGAUGAUAGGAUGCAUAAGAUCGUAUUUGUUUUGGGUUCGAAGAGGUUGCCGCUGGCUGCAAAUUUUGUUGGCUAUGUAUGUCUUGGAUAAUAUAGUGGGAAGUUGCGUUUUUUUACUUCCAGAUUUGCAUGUUUAUUUUGAGUCUUUGUAUUGAAAAUGAAUGGCAAGUCUGGUGUUUGAUAUUUUGAUUCCAGUCUGUCUUUUGUUUUGCUUGGAAUGCUAAUUGUUGCCUUUUGAAAGGAGGACCGCAUUACAUAAGAUUUCAAUGUUGCAGAAAAUUUGUAAACUUUGCUUGAAGUUGCUUGAAUCAUUUGGAUUUUGCAUGCUUGUUGCCCGGCUUUUGGUGUCUAAAUCUGAAAGUUUUCAUGAUGUAAAGUAAGAGGUUUGCAUAGUUGUAUUUAGUUUUGAUUGAGCAUGGAGACUGAUUCUUGCAAAGUGCCGAAUUACAAAAGGUUUUGCUGCAUUUUCGUUCCUUCUACGGCUGUUAGUUUUUUUUCCCCCCCUAAUGGUCAACUCUAUUUCUUUGUGCCAACCCUUCAGUGAAGUUGCGUGUUUAAUUGAGGAUGAAUGAGUAGAAACUUGCUGUUUCAUGAACUUAUUUGCAUGAUAGAAUGGAUAGAAGCAAUACCAGAAAAUUUUUCAGAACAUUGUAUGCUUCCAUUUAUCCGUUUUUCUUUUUCUCCUUCGGCUGGUUUUGGGCGUUGAUUGUUGUGUUUUGCUGUUUUGGAAUCAAGGCAUUUGAUGUUAGGAUAAAAAUACUAAUUUGGUCUGGAUGAAAAUGGCAUUAAAAUGAACAUAAGAAUGGCAGGAGACAUGGCUGGAAAAUUUGCAGAAAGCUUCAAAUGCAGAAAUCUUCAAAGUGCCGAAUCAUUCUUGUGUAUUUUUCCAGAAUGUUUGCAUGAUCUUUCCCUAUGUUUUUGGGUUGUUUGACUGCCAAGUUUAUGCUUUGUUGUUUGGUUUGAAGUUUGGAAUGUUAGAUCAAGAAAAGUUUUGGCUAAAUCUGAAUCACGAUAUUGGAAAGGGAAGCAAAGAAUGCAGCAGUCUUAUUGAUCUCAUUGCAGAAAAUUUUCCUACGUGAUUGCAUGCUUUGCAUGAAGAAAUAAACCUGGAAAAUUGCAGAUCAACCCCUUGGCUUCUAACUAAAGGCAUUAGGACCCAAUCAAUUAAAUAAUUUCAUCAAUUUGGUCCUUGGUAAUUUUAAUUUGUGCAACUUCAUUGUUUGUUUGCUUCAAUUAACUACCAUGCUUUGUUUCAAUUGCGCUUAAGUCAUGACUUUAGGAACUUUAUGAUCAAAUGAACUUUGUUUUGCACAUUUCUUUUAAUUUUUUUUUAAAUAAAGUGGUACCUUGACCCUUUUAUUAUUUUGGAGGGUAAGUUAGUAAUUUCACUACGUUAGGGCGUCGCUUCAAGGGAGGUACAUUCUAUCCUUCAUUUGCACUUCAUUUGACCCUACGUGCUCCUACGUGUUAUGUGAAUACGCAUGCCUACUCCGCUUUCCUUACCUCUUUGCGUGCAUUUACUUGCUUUUACUUCUAUUUAAGUUUUAUGGGGUAUGUGUACACCUCUUGGCUUGUAAUAGAUAGUGCUCGGAGAGCAUCUGGUCCAUUCACCCUUUCCCUUUUAUGCAUGUGUACACCUCUUGGCUUGUAAUAGAUAGUGCUCGGAGAGCAUCUGGUCCAUUCACCCUUUCCCUUUUAUGCUUUUAUGGGGUAUGUGUACACCUCUUGGCUUGUAAUAGAUAGCGCUCGGAGAGCAUCUGGUCCAUUUCCCCUUCCCCUUGGUUGCUUGUUUUUGUUGCUACAUGUUUAAUUGCUUUAGUAGGCUCUUGCAUCUAGUCGAGCAUGCUAAGUGCUACGUGCUACGUGUUUACGAGCGUUUUGGCAUGUCUACUUGCUUUCAUAACCAUGAAUGAAUGGAAUGGAUGAAUGUACGUCACCACACUAGUCCAAUGCUAGUUGUGGCUCAUUAGGCCAUCCCUUUUUGUUAGUGCAUAUUUGCAUGUUCACUACAUGUCAUGCAUUUUUCUUAGUUUUAUCAUUUGGCAUGCUCCUCGAGCCCCUUUUCCCUCAUUUUAGGAUUUUUUGCAUCUCAUGCUAGUUAGGGUACAUUUGCGUGAGAGUCCCCUUAAAUAUGGGAUAUAGAUGAGUGUGGCUUUUUCUAAGCCUUAGCACGCUUAUAUUCCCUCUAUCAAAGGAAAAAUCAAGUCACGAUUUAGGUCUCCCCGUACCCGUCUUGCUUGCAUUCCCUAGGCUCAUGCAUUCUCAAUCCACUCUAUCAUUACACUUUCACUUUCGUCUCAUUUGCACACAUGCACCUUUUUAUCACCUUCACUUGCACACGAACACUUUUUUUGUCUCCACUUGCACACGAACCCUUUUAUCUUCACUUGCACACGAGCAUUUUAUCUUCACUCGCACACGAGUACUUUCAUCUACAUUUGCACACCUUCACUCUUAUCUUAUUACUUUUAUCAUUUUUCUCACUUCACACAAACUCACACUUUCACAUGGCAUGCAUUCCACUCAUUUUUCACGUCAUUUAGGUUUAGGUGUGACCUCUCCAAAAGGAUCAUUAUUGGGCUUCACAAUUAAUGUGAUUGGCACCACUCAACUUUUGAAGAGAAAUUUCCCCCAAUCCCCCUAGGUCUAGGUUUUUGCAUUCAUAUAGACAUAUCCAAUACGCGAUACAUACCUUGGGUAGAAAAAUUAGGAAAAAUUGGUUUGAGUCGCGCAACUAGCCUUGGCUAGGUCAAAGGGGUGCCUUGGAUUCUAUCCUUGCCUUCCCCUUUGUCAAACGUGACCCCCGAACCUUUUUCUUUGGCUUACGUGGACUAGGAGUCGUUUUAAAAAGGGUUUUACUACUUUGUCUUUAAAAAACACUUUUUGGGUGACUUGGUACACCCCAAAUCUAUACCAAGUGGCGACUCCGUUUUCAUAUUUAAAAAACCCUUUUUAAAAUUUCAUUUGGCCAAAUCGUCGCUUUCCAAAGUCCCAUGGCCUUUUACUUUUCAUUUUGCACACGUUCACACCACACUUCACACACACAUCACUCACACACAUUCACACAUUAUCGAAAAGUGGGGCGCGACAAGUACAACUGUGAGCUAGCUCCGACACGAACCACGUUGGAAAGAACAAAGAGAAAACCCUCUGAGGACCACAAAACCUAUGCUAAGAGAUGGAGGAAAAUAGCUGCAAAGGUUGAGCCACCAAUGACUGAAGAUGAAAUUAUCCGCACUUUCAUUAAGGCACAUGAUCCGCCGUACUUUGAAGAAAUUUUCCGCAUGACUGGAUGUUCGUUUGCUGCUAUUGUCAAUAAGCUUGAAGAGUACGAUGACUUCGUAAGAGCUGGGAAGAUCGUUAAUGUCUCUGUCCUCAAAUCGCAGUUGGAUGCUUUGCAAGGACAAGGGAGCAGUGGGCAAAAAUCGCAGUUUCAAAAGAAAGAGGGGGAAGCUGCCUUCAUCGGGAAUCAAAAUCCUACACCAAGACCCAGAUUUCAAUACAAACCAACAUAUUCACCACCUUAUCCAGUUAUCCCUACUAUCCAAGUUCUCACCCUGUAUACAAUACCAAUAUCUCCCACCCCCGACCUCGCCUAAAUUACGCCAAACCGCCCACAAAUCCUUUUCAAAUAUCUCAACCAAAUUUUCAACAAACUCGUCCUCGACUUCCUUACAACCAGAGAUUUCCCCCACCAAACGGACCCACCUAUAACUAUCCCCAACCCACUGAAACCUACAAUCAAAGCCGUACCCGAACCUUCACCAACCUAGGCAGGCCUUUGGACCAAAUGUAUGAGCAGUUAAAGGAUGCCGGUAAAAUAGGUGUGAUUCCCCCUCCAACUUACCCUUAUGGCAUGCCUGCCAGAUACAAUCCACAGUCCACUUGUGCCUAUCAUUCGGGAGCACCUGGUCACUCAACCGCCGAUUGUAAAGCCCUUAAGCACAAAGUCCAAGACAUGAUCGAGGCAGGGGAAAUAGUGCUAAGGAAAAAUGGUGAACAAAGGCCGAGCAUAAGUACAAAUCCUUUUCCUGCACACAAGGACACCUUUGAGGCAUCCACCUCCAAUGAAGAAAUUUGAAAAUCUUGAAGGAGUUUUGCACAAUUGGAUUGCCGAGUAUCUUCCCUCUCAAAGGGAAUUUCGAUAAAAUCUGGGGGUUGUCAUUUGCUAAAGUUCAUAAAAAUUGUCACUGGUUUUGUGUAAAUAGUUUUGGCUAAAACAAUUUUCGCAUUAUCAAGCUCCUGUGUUGUUUUUGAAUUUUUCAACGGAGUGCAUAGUUAUAUCUUUUCAUUAUUCUUGUUUGUUUGAUACCAUUUUGUUUAUAUUGGUUGAUUGUGUAUUGUUUUUAAUUUCCUUUUACAUUCUUUCAGAUAGCUAAAAAUAAAAUUAUUUGACCUUUGGAUAUCACUAUUCUGGAAUUCGAUGACGGCCAUCUCGAUAUCACUCACGACUUUGACAUUAUGGAAUCUGAAAUUCAAAACGAGAGUGAUAAUGAGGAAGUAUCUGGUUUUUUCAAAAGGUCACGAACAAUAUGAAGAGAAAUCCAAACCGAACCUAGAAGAGAUAGAGAUUGUUAACAAUGGCACCGAAACUGAAGUCAAAGAGAUAAAGAUCAGUAGACAUUUGAAUGAAAAGCAAAAAAAGGAAGCUGUGCUGCCUGCCAAGAUUGAAAUCCCUUCAUUGCGUAUUCUAAAGGAAGCCAAGUUGGAAGAAACUGAUUGAUUAAAUCAACGUCAUGAACAAUUGACUCUGAUUGAUAAAAAGUGUCUGAAUGCUAUAUGUCACUGCCAAAGCUACAAAAAACGCAUGGCCCGUGUUUACAACAAAAAGGUCCAUCGACGAUCAUUUAAAGAAGAAGGGGACAAAGUGCUAAAGCGAAUUUUGCCAGUGCAAGAUGAGGCCAAAGGCAAAUUUGCUCCAAAUUGGCAAGGGCCAUUCAUUGUUCAAAAGGUAUUACCUGGCAAAGCACUCAUUUUGGCAGAGAUGGAUGGACAGACAUUCCCUCAACCUAUCAACUCAGACCUAUGUAAGAAGCUCUUUAUUUGAUUAUGCAAAUUUCUUUUAGAAGUCACGCAAGUGACGAGACAAAAGUCAGGCCAUCUUUCUUUCCAAUCAAACAUUUCAUCCCUAGUCAUCCCCUUUGAGCUAUCAGAAUAAUAAUUUUCGUUUGACAACCGCUGAGAAUUGCAAACCCCACACUGGGGCAAAUUUAUUUUGAAAAAAGAUGCUCAGAAAGAAAAGGAAAACUCCACACUGGGGCAAAUUUAUUUUGAAAGAGAGAUGAAAAAGAAGAAAGAACCCCACACUGGGGCAAAUUUAGUUUUUGAAGAAAAAUGCAAGAGUGAGAAAAAUGCAAUGAAAAAUGCAAAGAGAGAAAAAUUCAAUCAAACUGGGGCAAGUUUUCCUCGGUUUCAUUCAAAAAUUGGAGAUAAUCACAAAAUGAUGCAAUUUCAGGUUAUUUCACACCUCUCAUCAAAACAAAAAAAAAAAAAAUUUUGUUUUCAAGCCUCAACUUUUCUUGAAAAACACCCCACCUGACCUCAUUACAAAAGCUCAAAGUCCUGGCUUUCGUCACUUAUUGUAUUUCUAUUAGGAAGUUCGCUAAUCAAUUGGCAAGUGAUGUCCAUAAUGCCUUCGCCUAACCUUAUAGGGGAAGCGCAUUUUACUGAUGCUAGCAAUCUUUAACUCACAUGCCGGAGUUGAUCAUGGUCGAGAUUUUCUAUUGUUCCUUAGGUGAAAACUUGAAAGGACACCUCAAAAAAAAAAAAAGGGAAAAAAAAAGAAAAGAGAAAAGAAAAGGAAAAGAAAAAAAAACAAAAAACAAAAAGGGUGGGCGCAAUUUUGGUGAAAACCCGAAAAGGCGCCAAGGUAGGGUUCUGCAGUAAGCGAGCACGAGGAGAAACAGCUGGUGACUUUGGUUCAUUUGAAUUUCUCUUCGUUUUGUUAUACUUCUGCCAAUGUUGAAUUCCGGAACAAAGAUAUCCAGAGAUUCGAAUAUGACAUCCGUUGGCCAAAAACUGUGUCACGUUGUAAAAAUGUUCUUUUGCAAUACAUUCUUAUGAAACUCAUCUUUCCUCAAUUGCUUGUAUUCAUGGCAUUUUGUAGGCUUAAAGCCCAAUUAGUUGCAUUUGCAUUCUUUUGCAUAUCCAUUUAUGCAUGCUAGGUGAAAUUACCUUGCAUACUUCAUUUUUUUUUAUAUAUAUAAUUUUUUUUUAUAAUUUAUAAUUUUUUAUUUUAUUUUUAUUUUAUCAUUGAAUUUUGGUGAAUGACAAUCCCUAUGGUUUAUUCGAAGCAUACUUGGAUUCAGUCAUCUUUUGGAAAUGGUUGAGAUUCAGCAAAGCUGGCUACGCAGGUUUCACAAUAUGGCAAAAUGUAUGCCUGGUCAGUCUGGAAAAAUGCCACAGCAUAAGUGGACGAAGGCAUCAAAAGACUCAUGUUUACACAAUUCUCAAAGGGAAACGGAUCAAAUGAUGGUGGCAAUUUCUUUGUUCUUUCUCUUUUGCAGAAAAAUUUCAUGCAUAGAUGAAAACAAUCACAACUUGCACUGGAGUCGGUAUCGGAAAAGUUCUCCGGUGAACAAAGGCGGAUCGAAAAAUGUUUUAAGCAAAUUUGAUCAAAAGGUGCAACAACCUGGCAAUGCAAAAUCAACUAUUGGCUCAGAUGCAUAAACUUAACCUCUACUGGGGCAAAAUUUUAGGCUAUUUUCAGGUAAGUAUACCGGAAUUUUUCAUUUUAAAUUCUCGUUCGGGUCAGUCCCAUGUUUAAUUUCCUGUUCGGGUCAGUCCCAUGGUAAAUUCUCAUUCGGGUCAGUCCCAUGUUUAAUUUCUUGUUCGGGUCAGUCCCAUGUUUAAUUUCUCGUUCAGGUCAGUCCCAUGUUUAAAUUCUUGUUCGGGUCUCAGUCCCAUGUUUAAAUUCUCGUUCGGGUCAGUCCCAUGUUUAAUUUCUCGUUCGUGUCAGUCCCAUAUUUAAUUUCCUGUUCGGGUCAGUCCCAUGUUUAAUUUCCUGUUCGGGUCAGUCCCAUGGUAAAUUCUCGUUCGGGUCAGUCCCAUGGCAAAUUCCUGUUCGGGUCAGUCCCAUGUUUAAAUUCUCGUUCGAGUUAGUCCCAUGGCAAAUUCUCGUUCGGGUCAGUCCCAUGUUUAAUUUCCUGUUCGGGUCAGUCCCAUGGUAAAUUCUCAUUCGGGUCAGUCCCAUGUUUAAUUUCUUGUUCGGGUCAGUCUCAUGUUUAAAUUCUUGUUCGGAUCAGUCCCAUGUUUAAUUUCUCGUUCGGGUCAGUCCCAUGUUUAAUUUCCUGUUCGGGUCAAUCCCAUGGUAAAUUCUCGUUCGGGUCAGUCCCAUGUUUAAUUUCUCGUUCGGGUCAGUCCCAUGUUUAAAUUCUCAGUCGGGUCAGUUCCAUGUUUAAAUUCUCGUUCGGGUCAGUUCCAUGUUUAAAUUCUCGUUCGGGUCAGUCCCAUGUUUAAUUUUUCGUUCGGGUCAGUCCCAUGUUUAAAUUCUCGUUCGGGUCAGUCCCAUGUUUAAUUUCUCGUUCGGAUCAGUUUCAUGUUUAAUUUCCUGUUCGGGUCAGUCCCAUGUUUAAAUUCCCGGUCGGGUCAGUCCCAUGUUUAAAUUCUCGUUCGAGUCAGUCCCAUGGUAAAUUCUCGUUCGGAUUAGUCCCGUGUUUAAAUUUCUUAUUCGGGUUAGUCCCAUAUUUAAAAUUUCUCGUUUGGGCUAGUCCCAUGUUUAAAUUUUUGUUCGGGUCAGUCCAUUUUAAAAUUUUGGGGUCAGUCCUCAUUUCAAAAGCGUCAGUCGUUCGAAUAGCUUGCAUUCGAACUACGUUUGACCUGAUUCCCAUGGUGGGAUACGUAGGCAACUCUACAUGAGUUCGGUCACAUUUUCUGCAAUGUUAUUGCAUCAUUUUGUCCAAUAAUUUCAACCAAGUGUUAGCUUGUUUAUUUUAACUCAGGUGUAGCUAGAAGAGACUGGUAAGCAAUUUGGUGUCUACGUCUUUGUCUUGAGUUUCUUUGAAACUCUAGACAAAGAGGGGCAAGCUGUAGACACCAAAUUUUUGUCAAUUUUUAAUAUUUUCUUGAAUUUUUUCUAUUUAAUGAAUUAUUUAUUUUCUUACAUUUUAAUGUGUAUUUUUCUCAUUUUUGUAGAUUUGUUUUUGGAAAAGAAAAGAAAAACAAAACAAAACAAAAGAGAAAAAUCAAGAAAUCAAAAAUCAUUUCAUCAUUUUCCCUACCAAAACAACUAUUAACCCAUUCCACACUCAAUUGCCAGGCACCUUUCUUUUCAUUAGCUAAGAAACCAUCAUUUUGGGCAAUCCAACACACAAAACUCCCCACCUUUUACUUCCUCAAUCUCCUCUCUCGGCUCUCUCCCAGAGGACACAACAGGGAAGCCAAAAAGAAAAAAAGAAAAUCUCCAUCCUUCUCGGCUCUCUCCCUCACAGAACAAAAAGAAGAAAACACUCCCUCACUUUGCACACGGCUCACUCUCUCCCUCUCUCGGACUUGGGCAGAGGAAAGAAACAGAAAACACACAAGAAGAAGAAGAAAAAUCCCCCUCAAUCUCUCGGUUCUCCUUUCUCUUUCCCCUCUCAAUCUCACACACACCUACAUUGAGGUAAUUUUAGUUUUGUUUAGCACAUUAAGGCCAUGCUUCAUUGUUUAAUUUUCUUUUGCUUUUGCUGGUUUCCUUGUUGUUGUUGUAUUGUUAAAAAAUUGGGAAAUGGCAUGAACCAGAUUUAGGAAAAGGAAAGGUUUCUUGUGAAUGCAUGUUAAUUGUUUGAAAAAAUGCCAAAAAGAAUUUUAGGGACUGUUUUACCUUAAUGUAGUCUUUUGUUGUUGUUUUCUGGUUAGCUAAGAUUAUAGUUGUAAUGUAGAGAUUAUAAGGAGUAUUGUAAUAUAUUUUUUAUGAUUUUUGGUGGGGGUUUAAAGGUUUUAAAAAAAUAAAAACUGGACUGAUUUCUUGGCUUUUUGGCCACUUUAGGGCCAAUUUUUGUUAAAACUAAGCCCGAAAAUGGAAUCUACGCGAAAAAUCGAGUGAGGGGUGUAUUUUGAGAAAUUUUGGUGACCGGAGAGGUCGCCGGCGACCGCCGCCGCCGGCGGUGGCGCCACCAGCGGUCGCCAUGGCCACCAGCUGAAGCUGCCUCAGCUGGCCGAAGAAGAAGGAAAAAGAAACGGCUGAAGGUGGAGGAAAAAGAAAGGAAAGAAAAGAAGAAAAACAAAUGGUUUGGGCUAAUGUUUUAUUUCGGUUGGGCCAAGAGCUAGUUUUGGGUUGGGUUUUGAAAAUGGGUUUUGGUUUAUUUUCCUUUGGGUUUCGGUUGGGCUUAGGUAGUUUUUUGGCCCAGAAAUAUAUAAAUGAUGGCCCAAGGGCCUGUUUCCUUAAGAAGAUCUGCUAGCGAAUUCGCACUUUAGCCCCUGAUCUUUGGAGUAGUUUCACUGCGGCCCAGAACAUUUUAAAUUUCUUUCAUGUAGGUCCUUAAAUUAAUUUCACUUUGGUCCCUGAAUUUUAUCUUUCAUUUAAUUUUAACCCCUGAACUUUGGAAAAUAUAAUUUUAGUCCCCCAAAAGUUUUCAAUUUUUGCAAUUCAGUCCUUGGCAAAUUUUGGCUCUCUUUAUUAUGAUUGUUUCUUUUCUUCAAUGACUAAUUAUGUUACUUUUGAACAUAUUCAACUUGUAAUUUUUAGAUGUUUUAAAUUUCUUUAUGUUUGACAUAUUAGUGUGAGUUUAGUACUUUUAUUAUUAUUGUUUUUUCAAUUAAAUUGGUGCCAUGAUUCUUUUGUUCAUUGUGAGUAUAAAUAGGACAAUUUGACUCCAUUUAGUCACCACUUCAAACGGGAGGUACCCCUAUUUUUAUUAUUUCAAUAUCAAUUACGUGCUCUUAUGUGCUCUUAUGUGUUCCUCUGUGUUUAUAUUUUUAUACGCUUUAUUUAUUUGAUUUAAAUACUCAUUCAAAUUUUCUUAUAUAUGUUUUGGUUAAUUUUUACAAUGAUUCAAGAGGCAUUUAAAUACCUCAAAAAUGUAAUAGAUAGGAUAAUUAGAUUUGUUUUAUUAUAUUUUUCCCUUCUAGAUUGUAGUUAGGCGCUCCCCGAUGUAAUAGAUAGGUUGCGUGUUUAUGUGGCUUAUGUGUUAUGUGUUUUACCCGCUUUUCUUAGGAUUUUGGCAUCUAGAUAUUAUGUUUACGUGUUAUGUGCUACGUGCUCUUAUGUGUUUAUUUGUUUUAAUUUAUGUUUUAUUUGUUUCACCAUGAAUUGUUAAUGCAUGACGUCACCACACUAGUCCAACGCUAGUUGUGGUUACUCCCUCCGCUUACUUGCUAGUCCAACGCUAGUAAGGAUCUUUAGAAAUGGGCUAGUCCAACGCUAGACCCUUUAGGUCAUCUUGCGCUAGAUUCAUCUUUGUAUGCUAUUCACUACAUUUUCAUGCAUAUUUUCAUUUUUAUUUCGGUUGGGCUUAGGUAGUGUCCGGCCCAAGGAAAUAAAAUGAUGGCAUGGUGGCCCAUUUCUUAAGAAUAUCAGAAACCGAUUUUUGCAUUUUAGCCCCUGGUCUUUGGAGUAGUUUCACUGCGGCUCAGAACAUUUUAAAUUUCUUUCAUGUAGGUCCUUAAAUUAAUUUCACUUUGGUCCCUGAAUUUUAUCUUUCAUUUAAUUUUGACCCCUGAACUUUGGAAAAUAUAAUUUUUGUCCCCCAAAAGUUUUCAAUUUUUGCAAUUCAGUCUUUGGCAAAUUUUGGCUCUCUUUAUUAUGAUUGUUUCUUUUCUUCAAUAACUAAUUAUGUUACUUUUGAACAUAUUCAACUUGUAAUUUUUAGAUGUUUUAAAUUUCUUUAUGUUUGACAUAUUAGUGUGAGUUUAAUACUUAUUAUUAUUGUUUUUUUUCAAUUAAAUUGGUGCCAUGAUUCUUUUGUUCAUUGUUAGUAUAAAUAGGACAAUUUGACUCCAUUUAGUCACCACUUCAAACGGGAGGUACCCCUAUUUUUAUUAUUUCAAUGUCAAUUACGUGCUCUUAUGUGCUCUUAUGUGUUCCUAUGUGUUUAUAUUUUUAUAUGUUUUAUUUAUUUGAUUUAAAUAUUCAUUCAAAUUUUCUUAUAUAUGUUUUAGUUAAUUUUUAUAAUUAUUCGAGAGGCAUUUAAAUACCUCAAAAAUGUAAUAGAUAGGAUAAUUAGAUUUGUUUUAUUAUAUUUUUCCCUUCUAGAUUGUAGUUAGGCGUUCCCCGAUGUAAUAGAUAGGUUUGCGUGUUUAUGUGGCUUAUGUGUUAUAUGUUUUACCUGCUUUCCUUAGGAUUUUUGCAUCUAGAUAUUAUGCUUACGUGUUACGUGCUACGUGCUCUUAUGUGUUUAUUUGUUUUAAUUUAUGCUUUAUUUGUUUCACUAUGAAUUGUUAAUGCAUGACGUCACCACACUAGUCCAACGCUAGUUGUGGUUUCUCCCUCCGCUUACUUGCUAGUCCAACGCUAGUAAGGACUUUUAGAAAUGGGCUAGUCCAACGCUAGACCCUUUAGGUCAUCUUGCGCUAGAUUCAUCUUUGUAUGUUAUUCACUACAUUUUCAUGCAUAUUUUCAUUUUUAGGAUCUUUUCUCAUUUGCAUGAUAUUCCUUAUUAUAUUAUCCCCUACCCGCUAUAGGUGCUAAUCAUGUCAUUUAGAAUUGCAUCUCAUUUAAGCUAGUUCAUUUGCUUGUUCAUGUUAGGAUGAUUAUUUUUCAAACAUGGGAAAUGGGUGAUUAUAACUUUCUAGUUUAAGUACCCUAUUAAUCCAUGUAUAAGAAAAUUAUGUCACGAGUUUUGCCUCCCGUACCCUUUAUGUUGCAUUCUCCUUUUCUUUAAUCACUUAUAUAUAUGUAUAUAAUUUAAUUUCUUUUCUUUUCUUUUAAUUUCAUCAUUUGCAUAUUCGUGACACUUUCAAGGAAUCAUUUUGGCCUUCGCAAUUAAUGCGAUUGGUUCUAUUAAACCCCUUGAAUGAACAUUUUGUCCCUUUCGAUAUAUUUAGAUUUGCAUCCAUAUAGGAAACAUCCAAAUAUGAUAAAAUUAAGGGUUAGAUUAGGAAAAUUUUGACUAAACCUCGCAACUAGCUUAGACUAGGUUGAAAAGGUGCCUUAGGUUUGAGUCAAUUGAACCUUUGCCUUCCCUUUCUUCAACCGUGACUCCCGAACCCAUUUUCUCUUGUUUUCAAAGACCUGGAGUUGUCAAAAAGGGUUUUAUUUUAUUUUACUUUAUUUUUGGGUGACUUGGUACACCAAAACUCCAUACCAAGUGGCGACUCCUAUUUUUUCUUAAAAACCCUUUUAGACUAAAUUUUGGACCCAAAUUGUCGCAUUCUUUUAAGUCCCAUUCUAGGUCCUUUUUCAUUUAUUAUUAAUAAAUCACAUCUUUUUAUAAAACACUUUCUUUUCCAUCGCGAAAAAAUGGGACGCGACAGGUGUUUUUGCCAGGUGACAAGAAGUUUUAGAAUACUUGGGGACUUCUGAAGUUAGGCAAGUAAUGGGCAAUAAGUAUAUAUCCACAAACUUUUGAUGUUAACAAGCAUAUCUUCUUUCAAAAGUAAGACAAAACGAAAAAUAAAGUUUUAAAGAAUUUACUAACAUGGUAUGCUCCAAAUCAAGAUCAAUUACCCUUAGGGUAUGUUUGGUUCCCAUGGAAUUGGAGUGUAGAAUUGUGUGUGGGUACUAUCUUUCUUGUAGAAUUAGAAUGGGAAAAAUGCACUUUUCAUCCUCAAAGUUUGGGGGCUUGACCAAUUUUAUCCUCAAUGUUUAACCCCAAACACAUUUCAUCCUCAAUGUUCCGUAAUUUUGACCAAUUAAGGACAAUUGACGGGAAUUGGAGGACAAAUCAAAAAUUGGGACGGAACUUUGCACGUGAGAAGCACAAUUCGUUAGAUCCAACUUUAUACCCAAUAUAACCGGGUCAAACCGAAUGGAUCCAUUUUUUCUAACGGACAAAAAUGCACAAAAUAGCAAAACGAAAGGAAAAAAGCUUCUGUCUUCUCCUUCUUUCUUCUCCGUUGUCAGCCCUAAAAAUUUUUGUGCCAAUCUUUCCAUCCACUUUUCGAGCAUCUGCUAGCAAGAAGGAGGGCAUAGACGGCAUCCGUGGAGCAUUUUAGGUGAAGAAAAAUAUGACAUUGCGGAAGAAAGAGCUCCACAUUUGUCCACCCCCAAAUUACGGUAUUUAUACCCAAAAUCAACAACUACAUUGCAUAAAGAUAUGUGUUUUUUUGGAGAAGGAAACCUGAUAUGUGGUCCCAUGUGUUUGUACUGUUUCCCCACUACAAUUUACGGCUAUUUUUUUUCCAGAUUUGGCCAUUUGCAUGAGGUAUAAAUAAAUCAAAAAAUUUGUCUUGGUUUGAUUAUUAUAGUGUGAAUGUGGUCCCUUAUGUUUGAUGAUAGUUGCUGAUUGACUAUAAAUUUGUGGUGAGAGUGACUAAUAAACAAUAAUACUUGGUAUAUUUUGCCGGCCAUGUGUAUCUGGCCAUGUGUAUGGAAAAAGUGAAAGUGGUCCUUGUUUGGUAGUUUUUGUGUGGGUCAACAAUUUGUUAUGCUGAAAUGAUGAAGCAUUUUUUUUUUCCUGAAGAGUCUGAUCUAUAUUAUUUUCUUUUCUUUAACCAGAAACGGGCAGCACAUUUAUUACAUUAAGAUGUCACCAUGGAGGCCUCAUUUCAUAUACUCCUGAUCCCCAUUACGAAGGUGGAGAUUUGUGUGUGUUUGACUAUGUUGAGAGUAUAGGUCUAAGUGUUUUUGAAGUGGAUAGAUUAACUGAGAGUGCUGGUGUAUAUGGUCAUAAGGUGUACUAUGGUUGGGAAAAUAACACCUUUAGGAGGAUAGACAGCAGUAGGGAGUUAAAUGGUUAUGUUAAGGGGGAGGUUGGACCAACUAAGGAAGUUAACUUAUAUCUUGAAGUAUCUUUUCAUGAAAUUCUAGUGCAACAACUUGGUUAUGAUCCGUAUGAGGUAGAUGAGACAGAAAAUAAACUCCAAAAUGGUGAUGGUAACAAUAAUAUUAGGGAUGAAGGUCAAGGAAGGUGUGCUGCUAAUAAUUGUGAUAAUGAUUCUGACGCAAGUGAUGAGACUUUUUUUUCAGCUAUUGAUUCAGAUUAUGAAAUAGGUGAUGAUGCUGAUGAUGGUAUAUUUCAUGAUAAUGUUGACAAAAAUGCUGAAUGGUUGGGAGUAGAUAAUCACAGGAAAGAAAAUGUGGUUCCUGAUCCUUUGAAUGAAGCAGAGGUGGUUCCUGAUUCUGAUGAAACAGAACAGGUUCCUGAUUCUGAAUCUGAUUUUGAAAGCAUUCAUGAGUCUAAUGAUGAAGAGUCUAAAUUGAGGUCUCGUAGUUUUGAUCCUAAGCAUAUUGACAAUCCAAAAUUAGAGCUGUAUAUGUCCUUUACAAGUCUGAAACUUUUCAAGACUGCUGUACAUAAUUAUAGUGUGAAACAAGGCAGGCCUUGUAAGUUUGUGAAACAAGAUAGAGUGAGGGUGAGGGCUAGAUGCAGAAAUAGUGAAUGUAAUUGGGUUAUAUAUGCUAGAAAAUUAAGUGGGGAUGGAACUAUUCAAAUAAGAACCUUUGAAGAUAAUCACACAUGUGAUUUUACAUAUGAUAAUCCUCUUGUGCAUUCUGGAUGGGUAGCUAAGAAGUACUGUGAAGAGUUUAGGUGUAAUCCUAAAUUAGAUUUGGAGCAUUUUGGGAAGACAUUAAUGAAAGAAAAUAGGUGCUCCUUCACAAAAAAUCAAACAUAUAGGACAAGGAGAAAAGCAAUGAAAAUUGUUCAGGGCAGUGAAAAGGACCAGUACAGCAAAUUAGGAGUUUAUAUGCAUGAAAUUCUAAGAUCCAACCCUGGUAGCACUGUUAUAAUGAAAACUGUUGAUGGCUUUAGAGACUCAAAAACAGGGAAAGGCAGAUUUUAGAGGCUGUACAUUUGUUUUGCUGGAGUGAAGCAUGGUUUCUUAACUGGAUGUAGGCAAUUUAUUUGAGUAGAUGGUACUUUUUUGAAAGGAUCAGUAGGAGGAGUUUUGCUAGCAGCUGUUGGAGUUGAUGCUAAUAAUGGCAUUUUUCCAAUAGCAUAUGCUGCAGCAGAGGGUGAAAGUAAGGACUCAUGGUGCUGGUUCUUCAAACUAUUGAAAGAAGAUUUGAAGAUUGAAAAAGAUUAUGAGUGGACAAUAAUGAGUGACAAACAAAAAGGUCUAAUUGAAGCAUGUGAUAUGAUUUUUCCAAAUGCAGCCCACAGAUUUUGUGUGAAACACUUGCACAAUAACUUUUCAUCUGCUGGUUUCAAAGGAGAAGGUUUGAGGAGAGCGUUAUGGACUGUUGCCAAAGCAACAACACCAGCUCAAUUCAUUAGCAGAAUGGAAGCAAUGGCUCAAAUUGAUAUAGAGGCAGCCAGGUGGUUUGAUGGCAAACCACCAAGUCAAUGGAGCAGAGCUUAUUUUAGCACUCAUCCUAAAUGUGCUAUGUUAUUGAAUAAUAUCUGUGAGUGCUUCAACAGCAAAAUUCUUGAUGCUAGGGAGAAGCCAAUAAUUGAAAUGUUUGAAGCAAUACAGUUGUACAUGAUGCAGAGAAUGCAAAAAAAUAGGGAUCUGGCCAAAGAGAAGUGGCAGACUUAUCCUUAUUGCCCCAGAAUUCUUCACAUUAUGCAGAAAAAUGUAGAUAGAGCACCUGACUGUUUUCCAUUCAAGUCAAAUGAUGAUCUUUAUGAAGUCAGUUGCCCAUAUGGUGACCAAUAUGCAGUGAACAUCAAGGAGCAAACAUGCUCUUGCAGAAAAUGGGAAUUAACAGGUAUUCCCUGUCCCCAUGCCAUUGCUGCAUUGUGGAUGGCUAAAAAGGAUCCUCUGCUAUAUGUUUCAAAAUGGUAUACAGUGGAGACAUAUAUGAAGUGCUAUGAAGGAUCAGUGUGUCCCAUGAAUGGAGAAAGUGAAUGGGGGCUUACUGAUGUUGGUGAAGGUCCUUUACCACCCUUAUAUGGGAGAGCACCUGGAAGGCCUAAAAAGCUGAGAAGGAGAAGUGCAGAGGAGGUUCAACAAACCAAGGAAAAAACUAAGAAGAAGGUGACAAGAGUGGGACAGAUUAACAAGUGUAGAUACUGUCAUCAAAGGGGACAUAAUAUGAGGUCCUGCAAGCUUCUCAAAGAUGCUCAAGAUCCUGCAGUUGCAGAAACUGAUAUUAGUUCAAGCCAAGUUGCUGCUUCUACCAACAAUCCAGCUAGCCAAGAUGGAAAAAAAGUUGUAAGUUGUUUUGAUGACUUGUUACAGCUAUCUUUGCUAUUUGGUAUAUAAAUGACAUGUUUUCCUUUUAAACUGUAGGGAACAAAGAAAACCAAGAAGCCUGCUGCUGAGUCUUCAAAUAAAAGGGUAGAAAAACCUGCUACAUCUUUUGAUUUUUCUGUCUUUAUGCAAUUUGAUUUUUGCUACCUCACUGUUUUGUGCAGAAGAGACAUAGACAUACAAGAAGAGUUGCAGCUGCAGUUUGUAAUGAUGAUUCAAACAUUGAACAUCAACAGGAUGCUGAGCCACUGGUUGAGAUUGACAUAACAUCCUCUGCCCCAGAUCAAGUAGACCAGGAUAUGUUCGAAGUGUUUGGGCUGUCAAGGUCUCAAGUGAAAUAUAGCACCAAGGAACCCAGAACACAAACUAAAGAACAAGUACAGAUGCCCUUCAGGAUUAGAGAUGUUCAUAUGCAUGUUGCUGCUGCUGGCAAGGCAGAUUUAAGUGUUCCUAGUUCAUCUAGAUCGAAGGGAAAGGAGAAAGUACUGUGAUAGGAGAAACAACAUGCUGAAUUUUCUUCAAGCCAAGCUGCUUUUGUUCAAGCCAAGUUGCUGCUUUUGUAAUUAGUGAAUGACUUUUGUUGUUUCAACUUUUGCUUUGCCUAGUAAUUAUGGAAGUGCAAGCUGUAAUGUGAUAGCUGGCUUUAUUUCAUUUAUGGACCCAUGUUCAACAACAGAUCAUGUAGUUUGCUUUAUUUCAUUGAGAAUGCACUUUAAUUGUAUUGAAGUUAUGAUAUACAUAUAUGGCAGCUGUUUUCAUGUUCAUCUGUUUGUAUUAUUUGCAUUUAUAUUCCAACUUGGUUUAUCAGUACAUGUGGGACAAUCUUGGUUUAUCAGCUUAGUUGCCAGUUUGGUUUAUUUGCAUUUGUUUUCUAGCGUGGUUUAUUUGCAUCUGUUUGUAUUAUCAGUACAUGUGGUUUAUCAGUUCAUGGCCAUUUUAUAUUUAUGAUAUGAACAACACUUUGACAAGGACCAUUUUCUUACACUCAACGCAUAGCUUUACAAACAAAAUAAAUUACAGAGUUCAUAAAUUGCAUUGUUGCCAAAUACAUUUCCCUUCCUAAAUCCCACCUUUUACAUAAAUUGCAGAGUUCAUUUGGAACCUUUGUACAAACAAAAUAAGUCCCUUUCUAUACCCUGCAAUUGGAUAUUACUUCAUAGGAAAAAAUGCAACUCUCGUUCCAACAACAAACACAGCCAACUUCAAAAUGUUCUUUCUUCUGCAAUUUUACCAAAAUCACUCCAGUCUUAGCAGCAACUUGCCUCCCUUUACUUUUUCCUCGCCUUUACUGCUCCAACUCAGUACUAGCAAAACCACCAAAAGCACAAUUAUUAUAAUAAAAAAUUUCUCCCUCUUACGCAUUCUUUCAACUUGUUCUUCCAUUUUGUUAGUCUUUUUCAGCAAACCAGGAAUGAGAACUCUCCCUCUUGGACAAAUUGGCUCAUCAACCCAUUCAAAGUACCUGCAUCUCUCGGGUCUCUACCAUAACAAUAAUGACAUUUCUCAGAAAUUAGUUAGCUAAAUUAACACAUUGAAGGACCAACAUUUUUAGACAAAUAUUUCUUACCGGCCACAGAGAGCAACCAAGGAAUCUUCUUCCCGAAUUCUCGCCGCGCCAACAGGUGCUCAUUUUUGUUCUUAACCCACACUUGCAGAAUGGAGUUGAUGAACCACUGGAGACUUCAGAACUUCUGCUCCUCAUUUAGGCAAAAAUGAGAGCACAGGGAGCUCCACUGCCAGAUGCUCUGAGGAUGAAUGUUUAAAGCUGCAAAGAUUGGCAAGAAAAUUUUGGGGUUGAAGGGCAGAGGGAAAAAGGACAACAAUGGAGCUUUUCGUCCGUCCGUUGCAUUUUGUUCCUUUAAAGUUAGCUCCAUUCGGUUUUACCCAUUUUUUGUUGGGUAAAACCGUUGGUUGUAACGGUCAAUUGGAUAUUUCCCGUCAAUUGUCCUUAAUUGGUCAAAAUUACGGAACAUUGAGGAUGAAAUGUGUUUGGGGUUAAACAUUGAGGAUAAAAUUGGUCAAGCCCCCAAACUUUGAGGAUGAAAAGUGCAUUUUUCCCAAUUAGAAUCGAAUUGCAAUUCCAAAUCAAUCCAAUUCCAUGGUUCCAAUUCUUUGGCUGGACCAAAGAAUUCCAAUUCUACGGCCAGACUUCCAUUCGGGUCAACACGCGGACUUUAAAUGGGUAAAAACUCCAAAACGGGUCAACUAUAAAGCUGGAUUAAAAAAAAUAUACAAAGCUAGGCUUCUUUCUCUCUUCUCGUGAGCAAUCGCUCUAGCGUUUUCUGCCACCGCCGGUGCCGCCUCCUCUUCCCAACACCUCUACCGUAACCCCUUCAGGCCUUUCCUCCCUCUUCUCUCCACCCCAACAUCGUGUGGGUGAAAUCGCUAUAUCUAUUCUGCUAUAUCGUGGUAAGCUUUCGUUCCACUGUAUCCUCUCUCUUUCUAUGUGAUUCGCUUCUUCUCUAGAUUUCCAUGGUUAUUCUGCUAUAGAUACAGCCCAUAUGAUUGCUGAUGACCAUGUCGUAGAUGUCAAAAUCAUACAUAAAAAGUAACAGAGAAGGAAAAGAAAUUGUAAGAAUCAUCACGUUUCUUCAUAAAAGGAAAUAUGAAAAAAAAGAAAGAGAAGACAAAUUGCCAUUAUAUCUUUCUUCACUUUCUGAAAAACGAAGUUUAUGAUCUGUAGAUGUGGGUUUUCAAUGUGGCUAAAAGGACUCCAGGCAUAGUAGAAACUAGAAAGGGUACAGAAAUAAAGUAGACAAGAUGUUAAACGAGGACUUCUCGCAUGACAUUAGAAAUUAAAAAAGAAUUUACGACUUAAGCUAGUAUAGAAAACUUCAAUUUUUAGCACUGAUUAAUGCUAGAAUUUAUCAUGGGACCAGAUAUUUGAGAAUACGUUUUUCUAUUUCUUUUAGUGAGAAUACAUUUGUUAGACUUUUAGUGAGAAUGCAUUCUUAUAAAGUACCACGAAUUUGUGUUGCAAUAUUUUCUAUUUAUAUUGUCAUUGUUGGUUGUGGUUUUUGCCUGAAUGUAAAGAGCAAUAUACUUGGAUUUCCGGCUGGACUUUGCCCAAUUGUUGGAGUUGGUGGACAUAUAAGUGGUGGUGGCUACGGUUCACUGUUGCAAAGAUAUUGCCUGAUGGUGGAUAAUGUUCUUGAUGCUCAGAUUAUCGAUGUUAACAGCCAGGUUUUGGAUAGAAAAGCAAUGGGAGAAGAUCUGUUUGGGGCUAUUAGCGAUGGUGGUAGUGCUAGUUUUGGUGUUGGUUUUGCAUAUAGAAUCAAGUUAGUCAGAGUGCCUGAAAUUCACACUGUUUUUAAUGUGCAGAAGACUGAGGCAGAGAAUGCAAUAGAUGUUCUUUACAAAUGGCAAAAUAUUGCAGACAAAAUUGACAACGAUUUGUACAUUAGCAUUAUUGUGCAGCCAAUUACUGGAAAAGUAAAGGGUCAGAAAAUCAUUAGAUUGACAUUCAUGGGACAUUUCCUUGGAGAUGCAAAUAGGUUGAUUUCUGUUAUGAACACUGGAUUUCCUUAAUUGGGAUUGAAGAGAAGUGAUUGUUUGGAAACAAGUUGGAUUGAUACGAUGCUCUGGUGGUAUAACUACAAGAUUGGGACAGCAAAGGAAGUGCUAUUGAGAAGGGCUUAUGAUCAAUUGAUCUUCUUGAAGAGAAAAUCAGAUUAUGUACAGAACCCCAUUCCUAAAGAUGGAUUAGUAUCACUAUUCAAGAAAAUGGUUCAGCUUGGAAAAACAGGACUUGUUUUCAAUCCUUAUGGUGGAAGAAUGAGUGAAAUUCAUAAGAAUGAAACACCAUUUCCUCAUAGGGCGGGGAUCAUUUUCAACCUGCCAGAUUGAUGAAAGUGAAGGCUACCAUGGAUCCACAAAAUUUCUUCAGGAAUGAACAGAGCAUCCCCACUUUGAACCUUCAGACCUCUAAAGGGAGGAAGGGACGAAAGUAAAGAGCAACAAAUGAUAAUUGCUCAUAUAGUAAUGGUUAUCAAGUAGCAGAGGUGCCUUGUCCUAUUAAUGGCUUUAGCAUAAAAUGUAAUGUUAAUGAAUGGAUAUAGUGAGCAUUACUUUUGUAGUAUUGUAGUACCGAAUGGUUGGUUGUGCAUUAAAGAGGCAAAAGUCGUACAUUCAUGGAUUGAUUUCACUUAUUACAGACCUUAUUGUCUAUAUAAUCUUGUAAGAUGCAAAACUCAAACAUUUAUAAUAGGUACAAGCUAUGACUUUCCUCUCCAAUUCAUAUAAUAGAGUAGGCUUUUAAUUUUCUAAAUUUAAAGUUCUUAACUGUAAGAAAAAUAUCAAGGUUUUAACUUGAUGAAUAUUAACUACUUUUUAAGUUAGAAUAUAUAAUUAGUUUUUUAUUUAAUAUAAUUUAAUUAAGAAUAAAAGAAAUAAGAUUAAUAUUUUUUUUUGCAAAAAAAGAACUAAUUGGUUUUCUUUUUCUUUAAAGCUUUACUAACAAUUAGUUAAAUGCAAGAAAAAAACAAAUUAUUAAAGGCAUUAAUUGGUUUUUUCCUUGAAGCUUUAGUAAUAGUUAGUUAAAUAUUAAAAAAAUUAUUACAUAGGAAAAAGAAAAACAGAAAAUUUUUAUGUAAACAAAUGUUAGAUGGAAACAAUUCUAGUUCUUAAUGAAUUCUUCUCUCAUCCAAACAAAGAAUUUGGAAUUUUAAAUGAAUUCUGUAUCAAUUCUAUGCAUUUCCCAAACAAAAGAAUUCCAACAUUUUGGAAUUCCAAUUCCUGGAAUUUUAAUUCUAUAGAAUUCCAAUUCCAAUUCAAUUCCAAUUCUGUAGAACCAAACGCAGCCUUAAACUUUAUGUGUCUACAAACUUUUGAUAAUAGCAAACACAUAUUGUUGCAAACUAAGACAAUUGAUGUAAAUUUUAACCAAAUUGGUAAGAUGGAAAUUUUGAUUGAGGCUAAAUAGCUAUACUUCAAAUUAAGCUUUAUAACAUGAAUAUGAAUGCUGUCAAAUUGACAUGAGAUACAAUUGAUGUAUGGCGAUCCUCAUAGUUAUUGUAUUCCUGUUGCCUUUGUUAUGGUUAAUCACAGAUUGCCCCCGGAAUGUGGGAGUUACUUGUACUUUGUCCCCUUGAAUGUGAAUGUUACUUUACAUUGAGAAGAAAAUUUUGGACAAUCCUAUCCUUCCAAUAACUUCAAAGUGCUUUCACUUGCAUUGUUAUAAUGUGUUUUAUUUUGAGUAAUUUUUAUUUAAAUGUUAAAUUUUCUAGUCAUCAGUUUUUUCUUUCAUGCAUAUAUUAUAUCUCUUUUUUUUUUUCUUUGAGAUAUUAAGUUUUUCAUUCCUCACAUUCUUUUUCCUUCCUUUUAUACUACAAGUGUUUAUAUUUUUCAUGAUUUUCGUUUACAUGUUAAUUAUUUCUCUCAUCAAAGUUUUUUCCUUGCGUUCAUGUUGUGAAUCUUUCGAAUAAUGUUAAUUUUUAUUGAGAUAUUAAGUGUUUAGUUAUCAAAGAUUUUCUUUCAUUUUAAUAGUUCAAUUUUUUCAUUUUUCAUUUUAUUUAGAUUUGAAGUUUUUCUCUUCCCAAAUUAUUCCUUUCUUCUAUACUAUGAAUAUUCCUAAUUUGCGUGACUUUAAUUUACAUAUUAAAAUUUUCUCUUGUCAGGUUUUUUUUGCCUUGUAUUUUUACUAUAAGUAUGUUUAAUUUUCUUAAUUUUUUAGAUAUUAAAAUUUUCUCUCAUCAAAUUGUUUCCUCCUCUUUUUAAGCUAUUAGUAUUUUUAUAUUUCAUGAAUUUUUUAUAUAUUAUUUUUUCUCUCAUAAAUAUUUUCUUGCAUAAACUAUGAUUCAUUAUUUUCUUCAUAUUUUUUUGUGUAUAUUAAUUUUUCUCAAUUCUUUUAAUAUAUAAAUCAUUUUAUUUUUUCAAUUUUUUAAAAAUAUUAAGCUUUUGAGCUGAUCAAUUAUUUUCACUCCUUUUAUUCUACAAGUUUUUUCAUUUUUUAUGACUGUUAUUUCUAUGUUUUAUUUAUACUAUAAGUUUUCCAUUCAUCAUGUAGAUAUUAUGUUUUUCUCUUACGAAAGGAUACAUGAUCUAAUAGAUCUCAUUUGAAGGGUAAUUUAGUCAUUUCAUGUCAUUUUGGUCAAACAAAGAAUCUUUAAUCCAAAAUUAGAGAGGUAAAGUGUCCAUGUCUGAGUUCAAGGCGGCAAAACCUCCACAUUCGGGAGGGCAAACUAUAAUUAACCCUUCUCUUUAUUUAGAUUUCACCAGGAAACUAUGUUGAAGAGUAAUUCACAAUUGCAAAUUGCAGAUCGCAACGAUAGACUAUAUAAGCUUAUCAGUAGACACUUUAUAUCCUAAAGUAAGAAAUCCAUCUCACUGAAUUAUCAAAACUGGCGGAAUGAUAGGCAAGUGAUGCUCAAAGUUAAAGGAUUAAAGUGGGAUGGAUUUCAUAUUUUAGAGGGUAAAAAGUCCAAAAUUAAAGUUUAAGUAAUAAAGUGGGAAGGAUUUCAUAUUUUAGUAGGUAAAGUGCCCAAAUUAAGGUUUAAGGACUAAAGUAAAAGUGAAUUUAUAUUUUAGGGUCCAAAAUGGAAUUCAUUCCUUUCUAUAUUUAGACUUUGCCAAUAAACUAUGAUGAAGGGUAAUUCACAAUUGCAGACAAUAGAUAGCAAGUAUAGACUUGCUAGAUAAGCUUAUGAGUCUUUUGACUAUACAUUUUUUUUUUUUUCGACACAGGGGUGUCCGGGUCAAUUUUUACGAGGUCCGACUAAUCCCCUGCGACCCGGGAGAGGAGGCCCCACUCCACUCCGGACACGGUAACUCCAGGCAGACUCGAACCUUGGUUGCCCAAGGCCGGCCUGGGGGGGGGGGGGCUUAUGACUAUACAAAAGUAGUUAGUUUUUGUUAGAUCACUUGUACAUCAUCCAUCUAAUGUCAUGUUCAUCAGCUCAUUUGCAAUUCAAUAUUACACUUAUUUCAUUGGUGACUAUCUGGUAACUAAAGACAACGUGAUUACUCUUUUCAUCCUGUACCUAAACCAAAAAAAAAAAAAGGAAAAUCUUUGGUCCUGUUCUACAUUUAUUGAACUCUUUUUUGGCAUAUAGUUGGAUAAGCGCAGGUUUACUGGCUAUAUAAGACCUGUAAUCUGUGGUACAACGCCACCAAAAUACGGCAUUUAGCUGUUCUAGUGAGAAAACAUGGCAUUUCUUCUUUCAAGUUGGUCGUCCAAUCUAAAAUCUUUGCCAAAAAACUACGUUGUAGCUGUAGAGAAGCCUCAAUUAAGCAAGGGCAUACCAGUGGUUGAUCUAGGUGAAGAAGGUCAAGCCAAUAUAACUCAGAAAAUCAUGAAAGCUGGUCAAGAAUUUGGCCUAUUCCAGGUUUGCAGCUUUGAACUUUCAUGUUUUCGAAACAUGAAUUAUGUUGAUUUCAAUCAAAAGUUAAUUAGUACUUGUGUAUGAUUAUGUAACAGGUGAUCAACCACGGAGUAUCUGAAGAGUUGAUGACUGAUGCUGUGAAUGUGGGCAGAGAGUUCUUUUCGCUGCCUGCUGAGGAGAAAGCAAAGUUCGUUGAUCAAGAUGCACAAAAUGGAUGCAUGGUUAACACCACCUCUGGAAGUUAUAGAAAUGGUUUACACCAGCACCAUACCAGUAUAUGAUGAAUUUUGAUCUCCUAUUGAGCCAGCGAAUUUUAGGCAGAUUAUCUUGAUAUAUCAUGAUACCAUAUUGUUCUACUCCAGUAUCAAUUGAAGGAACCUGCAUUUCAGAUUCUUCUGUCUUUUCAAAACAAAAAAAAUCUGAUUUUCUAGCAAACAAUUACUUUUUCUUGGAUGGAUUUCAUACAUUGAUCGUAGCAUGCAGAUUAAUGUAUAUAAAGGAACAUGUGUACUGACUAAGAUGUGGGCUUUAUUUUUUUAUUUUUUGUGGUGAAUAGAAAGAUCAUCUCCUGACUUCUUUUAUUUACUGUUAUCUGCAGACCAUGAACUAAUAUUCCUUUACUCAUUAUUUCUGGACAAAAUAAAUACCAUUUCAAUUUGCAGAGAGAUCAUAGGACCAUAUACAACUGAUGUGAGAAAGUUGGGUAUCAGAGUAAUGUCAAGAUCACAUUGGCCUGACAAUCAACAUGGACAAGAAGCAAGGGAGGAACUAAGCUGUGUACACUGUACAGAAGGCUUAACAGGAAUGGUUGGAGUUCAAGGAAGCUGAGGAAGUAAAUGACAGAAAAUGCAUUGCUGAAACAACUCAACCUCAUGAGAACAGGAACUGGUACCCCCCUGAACAAGGAAUAAUUAGAGUCAACAAUGAUGCUGCUAUAGCCUUGCAAAUGAACAAAACAGGAAGAGGAAUAGUAGCAAGAGACUCCAAAGGGGAAUUGGUGAAGGCCUGCGCACUGCAAGAGCGAAAAAGGGGUGAGCCCCUCAUUGAAGAAGCUCUAGCAAUAAGGGAAGCAUUACUGAUAGGACAGGAAGCUGGAUGGAGAAGAAUUGAAGUUCAGUCUGACAGCAAAGGGCUAAUAGAGAAACAUCAGGUAACAGCAAGGACAGAAACAUUGAGAUGAUACUGGAAGACAUACUGGAGUUGAGAGAGCUGUUUGAUCAAUGCAAUUUCUCUUUUGUUCAUAGAUCAGGAAAUGAUGUUUGUCAUAGACUAGUUAAAUUUGCAACUAAACUAGUUAAUGAUGUAAAAUGGGACACUAGCUUCGCCGUGUGGAUCAAAAAUCUUGCACAAAAAGACUACAGGACAGUUGUUCCUUUGUGUAACUAAAACUUGUAUUAUCAAGUUUAAAGAUAUAAUACAAUGCCAUUUUGACAAAAAAAAAAGAGUAUUGCUAAUUAUCUCUGGGGGACUAGGAUUGACUAAGGAAGAUCCUGACAACUAUGAUAUGCUCCUAAUGGUUCACAGCUACCUUGAAUGUCCAGACCCGACUUCAGCCUUGGUAAUUGCUGGACACCAUGACGGUAACCUCAUAACCAUACUUCCACAGGAUAUUUAUGGACUGCAAGUAUUCAAGGAUGGACAUUGGCUUGGUGUGGAGCUUCUUCCAAAUGGAUUUGUCAUCAACAUAUGUUUUUUCUCUAGAGGUACACAUAAAUUACCUGACUGGAAAAGCAGAACCUUGCACGUAGUUGUAUGGUCGAACCUCCUUGGAUUUAUCUGAAAUGAGAAGCUCGUGGAAGGCGGGGCUCUCUCCCCCGGAAUACACUCUGAUGCUUGAGUUAGGAAAGUUCCAACAAAAAAAGGUAGUUUAAAGAUAGAUGUUCUAAAAUAAUAGUUACUUGUUUCCUUGGACAGUUCCCAGUUUUUAUUUACCUUUGCACAAUUUGCUAUAUAAUCACCGUUUCAUGUCAUGUGGAGAACUCGAGAUCGAGAUCUCAUAAUGAUGUGUCAAGUUGAGAUCUACUCAACAUUUUUUAUAAUGUGUUAAUGACUCAUCAGCCUUUUAAGUGACUUGUCAUCUUAUUAUUUCGAAUAUUAUGACACUUGUCAAGACACGAGUCACCUUUGCAUGAUCUCCACGUAUUCCAUUUUCUAUUUUUCCUUUUCAAUGACCUAUUUCUCCAACUAAUUAUGGCCACAACUCGCACUCACUCUGGAGAAUUAAUUGUUUGAACUGCAAAAAUCCAAGCUCAAGUAUAAUUAUUCGGCUUGAAAAGGAACAUUUAAGGAAAAAAAUAUAAGAAUUAUUGGACCAGUAAAGACAUUGGAAGAUGGAACACAUAAAAUUCUUAUUUGUCAGAUGGGACAAUUGUGAAAUUAAUAUCUGAGAAUUAUAGGUAUGAUUUGGAUCACCAUUGCAGGUAAUUACAAUGGAAAGCUAAGAAAUGCAGUGCAUCGAGUGGUUACAAAUUGAAACCUGUUCUAGGACAUCACUGGCUAACUCUGUGAACUUUGCUUCUCAUGGUAUAAUUGAACCUGCAAAAUCACUUGUUAGUCCAAGCAAUCCCCCAUUGUUUAGCGGGUUCCAUUGCAAAGAGUAUUUUGAGGUUCUUUUGAGCAACAACUCUGACACUGAAGCAACGGCUGAAUACUUCACAAUCAGAAGCCAAACCAUCAAAUAGUAAAAGGGUUGUUUCGUCAGUUCUAUAAUAUUCUGCAUUUUGUGGUACUUUUUUGUGUUUUUAACUAAUUGUUAAUCAUAUCUGACGGACGAGUUUGACUACCUAUUUUAUUAAUAAAAAAAAUGGAGCACAAAAAGAAGAGGGGAACAUAAAGUCUUUCCUCCACACUGAGAAAAUAAAAAAAAUACAUAACCUACAUUUUCUCUUAGACUUGCUGGAUUGAUCAAUACAUGCAUGCCUAAGAAUAUUGAUCAUGUUCUCUUAUCCUUCCUUUUUUUUUUUUUUCCCUUUUUUUUCCAUUUGCAUUUACAUUGAAACCUAAUUUUGUCCUCGUCUUAAGAAGUCAAGAUGGACUUUGAAACACUAAUUGGUGAUUUGCAAAUCUAAAUGCCUCCUACUUAAUCUAAACUAUUAAAAGAAUUUACGGAAAUUUCAAAUUUUUCCUCAGAUCUCUUAAUUCAAACGCAACCUAAAGAUAUUCUAGCAAUUGGUUUUCUUCUCUUAACGAGUUAGCCAAUUCUAUUUUUUGGUCAACGUUCUCGUGUUCAUAUUUAUUCUUUUUUAGAUGACUUAAAAGAAGAAAGAUGAAAUAGAGCACGAAAAUACGUCCUUAUAUUCAAAGCUAAAUGAUUUAUUCUGGAUAUUCAACUAAGUAGCCGGCAAUCCCAAAUUGCGUAUGGAUUUUUGUUGCUGAUGUUAUGAUCCAAAAGUUAAAACUGCACCAAAAAAAAACUAUUACAAAUACUAGGGUCUAGACGUGAAAGAAAGAAAAACAAUAAAAAAAAAUGCAUUUCCAUUCCCAUCGACAAAAAAAAAUUAAAAAGAAAAAAAAAACAACUGUUGUCGCAACGACUACCAUAUAGUGAAACCCCUUGAUUUUUCUAAGUCCUGGUUUCUUUCAUCUUGCCUUCAGGUUUCACUGAAAUAUGAAUUAACGAUAAUUAAAUCUUGAUAGACGGCUGAAAUUUGGAUGGACAUCACAAUGGGACGGACAAACAAAUAUGAAAUAGAAAUAGGGGUUAGUUAUUAAAUCUACCCUCCAAAAAUACCUUUUCCUCAAUUUCUCCCUUGAGUAUUAAAACCACAAAUCUCCCCCUUGCAUUAUUCGAUUUUUUCCAAUUAGGUACAAUCAGCAUACAGAUCCAAUUUCUCUUUAAUUUGUUGCAUGUAAGAUGCAUGUGCUACGGUCAAAUGACUCAAAUCAUUUCCAAAGAAGUCAAACUUGACUGCACUUAAAUGCAUACAGGACUCGGGCAGGUGCAACCGUUCCUGACGGUUUUGGUCAUUUUUAACAGCGCGUAAUUUUGAUAGCACACGGUAUAACUUUAUUUGCAUAACGUGUAAUUUUAGUACAAAAUUUUGCGGGUCCCACCUACGGAGUGAAAAUCGAUGUACAACUAGUGAUUUGGAUCACGCACAUUUUUUUUUGGCCAAAAUCUGGCCGUGAACAGUUCAGGAGCGGUCCUGCCCCUCACCGAUGCAUAUAACUCUUCUGCAUUUUACCCAAAAAAAGAUAAAUAAAAAAAACUAAAUGAUAAUGAUUCUUUCAUAUCCCCCACCUAUAUUAACCAAAAAAAAAUAGGCUAAAAGAUUAAGGGUUCAGUCUACAUAUGGAAGAGGUUAAAAAGUUGUUCUGUAUAUAAUCUUGUAUUUCUUUACUAUUUUUUUUCAAUCAACUGUAUAUGCAAUAGUUCACUGCCAAAUUCAAGAUUCAAAUAUUGAAUUUCUUAGUUGGAGAUAACAACGAUACGGGGACAGGUGGGAGGUAAAACAAAAACAUAGUCAUACAUGCAAUAGUUGUAUGUACAUAUAUUGAUUAUUAUUUUUUUUCCGGAAACGAUAGAAGAUAUAUUAUAAAUUCUCAAACUGUACAAUAUUUGAGCAAAGGCUCAAGCAUCUUUACAAAGUGUACCUUGACACUUAAGGAGGGCCAAAAAAUCUCUCCUCAUCCAUAAGUAUGCUCAGGGCAUAAUAGCUAAUUUGGUUACUUAAAGACAUAUUACUAAUAUUCCUAGCCUCAACAGAGCACAUUUGAAACAGAUUAGCUAACACAUUUAUGUCUUCGACCAGUGUGGCAGUAUUCGGAUUGUCGCCUUUCCCAGCUUUUAGCAAGGCAAUGAGUUGCUUGUUGGCACUAAUGAUUUUGAUUCGUUGCCAUCCUUGUAGAUUUGCUUUCAUUAGUGCCAAUCUUACUGCCACAGCUUCAUCUUGACUGUCCCUCUGCGCACUUCUUUCCACUAACGCCCACUCAGCUCUGAUCCUCCCUCUAGCCUCCUUGGCUACGAUGCCAAUCCCCAAUUUAUGUCCCACUGCUGCUUUCUUAGUAGCUAUCUGAAGUUCCAGCAGCUCUCCCUCCUCCCUUCCUCUUCCCCUUGCACUUCCAAUAGCUCCAUCUGUUUCUGAUGUACUUUUCUCGUUCUUUCCUUUCCAAGCUUCCUCAUAUUCCAUCCAUUCUGAACUGGCUUUUUGCACAAUUCUCAGGCUCUCUCUUUCUUUCCCUUCAAAUUCCAUUUCAUUUCUAUCCUUCCAUAUCUGCCAUAGCAAGUUAGCAGUCAAGGCAAUAUGCUGUCUUCCUUCAGCUCUACUUGUAGCUUGGCUUAAUGCUGCCCACCACUUCUUGAAGCACCCUGUUUGAUUCUGAAUUCCAUCCCACUGGAUUGGUGCUAGCUUCCAAACCUUCUGAGCCUGAUGGCAAUGAAAUAGAAUGUGUUCAAUCGUUUCCAUUCUAUCUCCACACCUUGAACAGAAAGGCGAUCCUUGUUUUGUCCUCCUGAAGAUUGUUUCCCUGGCUGUUAAUGUGUUAGUAAUGCACCUCCAUAUAAAUAGCUUGAUCUUAUGCUUGAUAUUCAGACUCCAAAGAGUUUUCCAGAUUUGUUUGUUGGAAUCAUCAUAACUCGAUCCAGCUUCUCCUUUUGCUCCCCUCUCCAUACUUCUAUCCUCCUUAAGCAGUAUCUGAUAGCAUGAUUUAACUGAGAACUCCCCAUUCUUGCAAUGAGUCCAGAAAUGCAUGUCCCCUGAUCUUGACAGACUGAUGGGUAUCUUCAAAAUGUUCUUAGCAUCCUCCCUAUUGAACCUCCUGUAUAUCUCACUCCUUUUCCAUCUGGAAUUUGAAAUCAGUUCAUCCACCUUCUGCUCCUCCCCCCCUACUGGCAUUCUAGUAGUAGGCCUUCCAUUUAGAUUAUUUGGAAUCCAUUGGUCUUUCCAUAUUCUUAUGCUCUUCCCUGAUCCCACUCUUUUCAGUAUGCCCCCCUUGAUUGCCUCUCUUGCUGAUAUGAUACUUUGCCAAAACCAAGAAGCAUUCUUGGGGGUCUCACAAUUCAAAAUGGAAUCCUUGGGGUAGUACUUAGACUUUAAGAUUCUACUGACCAACAAAUUUGGGUAUCUAAUCAACCUCCAAACCUGCUUCCCCAGCAUUGCUUUGUUGAAACACAAUAGGUUCCUAAAUCCCAGACCUCCUUCCAUCUUUGCCUUCAUCAUUUUGGCCCCCGAGCACCAGUGCACUUUGCUUCUCCCUUCUGACUCCGCCCACCAACAAUUAGCCAUCAUUCCUGAGAUUUUCUUGCAGAGAGUAGCAGGUAACUUGAAACAGGCCAUCGCAUAAGUUGGCAUGGCCAUUGCCACAGCUUUUAACAUCACCUCCUUCCCAGCUGCACUUAGGAGCUUAUUCUUCCAGCUAUUGAGUCUGGCUUUGAUAUUUUCUUUGAUGUAGGCAAAAACUUGUCCUUUUGUCCUUGAAAUUACCAUUGGGAGGCCCAAAUAUUUACCUUGAUUCACUGUCCUUACUCCUGCUAGUGGCUCACAUGAUUCCUCCUUGUCCCUCUCUUUUGUAUUCUUACUAAAGCAGAUAGAUGAUUUGUCCAGGUUUAUCACCUGGCCAGACCCUCUUUCAUAUUGAUCCAGGAUCUCUUUUAGCUUUCUUGUUUCUUUCCCCGCAGCUUUACAGAAGAUUAAGGUAUCAUCAGCAAAGAAUAAAUGUGUUAUAGCAGGCCCAUGCUUGCUGAUCCUUAGUCCACUGAUGUGUCCCUGUCUAGCUGCAUUCCUUAGCAGAUUAGAGAGUCCUUCAGAGCACAAAAGGAACAGGUAAGGUGACAGAGGGUCACCUUGCCUAAUGCCUCUAGAGGGGAUCACAUAUUCUUUAGUUUGUCCGUUUAUAUUGAAGGAGUAUGAGACAGUUCUAAUGCACUCCAUAAUCCACCCUAUCCACAUCUGGUUAAACCCCAUUUUUUCCAUCACUGCUUGCAGGUAGUCCCAUUUAACUUGAUCAUAGGCCUUCGACAUGUCCAGUUUGAUUGCAGUAUAGCCAUCCUUACCUUGCCUCUUGUUUUUAAGAAAAUGAAGGCAUUCAUGGGAGAUGAUGAUAUUAUCCAGGAUCUGCCUAUUAGGGACAAAGGCUGAUUGGUUUUUACUAAUGCAUUGUUCCAGGACAGGUUUCAAUCUAUUUGCUAGGACUUUGGAGAUAAUUUUAUAAAGAACAUUGCAGAGGCUGAUUGGUCUAUAUUGUUUCAAUUCAAUAGGCAGGUCCACCUUAGGGAUAAGAGUAAUAAUGGUAUGGUUCAGGGAUUUGAGCAUAUGGCCAGAAUGAAAAAAAGCUGAAAUUGCUUUCACCACCUCUUCCUUAAUGGUAGUCCAGAAUUUUUGGAAGAAAAGGGGUGUCAUCCCAUCAGGCCCUGGAGCCUUGUUAGAGUUCAUGGUGAACACUGCUACCUUAAUCUCAUUUUCCUCCACAGGCCUGGUUAGAUUAGCAUUGAUCUGGUCAGUAAUAGAUCUAUGGAUUCCCUCCAGCAUCUCCUCAAGCCCCUCAGUCCUAGAAGACCUAAACAACUGUCUAUAGUAGCUAGCAACUUCUUCAGCUAAAUCCUUGUCAUCAGAGGUCCAAGAACCAUCCUCCCUCUGCAAAUUCCCAAUCUUAUUUCUUUUUCUUCUCCCCUUCACCACUGCAUGGAAAUAUUUAGUAUUCUUAUCUCCUUCUUGUAACCAAUUUAUCCUAGCCUUCUGAGUCCAGUAUUGUUCCUCCUCUUUAUACGCUCUCACCAGCUGGUUCUUCAACCCAGCAAUUCUACCCUUCCUACCCUCAGCAUCAGAGUCUUUCUCCUCCAAAAGCUGUUGUUUCAAGGUCGAAAUCUUGUUCUUAGAAUUAUCCACAAAGUCAUUCCUCCACUUUAGCAAGGCCACUCUACAUCUCUUAAUUUUGUAAGCUACCUUAAACAUUCUAGACCCCCUAGCCUCCUCCUCCCAAGCCUUCUUAAUCACCUCCCCCACUCCUUCUCUCUGGACCCAUCUCUUGUCAAAAAAGAACUUCUUUCUCUUCCUCCUUUCCCCUGGAUUUGUGUCCAGGAUUAACAUACUAUGGUCAGAGGCUAAACUUUCAACAUGAGUGCAUUUAGGAUGUUCAAUGAGGUUACUCCAUCCUUCACUACUAAGCCCUCUAUCCAGUCUUUGUUUAAUCUCCCCCUCUUGCCACUGAUUGCACCAGGUCCAGGGAUUACCAUCAAACCCAAUAUCAAUCAGUCGAUUUCCCUGGAUAAACUGCCUAAAAUCCAGGAAGCUCCAAUCCUCUCUAGCUCUUCCCCCCCACUUCUCCUCAUUAGAACAAAGAUCAUUAAAAUCCCCCAUGAUAACCCAGUCCUCCCCCCAUAAAGCUUUCCUCCUACUGAUAACCUCCCAUUGCCCUUUUCUCACCUGUUUAUCACAGCUAGCAUAAAUCCCUACCAACCACCACUCCUUCUUCACAUCCUCAUCCUCCAGAAGCACCUCAAUGGUAAAGGCAGAAUGUUUAAUAUCUUUUACCUUAGUAUCAUCCUUCCACAACACACACAUACCUCCAGACUUAUUCAAAGCCUCUACCACAAAACAAUUGUCAAAGUUCAGAAUCUUCUUCACCUUCUCCAUGUACUUAGCCUUGUUCUUUGUUUCACUCAAAAAGAUCAAAUCGAGGGAGAGGAGGUUGUUAACCUCCUUCAGGUGGGGAAUUGUCAAGGGGCUCCCUGCACCUUGACAAUUCCACACCAUAGCUCUCAUUGGUCCCUUGGGGACCAGUGCGGGCUGAUCCCUCCCCCUUCAAACCCUAUAAAGUCUUCCCCCUCCUUCUGGACCCCUCUCAUUCUUUUAUCCAAGUGUUCCUGAUCCCCAGCCUCAUCCCUAUCUUCAUCUCUCAGCUGGAAUUUCCUUUUGAUACCAUUUAUCUCCUUAAGGGGAGUCCUUGACUUCCUUGCACCAGGAUUCACUCUCUUAAAUCUCCUCCCAUCUUUCCUGGGUUCUCCUUGGUUUUCUUUACUGAUACAUUCAUCAGUUUCCAUGCAGUCUGACUCCCCUCCACCCUUAAUCCUGUCUUGUAUUCUCUCUUCCUCUCCCUCGCAACUCUCAAACACUUGAGGCUUCUCCUUUCCUAAGACCUCCUGGUCCUCCAGACCCUUCUUAGAACCCCCAUUGUCUGAUAAGACAAGAUAUCUAGUUCCCUCAGAGCACUCCACGUUCAUAUCAGUGCUUAUGUUCCUACCUACUUGCCUCCCUCCCUCCUUCUCAACCUCCUUAUCAGCACUCCACAAAGAUUUUAUCCUACCUAAUCUCCCCCUUUCAGCAUCAGAAAAUCCAUCCUUCAGCUCCCCAAGUUUCUGUAUCUCUUGCACCAUUACAUUAUCUGGCCUACUACUCUCCCUCGCUAGAGUUAAAUCCGCUUCCUUAUCCUGUCUCUCUAUCUCCUCUAACCUAAUCAUCUCCCCAUUUCUCACCUUCCAGGCCUGUCUAUGUGGUGUCCAGAUCUUGGAACUCCCCUCUUUCUGAGGAGAGCUUCUACCCCCAAACACCCUCAUCCACGCCCCAUAUUGGUUCUGAGCCUGACCCUUCUUCACCACCGUAGGAGACUUACAAUUCUUUUCAGAAUGUCCUAUGACACCACAACUAUAGCAGAAGUCAGGACACUUCUCAUAUCUAAAAGAUAGCCACUUGCUCGUCCCAUUAAUCUGCACCAAGGUUCCUCGCAAUAAGGGUUGCUUAAUGUCUACCACCACUAAAAGUUUCAUAUGCUUCCCUUCCUUCCCUCCAUUCUGAGGAAUUAACACCUCCUUGACCUCAUGAAAUACGGUUCCCACUUUCUUUCCAACUGCCUUAGAUAGGCAGUGGAUGGGUAGAUUCCACACUUGCACCCACACCUGAGCUAAGUUAAACGCAACUUCGUCCUCCUCAAUCCCAAUCUUCCAAUUCCUAAGCACUAAGACCUGAUUGUCUAUAAUCCACGGGCCCCCCUCUACAAUCCUAUCCUUAUCCUUAGAGUCUGGGAUAGUAAACUGGAAGACAUUAGGUCCUAAUUCUGCCACUUUAAGCCCUUUCGGGUAACUCCAUGCCACAGAGACAAAAUUUUUAACUCCUGUAAAAUUCACUAUUUUUUCCCCUCUUAUUUUGCCUAUGACACUACCCUUGCAAUCCGUGAUACCUUCCUCUAGGUCCCCCAGGUCAAUAGAGGUGCUUCCCACCUCCUUCUCAGAAAGGGCAAAUUUCUUCAGCACCUCAGCCAGCUCCUCCUCCAUAACCCCACUAGAGAAACACAGAAAGAACCUAGACUCUUACCACUAGAUCCUCACUACCCCGGCCACAAUGGAGGAAAAAAGAUAGAUAGCCAAACCAGAAAAACACACUAAACAGAAACUAAAGACACAGAGAGGCUACACUAAGCAAGAACAAGGACAGCUAUACUACCUGGACAAGUCUUCUUCCUAUUGAUAAAGAUGAAGGAGGCUCCUGCCAGCUGCUUGGAAAAUCACCCGCAGACGAACUUAAAUCUUUUCCUUUACUUUUUUUUUUUUUUUUGUUUCCUACUUUCCGACCAGCUCCAUCUUCAUGACACCCUUUAAUGCUGCUUCUCAAAGGUGUCUUUUAUCCGACAAUGCGUUGAGAACUUGGCUUUAAGAAUCCGCCUGGCACAUAAACAUAGAAUCUGGCUUUUAGUUCAGCUACAAACUUUGAGCUUUGUUCAUUGGUUGCUUGAAUUUUUUCAAACUUUUGGGUUCCCACCAAGGGGAAAGAAGCUCUCUUCCCAAGAGAGAGAAAAAGCCUCUACACGUGAGAGGUAGGUUUCAGAGUUGUACAUAUAUUGAUUAGACUCAAGGUAUUUAGAGACCCAAUCUUUCUCAAUACGUAAGACGCAUUUGCUAUUAGCACAAAAACAAAUCGGACUUGAAUACGUUUCUAAAUAUAUUGAUUAGACUCAAGGUAUUUAGAAACGUAUUCAAGUCCGAUUUGUUUUUGUGCUAAUAGCAAAUGCGUCUUACGUAUUGAGAAAGAUUGGGUCUCUAUGUUGAUGGUGCCUAAUUGGGAUAAACUGAAUGGGAUAUGGGGAAAAUUGAUCCACUUCAAUAUUUAUGGGGCAAAGUGAGGAGAAGGUACUUUUGGAGGCUAGUUUGGAAUUUACUCUAAAUUAACCAUACAAACAUAAAACACAUGUCGACAAUUUGAACUACAAAUCUCUAUGAUUUAGGCUAUUAAUUACACAUAAGGAUUUUUCUGCAAACCUUUGUUUCACUGAAACAACCACUACUUCUUUUUUUUUUUUUCUUUUAUAAAGUGUGAAGUAGGCCAUUAAACUUUUCAAAAUUCUCAUUUCACCCACUAAACUAAUUUUCGUGUCAAACAUCCGUCUGAUCUCUAAAAAGUGCUUCAUUUGAUUGCUUUGUUAACUCUCAGUAUUACGACACACGAAAGUUAGCCCACGUGAGAAGCAUGCCUGUUACAAAUGGACACUUUUGGAUGUUUCACAUGAAAUCCACCAUUUUAUUAGCUUUUUAAUGUUUUAUUGUUUUAUGUAUAUUAGUCAUAUCUUAGAGAGUGUAACACAUCUCGAAACUGAAACCAAUCAUGAAUUCCUCAACAUUAAGAUAAUUAGUAAGAAAAUUAAUUGCAAAGAUCGACUUUUCUUUAUGAUUCUUUCAAUUUGGUUGAAUGAAAUUUCAAAAUCAACAGCUAAAUUUAAAAGAAAAGUCUCAAAUCUUGAUAGCCAAACUAAAAUAAAAGCACCCAAAAAAAUAAAAAUAAAAAUAAAAGCACCAAUAUGUUGAAGGGUUUCGCUGCGUUCCAAGGAAAAAUGGAAAAACAAACAAAGUUUAAUGUACAAACAGAAAAGUUAGCCGACACAAACUUGUAUUCAUAGGGAAACAAAAUAUCAAAAAACACAAAAGAGACAGUUCAGGCAUGGAGAGGACAACAACACACAACCUAGUUUAUAACACGCUUUACUUGUAAUCAACAGGUUACGGGUUCGAGUUAUCAAAAGGGUGAGUAAUAGUGCGGAAUUAGGACCCAAUGUUAGGGGGACAAUUAUGUUUAAGGUAAAAUUUUUUCUUGAAAAACUUUAACAACCAAUAUGACAGUUGUGUGAAGUUUGUAAAAUUAUAUAGUGUUAUAUAACGAUAACAACUAGAUGACAAUUUUUUUCUACGGCGACAACUAAAUUUUUUACGUUUAUUUUUAUGUACCAAAAGUUUUAAAAAUCACUUUUUUCCCCUAAAUUUUCAACUAGUACUUAGUUUCAUUUCAAACAUGCCAUCAUUUAUAAACUAAAUGACAAUUGUAGACUUCAGUAACUUAGGGGGCCAAAGUAAAGGAAUAUAGGAAAUUUUAGAAAUUUUAGGAGUUAUAAAUAUAGGACAAGAUUGAAAAUUUAAAAUUUUUUCAACCUAAUUUUGAAAAUUCUUCAAAGUUGAGAGGGGGCAACUGCCCACGCUCGCUUGCAUGUGUUUCUGCCAAUAGUAAGCGAGGAAACACCCUUAAUCAUCUUUUCGAAGAAAAAAAAAGGUUGAGAAGGGGCAAUUGCCCAUCCUCACUUGAAUGUGUCUCUGCCACAGGAAACACCGUUGAUCUUCUUGAAAAAAAAAAGGCAAGGAGAAAAUAAGUGUUUUAAAGUAAAAAUACCUAAGCAAGAAAUAGAUCAUGACUCAGAAGCUGAGGUCUCGAAAGGCUGAUAGUUUCAGGGGAAAUGUCUAAAUUGUUCAUUCUGAAUAGGCUCGUCUCUCAUGUGGGCUAAUUUCCAUCCAUCUUAGUUGCAAGAGCUGAUGCAAUGGUGAAGAUGAAAACCCUUUUAGAGCAUCCACAAUGGAGUGUAAUGAUGUGUGUAAUAACUGCCAUGACACAGGUCCAUUAUACGGAUACCAAUUGUAGCCGUGUAAUGCUCAUUACACGCAUCAUCAGAAUGAUGCGUGUAAUGGGUGGGCCAGAUGUAAAAUCCGGCCAUGGAUUCAAAACCAAACUAUGAAAUACGGUCAUGGAUUCGAAACCAAGUUGUGAAAUCAGGCCAUGAAUUCGAAACCAAGCUAUAAAAAUUAUUGAGAGAUAGAAAAAGAUAUAUUGUUCAAACUUAGAAAUUAAUAAUAUUAUUUUUUAGAAUAUAAAAAAUUCAAAAGGUAAAAAAUUUAAUGAAAGUUAAUAAUUUAUUUUUUAAAAAUAACAAAAUUAUUUUUAAAAAAUUACUUUAUUUAUUUAUGGAAUAUGAGUUAUACAUUAUUAAAAUAAAUGUUUGAUUUAAUUGUAGAUCCAUGCUAUUACACCUUGUGAAGUGUAAUCCAUUGUGAGUGAGAGUAUAAAGGAGAAAGGGGAAUGUUGACGUGGCACGUGCAUUACACUUCAAAGAGUGUAAACCAUUGUGGAUGCUCUUAGGAGUUUAGAGGGUUAUUUAUCACGAAAAUUAGUUCAAAAGGCAAAAUGGAAAUCUUGAAAAGUCUACUAUGCUGCACACUUACCCUUCUGUUUUCUUUCAUUACUGUCCUUUUUAUUAUUAUUUUUUUUUUUUUAUGAAGGAAGAAGAAAAAUCAGUAUGUUAGUUUAAUGCAUUCUUAGGUGGUGGUUUACAGAGAAGUUGAUGGGAGUUGGAGCUGCUGGAUGUGGUGGAUGAUGGUCGCUGGGCAAGGGAGGAAAUUGUUUCUUAAGUUUUGUUUGAAAGCUUCAAGAACAUGAUGGUCAAUGUAAUCCCUUUUUAUGUUACAAGAAUAGGAAAACAACAACAAAAUUCUGCUGAUAUUAUCUUUGUGGACAAAAAUCAAAAUAGGGAGCUAAAUGUAAUUUUUUUUGAUAAACGGAGCUGAAUGUAAUAUUGAAGCAUUGCAAUUCGAAUCCUCAUUUUAGCAAGAAGGCAUCUUUGCUAUAACCUCCUUACUUGAAUUGAUAUGAUAAUAAAGUAAAUUGCAUGAGAUCUUGCAAUUCGGUUCUUUUUCUUGCAAGAAGACAUCUUUUCUGUAACCUCUUUAUUUGAAUUGAUAUGAUAAUAAAGUAAAUUACAUGAAAAAUUCAUCUUGUAUACAAACAAUUCAAAGCCAUAUGCCACUAUAUGAGAUUGCUGGAAGCACAGCUUUAUCAACAUUGACAUUUCCCUUUCUCCUAUAAAACUCUUGAAGAAAUGCUACACACCGUUGCAUCCUUGCAGACAAGGAAGUAACACUUUUCCAGUACUCUCUCCUUUAUCAUCCUAAGGGAUUGGAGAACUGAGUCCCUCCUGAGAAGACAGUGAGUGAAGAUUGUAAUGCCUUCUGGAAGGAAAAGAUGGCUUUCGUCUAAAUGAUGGUCGCCUCUUGAGAUAAUGAAUGGUUCUCUUCGCGUAUAGAGACCGGAAAAAUGGUGUAGUUCUCUCCUUCAGCUUGAGGAUAACAAAGAAGAGAACUCUAUAAGUGAGGAAGAGACAGUAGAGUGCAAAUAAAUCCCACCACUUAGAAUGAUCCAGCGAUAACCCGAACAUGUUUUUCAAGACAUCCUCGCCGUUCAGUCUUGGAUCACCCGGCCAGAGGCCAUCAAACACUACUCCAAUCAAAUCGUUCUUGUAUCCUCCCUGUAUUCGCAUUUAUACAUCAUUAGAGAACUUUGAAAUAUUCUUGUUGUUUCAUGAGUAGCUAUAUCUGGUCCCAGAAAGGUGUCUUCUAUAUAUCUAAAGGAUGAUGUUCUCAGAAAAUAAAACUGUGUUGUAAUGUAUAGGGUCUAAAUUAGUACACCUGCAACUGUGAAUCUAGUCCGACCAAGAAUUAUCUUCAGUAACAGGAAACUUCUACACUCAAGUUACUGUCAAUUCUACUGUGCUCGUGCAGAAAUUAAACGACCAUGGCCGGAGUAGAUAAUAAACAUAUACAUGUUUGGCAGAGAACAAAUUGUUCAAGCAAGCAAACGUCUCUUAAUGUCACUCAUGUUAUUCAAAUGGUUGUCUAUUUGUCACAAAUGGCAUUUGAUAGAAGGUUUAUUUUUUCAAAGAUUCAGAUUUACUGUCCACUUGGGCUUGCCUAGUUUCCAUGUAUAGCUCCUUAUCUCAAGUAUUUUCUAUAAAUUUUAACAAAUAUCUAGACGAACUUUAUCUGUAGAGUUCUCCUAAUAUUUCAUUUAGAGGCCUGGAAUGUGUGAGCUUGAAGUUUACGCUUCUAAGGUUGAGAUCAUAUUUGCAUGAUCAAGGAAGAUUCCACUUCAAACCACUUAUGUCCCUAAUCUGUGAAAAGGUCUAAUGCUCUUGAACAGGGAAAGACAAGUCAUGGGAAAUUUAAUUGUUAAACCCACGGAGGUCUGAUGAUUAUGUUCUGUGGAAAAAAAUAAGGUCACGCUGCUUUGUUCCAAAAUUAUCAAUUUGAGGAUAACCUCUUCUGUCUUAACAACAACAUGCCUACAAGGUAAGUUUCUGUGUGAUCUUGUUUCAUGGCAUUUGAAAUGGAAAAUUAGUACUAAAGGAAUCCACAUGGACACCCUUGGCAUUGUAUCACUAGAUCAGCAUGAGGCUACCUAUAAUAUUUUUCAAUUGGUAGUAAACAACUGCCAGGCCUUGAUUAACAAAAUGUAAGAUGUCAAAAAUAUAUAUUCUGUGGAUUUAAGUGCAGGUUAAAGCUUCUUUAGCUUGUGAAUUUGUGGCAAUGAUAUCCCAAACCAACUAAUCUAUUUUUCCUACCAUAUUUAUCAAUCCACAGUGAUUAACGAUUGCAAAGGAGAGGUUCCCAGAUCAGUUGCUGCAGUUAAUAAUGUUUUGACUCGAUUUAACUGUUGAAGCCAUAUGUAAAUACUCUUUGGGGGAUAUGUGAGCUAGUUCUUUGCAGAUUCACCAAUCUAAGAUCUAGGUUCAGUCUAGCAGUCAAGUUAUUCAACAGGUAGAAUGCCUAAAAACUUGAUUGAUUGCAAAAAAAUGAUUGCUCAAGUGUCAAAGCUUUAAAGUAGCUUUAUUUAUUUAUUUAUUUUUGACAGAAGUCCAUGUCCCAUGCUUAUCACUGAUCUAUGUCUAGAAAAAUAUCAUUACUAUGCACUCAACUAUACCUGCAUGCAUUUGUUUCAAUUCUUCCAUUAUUAUAUGAUGCACGUUCGGUAACAUCACUGCUGAAUUUAUACAUGUACACUCUAGUGCAAGCUUGAAUGCAAGUAUAAAGGAUAAUCCAAUACUUAUCAGGCAAUCAUCACUAUUUUAACUGAUCAAUUUAAGCCUUUCCCCCUUAUUGACAACAAAAGAUUCAAGCGUAUCCUUUUUCCUGCCAAUAAUUUCUUAAAGAUCUUCAGUCCUGAAGCCACAGUUGCACGGUUAUAGAAGAGUUGUUGUAAUUUUGGACGUACAAUGUGUUAUGCCAUCCUAGCAUGUCCAAGAGCUAGGUUCAGAAAAUGUUAUCCAUGGUUAGUUUUUCUGCACUAUAAAAUCUUAGACUCUCGCAUUUUGUCUCAUUGGACCCAAGGACCUUCUGCUGCAAUCUAGCAACCAGAAAUGCUCUUUCAUAGUCAGAAAUGUUCUUAGUUUUUGAGUUACCCCUUCCUCACCAUGUAAUGAAGAAGUACGACCAUAAACAUUUUUUUUUUAUCAAGAGAGAUUUCUCACAUAGAACAAACACAAUACUUGUAACACAUGAUUAAUUGCCUCAGUUUUGACACUAGAUUACUCUAUAUGAUGCAUUUUCGAUAUCAAGCUAUAUAGUUUUUCAUGCACAUUUUGGAUUAAUGUUAUCAUUAUCAGGAAUAACAGCAUCCAAGAUUUAAUUUGCAGAGUACCUGUAGUGACCAUGAUCCAUAGCUCAUCAAUGAAACUGGAUAUCGCCAAAAAAUCUUGGGAAGAUCGGGCAGCAAACGGAAAAAUCCAGCAGUCAUCAUCAUGAUUCCCUGAAUAUACAUUUAUGAUACUGAUUAUUUACCAGAAAAUAAACCAAGGUAACUUAUUUACUGUGGUUGAACAAUUUUAAGUAAGUUAACUUACUAGAACCCCAGCUCCAGCAAUGAUUCCCAUUAAGAAGUUAGGAACCAGUGAAGCUACAAUCAUCAUGCAGCUUUCUACAACAGCAAUACAGCCAAAGAUAUUUAAGCAAUAGUACACAUAGUGAGAAAAUUCAGUCCGGGAUUUCACCAUGUAAAAAGUUAUAGUCCCAGUAAUGACUGAAAUUGCAGCCAGGAAUGGAAAGGAAGAGAGGAAAUUUGAUAAUACAAAUACAGCAACUCCAUAAUGUCCAUUUAGUCUUUCCUUAGUGAAGACCUGAGGAGAGAAAACUUUAGAUCAGAUACUUUUCCUGUAUGUAGCUCUCUUCAGCUAAUAUUUUCUUUCAAAGAAAAGAUGGUUCAUUCACCUUCAUUUCUUCUAUGAAAGAUGGGAACCCCCCAAUAGACAUGAAAGUCAUAAAGCCUGUUACAAAUCCGCCACAUGCCCCCCGAGCAAAGAUUGCAGUAUAACUGGUGCCAACAUCAUAAAAUAAAGUACCCACGCAAAUAGCCACAAUUACAUAGAUGCCUAGCCGUGACCAGUAAUAGCCUACAUCCCGAGACAUGUUGGCAAAGGAUCUCUGAGUUAAUGUUGAAAGUUGAGUCCACCAUCUUGCUUGACUUCCUUUUAUUCUCUCAAUCUCAAGCCCUUGCUGCACCCAGGAAUUGUGUUAAUUAUUUGCAUUGAAUCAUUCUAGUGAAAGUUUGAUAGGAUCGUUAAGUAUAUUAAUAUUUGCAAUUUUUUUUCUACCCCAUGAAGAAACAGAAUGAUUUUCUGUGUUAUGAAUCAGAAAACAAUAUUUUAGGCAUAGAGUUGGUUUUCCUGACAUAUUCACAUCAGUAUUACUAGUUAUUUGCAUACUGAAAGGUUUAAAGACUCACAAAAGUCCAGUUGAAUGUGAAACUCAUCGUGCAUAGCAAGAAUGCAAAGAUGGAGCACUAGACUUAAAUGUACUUACAAUGGUAGAGAUUUCUUGAAUCCUGGACCUGGUCCGUGAUGCAUAUUCAGAAGAGUUGUACUUGUAGACAAGCAUAGCUUUAAUAUCUGAUGUUGCUAAAUUGCCAAGAGGAUCUGCAAGCUUGUCUGCUUCCUGCCAUCAAAAAGCCAAAAAAUGCCUUGUUUAGUAUGCAUACUUGUCAGAAGAUUAAAAACUUGAUUCUUCGAUAUCUAGAAUUGGAAAUACCAUAAAAGAUUAACUGAAGUUUUCAACUGAACCACUGCAUCAGUAGUAUCCAAGCAUUUUGUGGGGUUCUGGUUAGUUCAGCAUAAAUCUUAUAUACAUGCACAUUACAUUUGCAGUUUUUUCUUUUAUAACUUUACUUAGAGCGCAUUCUAAGAAUUAGUAUCCGCCAAAUCCUUGCAAGGAGAAGUAUGGAUUAGCACCUUAAUAAGGAAGAUAAAUCAUGCACACAGAAUCGGGCAAAGAAAGGACUUCUGGGCUGAUCUCAGACUCAUGUUUGAAGACAAAAGUAGUGCAUUAGACUUAAUGAGUACAAAGAGAAUAAAAGGUUAGUAACCAACUGCCAUUAAUGAUGGCUGAUAAUUGUGGAUAUUACUCUGCCAACAAAAUUCGUCCUUUUGCUGUUGAUAGAGGUGUUCAACCAUGGCAGUCUGGUAGCAUGAUCAAAAAAGAUAAAGAGGAUUUUUUCACAUAUCAAUUACUUCACCUUCCAGUAAUCAUUUACUGCUACUUCAACGGUCAUUAUAGAAACAAGAACCCCUUGGAAAAGCAUUGAAGUUCUAUUGAAGAAUAUUAACAGCACAUAACUACUACUACCACAUUUUAUUCAGUAUGCAAAUCUUGAGUAUCAAACCUUCUGGGAAUCACAUUGUUGCGAAAAUUAUAUGAAUUGAUGCGAAUCACAUCAUUCUGUACUUCUUCAUUCUGACUAAUAGGUGGACUGACAUUCUGAAAUGGUCAUUGCUCUUGUACAUCCAUCUAAAUGUGGAAUGUACAAGGGAAGUCAAUAAAAAUGGCUACCAUCUGUCAUGGUCUUUUACAUGGAAAUUCAUAUAAAACUCUUUCAGCAUCAUGGACUUACUUGAAGCAAAAUGAAGGACUAAAGACAGAAGUUUCAAAUGCCAAAAACAGAAGACCAGAAGUUAUUGACAAAACAAAAUGCAAUGCUGAAAGAAUAGCAACUGGUAAAUUCGGAUGAAAGAGAAAUUCUGCAUUUUCUAGCUAAGCUUACGAAUCCAGAAAUAGAGGGAUCAAAUAGACACAAAUUUAAGAGUGACAAAGGAAAAACCAGAGUGAGUAGAAACUAUUGCUCAUACGCGUAGUCUUUGAGAACCUCUCAAAGUAGCAGUAACAACAUCGAAGUCAGAAUUGAUACAGCGGAGGAAGUGGUCAGACGGGUUUCUUCUGCUUGGACAUGGAAACCCUGCUUCUGCAAAAAACUGGAGACAAAAAGUUCAAAACUCAGAU
This 88760-nucleotide long non-coding RNA is filed under the name Coffea arabica (coffee). RNAcentral describes it as "long non-coding RNA (CARA_LNC000609)". Lineage: Eukaryota; Viridiplantae; Streptophyta; Magnoliopsida; Gentianales; Rubiaceae. The record is from RNAcentral.